AAGUAAUAUAGCUUUGGGCUUUUUUUGCAAAUAGCCCCCUUACAAAAAAAAUUUUUAAAUUUGGCCCUGUCAAAAAUUUAUUUGCAAAAAUGGUCCUGGCCCCGCCACGCAAGCGCCACGUCAGCGCCACGCGGGCGGGGCUGGGCCAGAUGGUUAAGUUGAAUACGGUGAACCAUUCACCGUGUUCAAUACAAAGUUUUUGUAUUGGACACGGUAAAUGAUUCACCGUGUCCAAUACAAAAUAGCUAUUUGUAUUGGACACGGUGAACCAUUCACCGUGUCCAAUACAAAUAAUUAGACACGGUGAAUGAUUCACCGUGUCCAAUACAAAUACCCCAAUACAAAUAAUUAGACACGGCUAAGUUGGAGGUAUUUGUAUUAGACACGGCGGUGAAUGGUUCACCGUGUUCAACUUAAACAUCUGGGCCCGCCUUGCCCGCGUGGCGCUGAUAUGGCGCUGGCGUGGCAGGGGUAGGACCAUUUUUGCAAAUAAUUUUUAAACGGAGCUAUUUUUACAAAUAAAAUUUGUCAGGGGGCUAUUUGCAAAAAAAGCCCUAUAGCUUUUGUAUUCUCCAUGUGCAACGGUCGUUGCGAAUGGAUUGUACACCUAACAAACCGAAACGAGACACAUCCAUGAAAGGAGAACGUAAUAAUAAAUGCAUUUGGAUCGUUUAAUUACGAUAGGGCAGGGGAAAAAAGAUUAAAAUAUGUUAGAGCUCUUUGAACUUUAGUUUGAUGACACUUGGAUUUUUUUUUUUUUUUUUGAGUAUAUUUUAAGAACGGAAUAAUUUCUUAUAAUAUAGAGGGAAUAAUAUCGAGGCCCAAUACUUAUGAGAAUUAAGGCCUCGAAUUUUUGGGCCUAAGGCCCAACUCGAGCUUAUUCCCCGGUGCCCCAUAUAGUUACAAUAAAAUCCAACCGGGCCCGACCUGGCCCGGCUCACACUAAAAUAGGCCCCACUCAGGUAAUUUAAACCGAUCUAUUGUGGCCCAUUACCAGUAUUAAAGUGAAAUCAUAGUAUUAUAAACACUAGUGACUCAUACACAAUAGGGGCGGCCGUUUCGCAUACCAAUUACUCUCUUCAAUUUUUGGGUUUCAUUUUAAGAUUAUAAUCCUACAACUCACGUGAUCCAAAAGCCUAUUUUUCUUUUUUUACUACUUGUUUUAUCGUUUUUGUAACUAAAAAUAAAAAGGAUAUUUGUAGACCCUACAACUAUUGGACGAGGAAUUAUUAUAAAAAUUACGAUCCUUGCAGACCAAGUUUUUUUGUUAUUAUUUAAAAAUACUCAUUCAGAAAGCAAAUAAAACUGAAUAAAGAGCUCUAAACUAAUAGCAUGGAAGAGAUAGGAAAUCCACCAAUACCAUUCAUGAUUCGUAACAACAUCAUCGAGAAACUACAGCUCAUUAGGCGACUAUUGCUAUUAUGGGCACAACCCACCACCCCCGCCACAGCCAUUUCCUCACCAAAAAGCUCAUCACUUGGGCUCUCUAUGCUCUCAUCCCCUUAGCCCUCCUCCAUUUCUACCUCUUCCCCCUCUUCUCCCCCCAUCACCCAUCCCCAUCUCCUCAUCAUUCCCAAAACUCCACCCAUACGAUCUCCUCUUCCCACCAAGGUCUAUAUAUUUAUAUAUAUGCAUUGGCAUUACUGUCCAUCACACUCUAUUAGAUGGCCAUUAAUUGUUAAUUUUCUCUGAGAAUUAAUUUGCUUCCUGCUGCGCGCCGAGUAACAGCAACAGGUGCUGCGAGAACCGAUGAGUUCGGAUUAAUCCGGAGGAGGCAGCGGUGCGACUACGCGGAGGGGCGAUGGGUUCGGGACGCGGCGGAGCCGCUGUACAACGGCACGAGCUGCCGCACCAUCAAGGACAGCCGGAACUGCAUGGCGCACGGCCGCCCCGACACCGGCUAUCUGUACUGGCGCUGGAAGCCGAAGCACUGCACCCUCCCGCCGUUCGACCCCGCGUCAUUUCUUACACUACUGAAGAACACGUGCGUGCUAAGUGAACGACCGCUAGCUCUUUUCCUGUUAUAAAAGCUUAUUUACAAAUUAGUUAUCAUUAUAGAGAGAAUGAUGAUGUGUUCUCAAUUGAUGAUAUUUAUAUGGGCAGGCACUUAGCGAUGAUCGGCGACUCCUUGGCGCGGAACCAACUGGAGUCGCUGCUCUGCCUCCUCGCCACCUCGUCGCGCCCCGAGCUCGUCUACAGCGACGGCGAGGUCGACAAGUUCCCGCGGUGGGUCUUCCUCGAGUACAACGCCACCGUGUCGGCGUUCUGGUCGCCGUUUCUUGUUAGAGGCGUCGAGAGAACCGGCGCGGCAGGGCAGACUCACAACGUGCUGUACCUCGACUCCGCCGACGCGCGGUGGGCGUCGGAAUUGGAUAAGAUGGACACGGUGCUGUUCUGUGUCGGGCACUGGUUCGUGUACCCGUCCGUGUACUACGAGGGCGAUGCCGUGCUGGGCACCCACCAUUUCCCGGAACUCAAUCACACCGAGAUCGGAUUCUUCGCCGCGUUCCGGAUGGCGAUCCGGAGGGCUCUUCGAGAGGUCGUGGACGCGCAGAACCGCAGCGGCGGCGGUGCCGAGAAGGAGAAGUUGGUGGUGGUGACGACGUUCCCGCCGGCGCACUUCGAGGGGGAGUGGGACAAGGCCGGAGCCUGCCCGAAGAAGGAGCCGUUCGGAGAAGGGGAGAAGGAGAUGGACUACACGGACAAGGAGAUGCGGAAAAUUGAGGUGGAGGAGGUGGCGGCGGCGUCGGCGGCGGUGGCGGAGAGGGGUGCAAUGCUGAAAAUCAAGGUGCUGGACGUGACAGAGUUGGCCUGGAUGCGCCCGGACGGGCACCCGGGCCCGUACAUGCAUCCGAAUCCAUUCGCCGAGGGGCCGAAGAAAAGGGUGCAGAACGAUUGCGUGCACUGGUGCCUGCCUGGGCCGGUUGAUGCGUGGAACGAGAUAUUGCUCGAAAGGAUGAAGAAAUGGAAAGAAGAGUAAGAAUUAUUAAACGGGAAAUUUUUUCAUUGCAUUUUUAUGUUUUUUUUGGGGUGUUCCUCCUUUGCUUCGUUUUGCUUUUAAUUUAGAAUUAUUAUUUGUUGAGAGGGAUAGAGUUUGGGAUGCAUGCUUCAUGAGGGUUGACAGGGAAAGAUUGAGGAAUUAUCAUGCAGGCCUCUGUUGAAAGGUGAAUUUAAUUAUUUGGGUCAAAAGGAGAAGGUCAUUAAUUUUGCUUUUCGAGCUAUGCGUUGAGGUUAUUUGAGAUGAGCAGUUAUUAUUAUUAUUAUUAAGAAGAGGAGGGAGAGAAAAAAAUUGAUAUGAUUUAGAGUUAUAUAAUUUAAUUUAGUCGACUAAAUGUUGAUGAAUCGAAACAUUUAGUCAAUUAAAUUUUUUUUGUGGUACUAAAUUGUGUAAUUUCAAAAGUUAGAACUAGAUAUUACAGCAAAUUAAAUUUGAGGACUAAAGUGUCACCGGAUAGAUAGUUUAAGGACCAAAUGUGUAAUUUACCCUCUGUUUUUUUAGGUAAAGAUGUACAGAACUAACUUGGACUACUGUCCAUUUGAUUUAGCUACUCAAUUUUUUAAAAUUUUAAUUUUAUUAUCUAAAUUUUUAAUUUAUUUAAUUUAAGUCAAUCAAUGAUAUUUUAAUUUUAAAAUUUGAAUGCGAUGUUUAUUUUUACAAGCCUAGUUAAUAUACUUUAUACAAUUUUCGCAACCAUAAAUACAUUAAAAUAAGUAAUUAGCUUAUAUUUUAAAUUGUAAGAUUAAGCAGUAAAAUCAAAAUUUUGAAAUAUUGAAUAGCUAAAUCAAAAUAUUUCAUAGCUCAUAAAAAUUUUGUGCGUAUUUAAAUUUUUUUUAUUAUGAGUUGGUCUCGUGAUAUUUAUUAGGCGUUCUCAUGUUAGAAGCUGUUUGGCAGAGAUGGAGAGUUUCGUUGUGUUUUCCAGUGUGUGACCUUCAAAGGCAGCAGCAGAGUGCUAAAUUGUGGUUCUAAUUUUCUACGAAAACAAAAGGGAUCUUGCACCAUCAGCCAAAAUCAAUUUGAAUACAACAGAGUAUUCAUUUUGGAUUAUUUUGUAUCUAAUUCCUCAGAUGCAAGUCGUUUUUCUUUCUGAAUUUAGGGUAUGUUUGUUUCAUCGAAACUGGACUUUGGGUUGAACUGGAGCUCGGUGAAAACUACUUCUUUCCCGCUGUUUGUUUCGUGAUUAUGGAAGUUAAAUUAAGGCCUAGAGCCCAAUACAGGGAGUCCCUAGUUACAAUAGCAAAUACUUGGGCCUGUGGCCCAACUCGACCUUAUUCCUGGGUGCACUGUUUAGUAAGAAAGCCAAUCUGGCCCGGCCUACGGAACAAAAGGCCCAAAUCACGUAAUUUAAACCAAUCUAUAUUUUACGGCCCAAAUCAUAGUAUUGUUAUUAACAUUAGUGGUUCAAUUACAUAAUAGUGGUGACCUUUUCGCAUAGUAAUACUUUUAUUUCAUUUUUUAGAUAAUAAUAAUCCGACAACUUACCUGAUCCAAAAAGUCUAUUUUUCCAGUUUGGGUUAUCAUUUUUGUAUGUGACUAAAAAUAAAAAAGAGGAUAGUUAAUCUUACAAUUAUUGGGUGAAGAAUUAUAAAAAUUAGAAUCCUUUUGAUUGCAGACUUAGUAAUUUUUAACUUAAAAAUGCUUGUUCAAAAAGCAAAUAAAAUUGAAUUAAGAGUUCCAAACUAGUAGGAUUUGGAUAAAGAGAUGGGAAGUUGGUGCAUACGAGGGAAGAGAAGGAAAACACAGGCAUCACGUGCUAAGGACCACCGACACAACUUCAUGUCUCUCUUCUUUUCUUUUUUCAUUUUUUUGGUCCGUUCUGUUUUGUCAUGGUCCUUUUGACUCAUAAUAACAAUCAUGCUCUCCUACUAGCCCACCUUGAAGAUUCUCCUCCUAUGAGGCUAUAAUCCCUCCCCACCACUAGGAUCCAUCCCAUCCCUCCCUCCCUCCGCAGUCCCAGCCGAAGAAACCCAGAACAAUCUCCUCAACAAACUACAGCUAAUUAAUCAGUCCACCGAUCAAUCUACAGUUAUUAUGGGCAUAACCCACAACCCCCACCACAACCAUUUCCCCACCAAGAAACUCAUCACUUGGGCUCUCUAUGCCCUCAUCCCCUUAGCCCUCCUCCAUUUCUACCUCUUCCCCCUCUCCUUCCCCCACCGCCAAUCCCCAUCUCCCCCUCAUUCCCAAACCCCCGUCCACACAAUCUCCUCCUCCCAUCAAGGUCUAUAAAUAAAUAAAUAAAUAAAUAUCGACAUUAAUUAAUUUCCAUCGCGUUCAUUUUCUCUAAUAAUUAUUUUGAUUCCUGCUGCCGAGCAACAGCAACAGGUGAGCGGAGGCUGCGGUGCGACUACGGGGAGGGGCGAUGGGUUCGGGACGCGGCGGGGCCGCUGUACAACGGCACGAGGUGCGGCACCAUCAAGGACGGCCAGAACUGCAUGGCGCACGGCCGCCCCGACACCGGCUAUCUGCACUGGCGCUGGGAGCCGAAGCGCUGCGCCCUCCCGCGGUUCGACCCCGCGUCAUUUCUUACGCUGCUGAAGGGCAGGCACCUGGCGAUGGUCGGCGACUCCAUGGCGCGGAACCAAAUGGAGUCGCUGCUCUGCCUCCUCGCCACCGCGUCGCGCCCCGAGCUCGUCUACCGCGACGGCGACGAGAACAAGUUCCGGCGGUGGGUCUUCCGCGAGCACAACGCCACCGUGUCGGUCUUCUGGUCGCCGUUUCUCGUCCGAGGCGUCGAGAAAUCGGCGGCGGCGGCGGCGGCGGCGGGGCUGGACCACAACGAGCUGCACCUCGACUCGGCCGACGCGCGGUGGGCGUCGGAGUUGGAUAGGAUGGACGCGGUGCUGUUCUCCGUCGGGCACUGGUUCCUGCACCCGGCCGUGUACUACGAGGGCGACGCCCUGCUGGGCUGCCACCACUGCCCGGGGCUCAACCACACCGAGAUCGGAUUCUUCGGCGUGUUCCGGAAGGCGAUUCGGAGGGCUCUUCGGGAGGUCGUGGACGCAGAGAAGGAGAAGCUCGUGGUGGUGACGACGUUCUCGCCGGCGCACUUCGAGGGGGAGUGGGACAAGGCCGGGGCGUGCCCGAAGAAGGAGCCGUUCGGAGAAGGGGAGAGGGAGAUGGAGUACACGGACAAGGAGAUGCGGAAAAUUGAGCUGGAGGAGGCGGCUGCGGCGGCGGCGGAGGCCAUGGCGAAGGGUGGAAGGGUGAAAAUAGAGGCGUUGGACGUGACGGAGUUGGCCCUGAUGCGGCCCGACGGGCACCCGGGCCCGUACAUGUAUCCGAAUCCGUUCGCCGAGGGGCCGAAGGAGAGGGUGCAGAACGAUUGCGUGCACUGGUGCCUGCCCGGGCCGAUCGAUGCAUGGAACGAGAUAUUGCUCGAUAUGAUGAAGAGAUGGAAAGAAGAGUGAGAAUUAUUGAACGGAAAAUUUUGUUGUGUGUAUCAAUGUUUUUCUUUUCUUUUCUUUUCUUUCUUUUCUUUUUUUUUUUCUCCUUUGUUUGAUUUUGUUUUUAGUUUAGGAUACUGUCGAGAGGGAUAAAGAGGUUGGUAUGUUUCAUGAGGGUUGAUAGGGAAAGAUUGAGGAAAUCUAGCAACGUUGAAAGUUGGGAACAGGUGAAAUCUGUAGGUUCCUCUUGGAAAGUGAAUUUAUUCGUACCAAAAUGGAGAAGGUCAUUAAUUUUUGUUCUCGAGCUAUGUGUUGAGAGUUUUUAUUAACCCCGAGUUUUUGAGAGUUUAGGAAGAAAAAGAAUGAGAAGGGAAAGGUUGAGAGAUUUAGUAAAGCCUCACGCUUGGUGGGGCUUCAGGCAGAAAACAGUCCAUAGAUUACAAAUGUUAUACUUACCUCACAUUAUCAGUAAUAAACUAAUCAUUUCUUUUUUUUGAGAGAGAGAGAACUACGACAAAAAUAUUUUUCUAUUAAUCAUGAUGAAUAGGUGAGCCUAAGGAGAACAAUUUCAUUGGUAGGGAAUACCACAUCAAUUAUGUGUAUUAUAGAUUUUUUUUCUCAGGCAGAUAGUAAUAAAGUAAUAACAAUAAUUUUCGGCCUGCAUUUUCUUUUGCGGUGACUAAAUGUGUCAAAAAUUUUGAAAAUAUUUUAGAUCAACAAUUUGAUUUCGUCUCCAUGAGAUCUUUAACAAAUAAUGUUACUAAGAAUUUGCACCAAAGCAAUUUUAUUUAACAAUAACAUAAUAAUAUAAUAAUUUGUAUUAUAUUAAAAUAAUAUUAGAGAUUUACUUCUGUAAUUUUCUUUUAUUGAAAGGAAAAAAUAAUUAUAUAAAAUAACUUAUUUGCUCAGAGGUGGGCAGCUGGAAGACACCCAACACAAUGAAAAACUCUACUUGUUUAAAGUUUAAUCUAAGUUAAUUAAUUAAUGCUUGGAGUGGGUAAAUAACUUGCCCACCUGGUAGUCCUGGGAGAGCAAUUUAGGGAUGUGCUUUAAUGAAGUACUUAAAAUAUAUCAAAUUUCUACAAAAGUUACAAAUUUAAGCAUAUACUUAAAUUUCUUCCUCUCAGUUAAACAAAUUUUAAAUUUGUUUAUUAUAUUGGACCUCUAGGAAAAGUGCUAUAACCAAUUAAAUUGGAGUUUUUUUUUUUUUUUUUUGAGAAAUAGAUAGCAAGCUAUCUGUUUCAUUCAUUAGGUAAAAUGAACUAAGCGUACAAUAUGAAGACAGCCAGGGCCUCCCAGAGAACAGGCGAAAAGAGAUAAACAAAACAAAAGAGAAAAAAAAGGGGGGUGUUAGUAAGGAGAGGAGGGAUUGGAGCUGAAGCCCAAUCGUCACGUCACCGUAAAGAGUUCCAGUCGUUUAGCAAAAGUUUGACACGUUCGAGAGACCGGGUAACGUUGUGCGUAAUUCCGCAAAAAAUGACGUUAUUUUUGUCUGUCCAGAUCACCCACCAAGUCGCAGCCAAGAGGAUCAGACCUUGCGUCCUCGAGGAGUGAACCGGGAUGCCGCACGAUCCGUUCCAAAGAGUGUUGACGUGACGUCCAAUAUAGCUAGAGAACAAUAGUUUUAACAGUACACGUCCAAUAUAGCUAAAAAAAGUUGUUUAAUAAGCCAACCAAAUAAAGAAGCAAGUCCUACCAGUACUUCAAAUGUGAUAUUUUACCAAAAUUAAAACAAACCAAAUUUAUUAAAUUUUAUCACUAAUUAUAUUACUAAUAUAAAAUUUAACUUUACUAAUAAAAUCAUCUCUUAACCAAGGCCUCAAGAUUACUGAUUUUUUCUAAGAGAAAAAGAUAGCAAACUAUCUGUUUCCUUUAUUUUUUUUUAAAUCGAACUCAACUAGCCAUAUAAAAUAAGUAAGCUUCAAAAUUAAAAUUUUGAGUGUUAAUCACCAAGUUUUAAGCCCAGAGUAUUAGAAUGUUUAGGGCCUGUUUGGUUUAAAGUAAAACUAUGAAAAAAAAAAAUUUCGGUGGAAAAAANAUUAUAUAGAAAAGAAAGAGAGGGGGGAGAGAGAGAGGUCCACCGGCGGUCCUUGCCCUUCCAAACGCCGCGAUUUUUGGGCGUCUAGUUUCGAGCGAAAAACGAAAACGACACUUUUCCUCACAAUGCGUAAAAGAAAUUUUUCGAAAAUUUUUUUUGUGAGCAAACAAACUGCGGAAAGUUAUUUUCCACCGAAAAAUUUUUUCAAGAUGAUUUUUUUUUUUUUAGAGAUAGAUAGUAUACUACCGCUUAAUUUAUUUUAUUUACAAAUAAACUUAAAUAGAAAUAUGAAUUAAUUAGAAUUUGAACUUAAAAUUUUAGAUACCAAUCAUCAAGCACUUUGCGUAGGACGAAACAAACGCACCCUUAAGCUCCGUUUGGAUACCUCUAAAAACGUAGCAUAGUUAAACUAUGCUACGCCGGUAGAAAAAUAAUUCUAUGAAGCAUUUGGAAGAAAAAAAAAAUAACGUAAUUUUUGGAGUAUAGUUAUACUAUACUCCAAAAAAUAGAGUAAAUUUACAAUCCACUUUAACCAAAGGAAAAAAAUUUCAUCAUUUUGAGCUCCCAAAGAUGUAUCAAUUUCUAAAUUUUAAAUUUCAGCAUAAAAUUUUAAAUUUCAAAAUUUAAAAUUUUAAAAUUCAAUUUUAAUUUUGAUUUCAAAUUUCAAAUUUCAAAUUUUAAAUUUCAAAUUUCAAAUUUCAAAAAGUUCAAAUAUCAAAUUUCAAAUUUCAACUUUCAAAUUUCAAAUUUCAAAUUUUAAAUUUUAAAUUUUAAAUUUCAAAAAGUUCAAAUAUCAAAUUUCAAAUUUCAACUUUCAAAUUUCAACUUUCAAAUUUUAAAUUUCAAAUUUCAAAAAGUUUAAAUUUCAAACUUCAAACUUCAAACUUCAAACUUCAAAUUUCAAAUUUCAAAUUUCAAAUUUCAAAUUUCAAAUUUCAAAAAGUUCAAACUUCAAAUUUCAUCUUUCAAAUUUCAACUUUCAAAUUUCAAAUUUCAAAAAGUUCAAAUUUCAACUUUCAAAUUUCAAAUUUCAAAAAGUUCAAAUUUCAUAUUUCAUAUUUCAAAUUUCAAAUUUCAAANNNNNNNNNNNNNNNNNNNNNNNNNUUUCAUUUUAAAUUUCAAAUUUCAAAUUUUUAAUUUAUUUUUAGAUUUUUAAUAUUCAAUUUUAAAAAUUUUAAUUUAACUUUAAAUUUUAAUUUAAUUUUUUAUUUAAUUAUUGUAAUUAUAAAUUUUAUGAAAAUAUUUAAAAUUUAAAAUUUUAUUAUAUAUUUUUUAAAAUUUCAAAUUCAAAUUUCAAUUACAAAUUUUAAAACUAAAUUUUAAUUUAAUUUUUUAAAAUUUUUAAAAUUUAAUUUAUAUAUUUUUGAAUUUUGAAUUUUAAUUUUUAAAAUUUUAUUUUUAAAUUUUGAAUUUUGAAUUUUGAAUUUUAAAUUUUAAAAUUUUAGAAAUUUAAUUGUUAUAAAUACUAUGGAAUUAUAUUAUCUGUAUCAAAACAGCUUAAAAAUGAAGCUGUGGAAUUUUUUUGUAGUUACAGAAUUCCGUAUUUUAUUUAGACCAAAACCGAAUAAAAAUUCUAUGGAGUUUUUUAACUAUGCAUCCAAACAGAGCCUUAGUCUCAAAGUUGCCGACAAAUAUUUUUAAUCAAAUUAUUGGAAGCGUGGUCACAAGCUUCCUUGUGCCCCGAAUGGGGAUGUAGUUGUUUGCACGACCUGCGCCUGUAAAUUAUUUUGGACUCUUGGCCACGUGUAGGAGCAUCCCUGUGAAUUAAUCACUUGCAACCGUGUCCGUGUAACCUUGAAAAUUGCUCCGGAAAUUGUGCUAAGUCACUGCCUAUUUCUCUUUUUUUUCAACACUAUUCAAUUAUUAGUAAUAGUUCCUAUUUUUUUUAAAAAAAAAAUAGAUAGCAUGCUAUUCGUUUUGUUUAUUUUAUUUAAAAAUAAAUUUAACUGUAAAUGUGAAUCAACUAGAAUUCGAAUUUGGUAUCUCGGAUACCAACCACCAAGUCUUUUGUUGACGAUCGGUAAUGGUUCCAGUAUUAGUUGGUCUCCUCAGUUUAAAGGAGUGCUCAUAUUUUAAUUUUUAGAUUUUUAAUUUGUUAUAAUAUUUUGGUUUGAAUUUUAAAAUUAUUGUAAUUAAAAUUUAAUUAAUUAUUAAAUUAUAUUAUUUAAUUUAUUUUACUAAAUAUUAGUAUAUCACCAAAAAAAAAUGAUGUGAUAGGAUUGUCAAUUGUGAUUGAUAAUACAUUAACAAUUAAAAUAUAAAUUAUUUUUAUAUUAGCAACACGUUAAUAGUUAAUCAAUUAAAUUUAUUUAUGUUACUUAAUUGAAUAAUUUUAAAAGUUCAAACAAAGAAUUAUAAUAAAUUAAAAUUUAAGCGUGGUUCUGAUUUUCUUCGAAAACAAAAUGGAUCUUGCACCAUUAACCGAAGUCAAAUUGAAUAUAACAGAGUAUUCAUUUUGGAUUAUUUUGUAUCUAAUUCCACAAAUGCAGGCGUUUUUUUUUUUUUUUUUUUUCGAAAUUUGAGUAUACAUAAAGAUUUUAGUCUAAUCUUUUUAUGUCAAUAAAGCCACAAAAUGUCUUUAUUUCUCCAGGAGAUUGGACUUCAUAGUUUUGUCCUGUAAUGAAUUGGUCACAGGAUUACUCAUUUAUUCACCAUUUUUUUUCUUUCAUGAUCAAAUAUUGGAGCUUCUCUCUCUCUCUCUCUUUUUCUUUGUAGAAACUUAAAUCAUUGACAUGCACCUAAGAUCUCCACCAAACUGUGGACCCAUCACUUUAAUUAAGACCUGAAUCAAAUUCUUUCGUAUCAUUACUCUAAUUAAUCCCAUUUGAUGCCAAAACUCUAGAAUAUAAUAAUUACAGGUGCACCCAAUUGAGAAUUCUACUAUAUAAUAAUUACAGGUGCACCCAAUUUAUAGCAAGAGCACAAGAAACCCUGAAUUUGGCUAGUUCACUAGAAUAUAUUAGUAGCUUCUACCAAGGCCUGGUGAGAGAUCACUUUUCAUAUUGAGUUUGGUUGAAUCCUACAAUUAAUUACCUUCACAUCAUUUGCCAUGUAGGAUAAAGCAUAAUCUAUUAAUUAGCAUGCAUCCUCCAAGUAGUCCUUCCUAGUUGAGCAAACAAAAGAUGGAGAGCAAGCACACAUCAGAGUCCUCUAAUAUUGGAACAUCUUUUCUCUCUGCUGUGUCAUCAUCUCACAUGAAUACCACACAGUCCAAGAACAUGGUAGCUUCACAAUCUCUAUACUAUUCUCUUGAGUGGAAUGCGAUCCAAAAGAAAAUCGGAUCCUUCCUGUUUUUGUUGCUUCUACUCUCCACCAUCUUCCUUUUGUUCAUCUUGUAUUCUUCAAACACUUACAAUAUCACAACCAAAUAUGCCCUUAAAGAGAUCUCCAUUUCAGAGAAUUUGUCUCCUCCUGCAACCAAGGAAGCACCCAUCAAUGAGUCUUCACUCGCCACUACUCAAAGAUCACCCGCAACUGGUAAAAAGCAUUAAUUAUCUUUGUUGUUAAUUUACAUUAAGCAUUUUUAGUCUGUUUGGCUCCACUUCUGCUUCCACUUCCUACAGCAACAACAAAUUCUUGUUGAGUUUUUGAUAAGAAAUAUUUGGUGCAUUCGUUGUUACCGGAAGUAAAAUAAAUUAAAUUUCAAGCCUCAAAAGUAUAGUAUAAAUUAUGAAAGAAUCAAUUUUAGGCACUUUGUUGUACUAGUUCAGUUCUAUUAACAACACUAUUAAGACACCACCUAUAUCUUAGAGCAGCGCCAAAUAGACUCUUUAUAUUAAUGUUUUUUGAGUAAUAAACAUAUUGCAUUUGAAUUUAUGCAUGGCGCGGAAGAUGUGUGUGAUUUGUCCGUGGGAAAGUGGGUAAAGGAACCAAGAGGGCCUCUAUACAACAACGCGACGUGCCGAACCCUGCCAGAUUUGAAGGACUGCAUGAAGUACGGGAAGGAGCCGAGCUACUUGUACUGGAGAUGGAAGCCCGAGGGGUGCGAGCUCCCGAGGUUCGAUCCCGAAACGUUCCUCGCCGUCGUCCGGGGCAAGAAGAUGGGCUUCAUCGGAGACUCACUCGCCCGGAACCAAAUGGAGUCCCUGCUGUGCCUUUUAUCUCAGGUUACCACUCACAACAUCCUAGUAAUGUGCUAACAAAUUUAAGGAAGAUCAUUGAUUCUGUACUUGUCUAAAAGAUUGCAUAGCUAACUCAAAAUGAUUUAUAGUUCAGAUAAGUUACAUACGCGUUUUCCUGAAAAUAUUGUAAUAUGCAAAUGAAUUGUGUUUUCUCUCUACAGUUCAGUGAGCUUGUAGCUAAUUCUUGUAUUUUUCUUCAACGAAAUCUACUUGUUACAUAGGCAGAGACUCCAAUCGACGUAUACAAGGACGACGGCGACAAAUUCCGAACAUGGCACUUCCCCUCCCACAACUUCACGCUCAUGGUCAUGUGGACCGAAUUCUUCGUCGAAGGAAUACAAAGGAUAGUAAACGGAACGGCUACUGCGUCAUAUGACAUACACUUAGACAAGAUCAACACAAACUGGACCUCGCGACUUCCGGGUCUAGACUUCGCGGUCAUCUCCGGCGGUAACUGGUUCUUCCGAACCCACUACUUGUACGAAGGCGGAAAAACCGUCGGCUGCCUCAACUGCGGAGAGGACAACGUAAGAGACCUCGGCGUCGAGUUCGCCGUCCGAAGUGUAGUUCGAAAGGCGCUCGAGUUCGUUAGUACGUGCGCGGAGUGCGACGGGCUUGUAACAUUCCUGAGGACAUACACACCAUCACACUUUGAGAAUGGCUCAUGGUUCACUGGGGGGUACUGCAACAGAACUCAACCCUUGAGUGAGGAUGAGUUAGGAUUGCGCGGUUUUGAUUUGAAAUUGAGGAAGAUUCAAUUUGAAGAGAUGGAGAGAGCUAGGAGGACUAAGGUUAAUGGGCCGGGCCGAGAAUUCGGGCUUUUGGAUGUGACGAAGGCGAUGAUGCUUCGGGCCGACGGGCAUCCGGGGGCCCAUUAUGAUAAAAGGUGGGUUAGGAAUGCUAAUGAUUGCUUGCAUUGGUGCUUGCCCGGGCCUGUUGAUAUGUGGAACGAGGUGCUAUUGGAAACUCUAAAAAAGCAUUCGCCACUCUAGUGGUACAAUUUUAGUUAUUUGUUUGGAUUAAACAUAUAAGGUGCAUUUGGUUCAGAUUAUCCCGACAGGUAAUUCUGUUAGAAUUAUUGUAUUUGGUUCAUCCGGUAUGUAAUCUGCUCGGUAUUACAGGAUUACAAAAGGUAUAAGAUUAUACUUAAAAUAUUACUGAGAGGAUGGGUGUGUAUCUUGGAUUACUAAAGAUGGCUAAUCUUGCAUGUUAUAUAAAAUUAUAAAUUUACCCUUCCAAUUUCUGAAAGCCAUUUAAUACGUCAUUUUAAAAAUUUUACUUUAAAAUUUUGAAUUGUCAAAUCUUAAAUUUUAAAUUUUGAAUUUGAAUUUUAAGUUUUAAAUUUUAAAUUUUAAAAUUUGAAUUUAAAUUUAAAUUUUUAAUUUUUAAAUUUUGAAUUUUAAAACUAAAAUUAAAAUUUUCAUUUUUAAAAUUUUAAAUUUAAAUAUAAAAUUUUUAAUUUUACAUUUUACAUUUUAAAUUUUAAAAUUCAAAUUUGUAUUUUAAAUUCUAAAUUUUAUAUUUAGAUUUUAAAUUUAAAUUUAAAUUUAAAUUUAGAUUUUAGAUUUUAAAUUUAUAAAUUUAAUAUUUAUAUUUUAAAUUAAAAUAUUAAAAGAUAUAUUUUUGUUCCAAUUUAAAGUUUAAAAUUUAGAAUUUAAAAUUUAAAAUAGUUAUAAUAAAAUUUAGCCAAAAAAUAUUAUUUGUAAAUAAUAAAAAAAAUUGUCAAAUAUGGCUAAUAAGGGCAGUUUUGAAAUAGGCUAUAUUUUAUUGUUAAAAUUAUUGAAUUUUAUAGACUAAACCAAAUAGAGUAAUGCUAUAAACACUGUAAUACAGCAUUAUAUUACUGCAUUAAACCAAACGCGCUAAUACACCAUUAGUAGUAAUCUCAUUUAGAAAUUCAAGAAAUCUAGAUAUAUCGAACUACUCUGUAAUAUUACGCAACUUGAACCAAACACGCCCUAGAAAUAUUUGCACAAAUGAAUAGCUUUUGUACGUGAUUUUCCUUUUCUUUUUUCCUUUUAAACUACCAUAACAUGGUAACAUCCAAAAGCUCAAUCAUAAACUAAGAAUAAUUAAAAGAAAAAGCCUUUACAAAAUAUGUAUAUCCAGGACUUCGCCUGAUCACUAUUCACUAAUGCACACAAUCAUUAGCAACCUGAAAAACAAACCUGAAACUGGUCUUUAAAAUUAAUUCCCAGUCCUAACCAGCAACCUGGAAAAACAACCUGAAAAAGAGCACCAAAACCCCGAAUCCGAGAAGAAAGAGACACCCAAUUCCCAAGACUGACAGGUAGUCUUCUAUGUCGGCCAAUCGGCGGCGACGGCGGGAUUCGUUGGUACGGUUACUGCGAGGGACGUAAGGGACGAAAGGAUCCUUCACGAUGACGAUCUCCAGGAGCUGCGGCUGUCGCUGUGGCUGCAGCUGUGGUGGCCGCGGCGGCUUCUCUGUCCUCCUCAGAGGCCUCACAGUCGACGGCACGCGGUCGGAGGAGACUAAAACCACCCUGUCCAUCUUGCAGAGAGCUUCUUGAUUGCAACGAGACAAAGUUUGAACGUUGAUGGAAGAACCAUGGGGCAUGCAUGCAUAUAUAUAUAUAUACACACACACAUAGAGAGAGCAAUCUUUAGCUAUUCAAGUUACUUAGCGACACGGAUUAGGAAAUAGGAAAAGCUUGUUUCCACUAGGAGUAGGAAUAAGAAGAGAGGGAGAAAAUCAAAAAAAAAAAAAAAAAAGUCGUUUAUGCAAAUCAUAUUUAAAUGCCUAACUAUAAAUUAAUAUACCUUUAUCUUUUUUAAAUAAAAAAAAGAAAAAACAAAGAUUUAAAAUAUUUAAGAGAUAUAGGAUAAACAAAGCCGUUACCUACUUGGAGUAUUAUUCUAUACAGACACGUAACUAUUAAUUCGAAUAGUAGGGAAAAAAAAUAAAAGAAAAAUCGAGAUUGAACAAAUUAACAAGCGAGAUCAGACCCAUCAAACUAGUAAAAUGAUAAAAUUAAAUGCAUGCAACACACUAGCAUAAGGGAUGAACACGUAAACUUCAAUUUGAAGAGAGAAAUAAAACCCUCUACUUUGUGUUGUUAAUGAAACCAAGCACAAUAGCAUUCCUGAGUUAACUUGGACUGUAGCAAAUAAACACCAAAUUAGCUCAAACUAUGGCAAUUAAAAUAGCACGAACAUAGAUUUGCACUGACCGGAAUGUAUUAUUUUGAUGUCAAAUAAAUCUAUCUAUUUUACAGUUACGACAGGAUAAUCUUGUCACCCUUUUGAAUAUCAGGAGAUGAACAUGACCCCCAGCAAACUAAGAUGCGAGUAUGAUACAACGUGAAAUAUGAAAGUUAUGCGACGGAUUGAUCGCUAAAAUAUGUUGCAUUACAUUGACUAUCACAAGGUGAUUCUGGUAGUUGUUUGCGCAUUAAGUACUUGCGCCGCUGAACACUCAGCCAAACUAAGAUACUGUCAGUUCGGACAACCUCGUAACCAGCUUUUUUAUACAUCUUAAAUGGAACUUUGUCGACCAUUCUGCAGUGGAGAUAUACAGUUCUUUUAGCUCCCAUUCGGAUUAUCAGCUCCUCACACGCUUUCAGGAGUUGCUUUCCAAUUCCCCUCCUAGAAUACAAAAAGAAUAUCAGCAUAUAAACCAUAAUGCGGGAAAUCCCUAGUUGAAUGUCGGAUGAGCUAAUAUGCAGCACGUGUGGCCUUUGGAUCUGCGUCGAGUAAUACAUCUCUAAUUUUACAACAAUGAUGAAGAGAACAGUUGUCUGUACAAUGAACACAAUACGAGUUUAUAAUCAUCAGGGACAUGUUUCAGAACUAAAGAGGGGAAGGGGGAGCAGGGGAAAGGAAAGGUCUUCCUCUGUGAACGAGUCGAUACAAAAAAUUUACGGCGAAUUGCAAAUGCCACAGUUCGGUUCAACACAAAGGAUAAUGUGGGUGUUAAUACUGGGGGUCCUGUUUCUAAUUUUCUAUGCCUCUUUUGAUUUGACUAAUUUUGGCUAAAAGCUGCUACAUUACCUGAAUGGGUCUAAUGGUUGCAACUAUCUACCUAUUAAUCAUCAGGGCAAAUUUCAAAUCUUAUUUGAUGCGCAAAUUUUUUGGCCAAGCCCCCUUAUUCAUGUCAUAUUCAAGUUAUCUUGCAACACAAAACAAAUCUUAAGAUACGACUUCACGGCCUCCGCCAUUCCUGUAGAAUAUUAUCAUUUCAAGCUAUUCCUUUCUUAGCUCGGCGUUGUCAUGUUUCUAUUUUCUGCAAGAAUACAAUCCCGGCAAUAGUUUUCUAGUAGCUUGUGAAUUGUGACCGGGAGAUUCCAAGUGAUGGAGAACAAAUUCAAAAUUCAAUUAGCAACAAUAAUAUCAGCGAAUUCAAAUGAUCACUAAAUUAACAUCUUCCUCCUAAAGACACAAUUUAAAUAGCACGACAAGCAUACAUUGGGCGAUUCCGAUAAGGAUACCUUCUAAGCGACUUUUUCACAGUCAUGUUGCAGAUGUAGGGGCAAUCGGGCGGGGGCGGCGGCGUCGGGGGAGCCGCGAUGGCGCCGACGGCGUCGAAGGAGACCUCGGCGGUGCACGCGAGCUCCGCCUCCUCCGCGCCCUUCUUGCUCGUGUACAGGCCCACGAGCACCACCGCGUGGGGGACGAGGCGGCGCCGCUCCACCACGUACUGCUUCACCAGGAAGGCGAGGAGCUGCGUGUAGCGCGGCGGCGCCCACAUGGACUCGCUGAACGACUCGGCGAGGAGUUCGACGGCGGCGUCGAGCUCGGACUCGUUCAUGGCCCGGAUCAGCAGCGACCCGUGCUCGAACUCGUGCUCGUAGCGGAACUCUUCGAGCACGCGGAGCCGCUCCGGGGCGUCGAGGUCGAGGAAGCAUCCCCCGCCGCCGCCGCCGCCGAGGGAGGAGUCGGCGGCGACGGGAGGGGCGGGGAGAGAGGAGCGGCGGCGGCGGAGGAGAGAGCGAGCGAAAGCGUAGGGUUUGGAGAGGGAGAAGGGGCGAUGAGAAUGGCGAGGGUUGUGAUGGCGAGAGAGGAUGGGGUGGAGGGUGGAGUCCAACGAGAGGGAGAGGGAGGUGGGGGAGGACGCCAUGGAAGGGUUAUAGAGGGAGGAGUGGGACGGGAGGAAGAGGAGGAGGAGUGGGGGUCCAUUUUGAAUGGGAGGAGGAUAAUGAAGGGUUGGGUUAUUUACUAUUUAGUUUUCUUUUUUAAAAAGAAAAUUAGGUGAAUUCAAAUGUUCACUACGGCUGCUUUAAGUUAUUCUCUUUCUGAUGAGUUCUUCUUAUGGUUCAAGGAAAGAGAGGAAUCAGUUAUUAGAGUAACCAAAGGGAGAUGCUAUUUUUCACUGGGUAUCGAUUCUCCGCAAACGUUGGUGCGUAAGAAUUUUCUGUAUAUUUGGAGUUUCGAGUUUCUACCAUCUAUCACAAGAGGGCCGUGGUUGAUCUCUAUCAUGCAAACCCCGCUUUUUGGCUACUAUUAUAGAGUGUAGUUUUUCAUGGAGACCAAGUUUGUUUUUCAGAUAGAUCAUUAGACUUCUAACUUGCAGAAAAUUUUAUUCAUCAAAGUUGCUGAGAAUUUAUGGCCUUACUGUAUCCAUCUUAUCUUUAAUUUCGAUUCCCAGCGGACGCAUCGGCAGUUAGCCAUUAAUAUCAAUUUGUAGUGAUGUAUAAUGUUCAGCCUCCAUAGUAGUUAUUAUUCAUUUGGACAUUUGUUGAUUACUGCAACCUCUUGCGGUAGAGAUUUCAUUUUGCUGGAACGAGAGAAUCUUAAUGAAAAUACAAGAAAAACCAAUGUUUACUUACGUAUUUGUCAUUUUGUAUAUGUAAUUACAUUCAUCUUCCUACAUAAACCAUCUGGUUUAUUAAAUGCUUUACAUAAUUAAUACCAACAGUAGUGACCAAAUAUCUAUUAUCUAUUCAACUGGAAUUAGCCAUCUUCACAGUGCCGAGGCUUGAUCUACAUUGAGGCCCAUGUCUAUAUAAGCAUUUACAUUACAGAACAUAUAUGACCAGCUCUUUCUUUCUUUUAUUGUGCUCCUUCCAUACAUUUCUUUUCUAUUCUAAUUUUGAACUGUAAGUCUGUAACUAAUAUUCACUUAACAUGGACAAGCAUUGGAGACAUUACCACGUGCGGGUCAUUGAAUCUUGUUCAGUACAGCAUGAGGAAUCCUGAUCUAAAUAAAGUAAUUAUAAUAUUGUCUACUUCAAUCUUCCUCUACAUUGAAGUUUCAGUUUCCAUGAUCCUCUUCAAUUGCAGAAUUUUGAUUUCAAAAAAAUUGAACCACUCUUGAAAUGCUGCAGUUUGAGACAGCGCGCAUUGAGGUGUAUAAAUUGACUUUAUAGUUUAUUUACAGUACAGCUCAAGCAGCAAAAUACAAAAGUUUGAAGCAAAAAAUUAUAAUUGAACAACAGUUUCCAAAAACCAAAGAUCGCAUAACCUGAGCACUCUGCUUUUAAACUUUCAUAUUGGCAUAGAUAAUGAGUUGAAGUUCCUUCACACAUUCCGUCAUCGAUGGUCUCCCGCUACUCUCAAAACAGACACAGCGAGACGCGAGAUUUGCAAACAUUGUAAUAGACUCCAUGGUGUACGAGUUUUUAGACAUCUCAGCGUCAACCACCUUACGCAGCUUUUUUCGGUCAUUGAGUAUUUGAUGAACCUGAGAUCGAUGAAACAGUUUCCUUAUUACUGUACAGAAACUGGCAUCUACUCUCUAGAAAAUUUCAUUACCGUACCUUUAAUAUGAGAUUUUGAUCUGUAGGACCCUGGCUUAACUCUAUCGCUCUACGGCCAGUUAACAAUUCCAGCAAAACCACGCCAAAUGCAUAGACGUCACUUUGUAGUGUUAGUUUCCCUGUCUGUAACACAACAGUAAAGAAUGUAAAGAAACCGAUAUUAGAUAAUUACAAGUAACAAUGAGCUGUCGGAAACUUUAGAAAUAAAGAAACUAAGAAAAGCUAGACAUUAAUUGUAGCUCCAGUUUGAAGGAUUUUACGCAGGUAAAAUCAUGGCAUUAAAAUGCUUCGUCUAUUGGCAGAAUUUAUAGAAAAAUCAAGAUUAGGUGGCUAAUCAAAGAAUAUAACUGCUUUGAUGGUGGUAUGGAAUUGUUUGGCACUAGCCAGGAUAGUUUAGUAUCGGAAAGGAAUGAGAAGCGUACCAAUGCAUACUCAGGAUCAAAGUAGCCGAAAGUACCUAAAACUCUCGUUGUUGAGUAUAAGUCGGCACCCUCCGGCAUUAACUUGGCGAGGCCAAAAUCAGAUAUCUGAGGGGUUUUGAUUCCAUUACUAGUACACCAAGCAAUUUAUAGAAUAUAUUUGAUAAUAUUCGUUACCGGUAGAAACUCUACUCUACAUUACCUUGGCCUCAAAGAACUCACUGAGGAGAAUAUUGCUGGAUUUGAAAUCCCUAUGGACAAUGGGGACACCAACAGCCGGACUCAAAUGGAGAUAAGCAAGACCCCUUGCGGCUCCAAGUGCUAUUUUUAAUCUCAAUGGCCAAUCCAUCCUCACUUCACUGAUUCCUGAAAUGCCAAUCAAGGUUGGGGGGGAAGAAGUUAAAAAAAAAAAGAUAAAGAAAAAAGGGUAUGAGACGAAGAAAUGAUGUUCAUACACCUUGAAUUAAAUAGACAAUAGGUUACCAUGCGAAACUAACCAUUUAGAAGAUCUUGCAGGUUUCCCUUCGGCAUAAACUCAUAUACUAAAAACCUAUGCUUCCCAUCGGCACAGUAUCCAAUUAGUGUGACCAGAUUUGGAUGGUCUAAUCUGCUCAGAAUGUCCACUUCAACUCGGAACUCGCGUUCGCCGUCAGCUUGUUUAGAAGGUGAUAGAUCCAUUUUCUUGAUUGCAACAACCUUAAAAUCGCCAAAGAAAAAUAAUAAUAAGUUUCUGAAAAAAAAUGGAAUAAAACUAGUUCAGAAGUCAACAUAUCUUUAUGGUAGGCAUAUCUGAGAUUACACCUAAUUGCUGGCCACUUGAUUAGUAAUGUAUUUGCUGAAAAUAUGACAGUAGAACCGAAUUUCUUCGAAAUUUAAAGCCAGGUUAGAGAAUUUAUGCACAGUUUAUUGCCGUAUUCAUAUUCCAUCUAAUUAACAAUUCAUUUUCAGAUUGUUGUGCCAUUUACUUACUGUCGAUCAGAUUCCAAAUUCGGUAAAUAACACAGUGCAUCAAACACGACAUAGUUACGGUUCGAUACGACAUCCAUUAUAAUUUACUUACAGACCUCACCAUUCCUUAAAACUCCCUUGUACACCCGACCGAACCCUCCUUUCCCGAUCAGGUUCGCGUCGCUAAAAGCACUAGUCGCCUCCUCCAUUUCCUUGAGAGUGAACACCGACGAGCAAUUACGCUUCUUCGGAGCGGGGCACUGAUCUUUCAGCUGCCAAAGCUCCGCCGGCUUAUAGAUCCCUGCCGCAAUGGUUAACUAAAAGCCUCAAAUUUGACCACUCCAACCAAUAAAUUCCCCACAAAUUCAGUGUUAUACCACUUACAUGGAUUGAUAUGAUCGAGUGACUUGCUUCUCCUCCUCUUGUUCCAUGAUGUAACAAUAUUGAAAGGCAUGUUGGGCCUUCAAUUACGCCAGUGUGAAAUGCAACUGCACAUUUACAAACACAUAAUAUAACCAUAGAACACAACAGGGCAUCAAUAAACAUGGGCAAUUGAAGAACUAAAACAUGGCCCAAGAAUCAUCUAAAAAAAUUAAGAAACCGACCUGAUAUUAGAACGAAACAAACGGAGGAGUAAUUGAUUUUCAGCAGGUCAUGGAACACACGGUUUCUUUUAAGAGCUGCAGCAGAGGAAGAGAACCCAUUAGAACGAAAAGCAAAUAAUAGAAGUAGAGGGAGCAUGAAAGAGACGGGGUAAUACUAGGAAAGGGGGUCUCUUCGGAGCUACGAAUGAAGCUAUGGUGCAAUUUUUUAGAGAUUACCCACCAAACUCGUGUCCCAACCACCUACUAUUUUGCAAAAGAGUAAAGGAGGGAGAAGGAGAGGAGGAAGGAAAGCAUAAUGUAAAAGGAAAGCAGAGUACUUGAAGACCAAGAAAAGCAGAGAGAUUGAGAGAGAGGGAGAGGAGAAGGGGUUUGGGGUUGUAGAGAGAGAGAGAGAGAGAGAGAGAAGUUGAAGGCGAUGGGCGCGAGAGAACCGUUGUGAGGAAGCUUUCGUUCCCUUCUUUUUCGCAAAUCGCAACCUCCGCAUUUGUAUUUUCUUUUUCUUUAUUUUAAUUAAUAAAAAAAUUAUAACGUGUUUGAUGUUGUUACUUUAAAAAUCCCUCUAAAGCACAACCUUUUGUUUGUUGGCCUCUCUGAUUUUUUCAAAUUAAAUAAGGUCUUUAGAAUCUUUGGCUGAAUAAAGCAGUACAUUGAAUCAAGUUUGCUAAAGAUCGGUAGAUCAUAUGGCGGGACAUUUAUAACGGUUUGCUUGAAAGUCUCUUUUGGGCCAUCUUGUGAUCCUGUUUUUAAGUUCUUGUUAACAGUGAUCAGGGAGCAGAUAUUAGCAGAUCUGUGGAUGACUGAGAUAAAGCAAAGCACACCGAUUCUCUUAUGUCAUGGCACUUUUGUCACCCAUAAACCAAUAUAAAUUUCAGUUUCAGGAAGAGAAAUAAUUUUGAAUCUUAUGCCAUAUGGCAUCAGUUAGGAAUCUAAGCUAGCCAAUUUAAAAAUAUUUUAGACAUCUUUAGUAGAUGUCUAAUACUAUAUUGGAAUUCUGGGUAGUUCUCCCACUGCUGAAUUUCGUAUUCCACAUAUUAGUUGAGACGUUAAACAAUAUUGUUACAUUAACUCUUUACCGAACACCGAAGAAAAAAAUAUAUCAAAUGAGAAGCUUUCAAAGAGAAGUUAACUAGUCUAUUUUCGAUGUGUGUUCUGUUUCAAACCACCUAGUUUUUUAAGCCUGAGGUUCAAUUCUCAGCUUAUCCACUUACAGCUAGGACCUAGCUCACUUGUUUGUAAUUGCACAAAACUUAGGCACUAACCGUGAUUAAUAUAUUUGAAAACACGCUCUCCUCUAUUUCCUAUUUAUUUCAAGCGUCGAUUAGUUCAUGCAUAGAAUCCAAAAUAUUGUAAAUUUGUCACCACAUCAAUAACAUGUAAGGAACCCGGCCUACGCUCCAAUUUAUUUUAUUUUAUUAUCGAAAAUAUAGGAGACUUUUCAAUCGGGGAACCAGAGCAUUUAAACUUGAGUUAGGAAAUAUAAAAGUUAAAAUUCCCUUUAAUAGAAAAUCAGCAACCUCCAUUCAUUUUUCCUGAUCUCUGUUCGAAUGUGCAUAUCUUCUCUAAUCUCAAAUGUCGGUGUUCUAUAGGUACUCGUUGCAAAUAAUGUUAAUCUAAGUCAAUUACAAUGUUAAUACUUAUGAUCCAAAUCACAUUCAACUCAGUCUGCAUGUAACAUACAUAAGCAAUCAUACUAGUACAUCAGUAACUUUUUCAUAAAAUUUUUAGUAAUCUCUAUAGACGUACAAAAAGAUAGAAGUUUAAAUGUGCAUCCAUGAAGAGGACAUGUUCAUUCAACGAUCUGGGAAAUUUAACAUAUUCUACUGGAGCUAUUUCAAAAACUUUCAGUUCAUUUUUCAAAGUUCCCUUCUCCCAUACACUUUAAAGAGAAAAAAAGUCUCUCUCUCAAAAACAAAUCGAGUCCCCUACUCUGGUGCAGUAGUACCAACUACCAAUUCGACUCCAUAAAUAUCCAUCUUAAUUUUCCUGCAAUGGAUGUUGAUUAAAAGAAUGAGACGAAAAAGAUAGAUGAGCAGUGCACUGUAACUACGCCAAUAAUUAGCUUAAUCAAGGUCGACAUCUCAUGUGCGUUUAGAAGCAUAUUAUAGCAAUUCAUUUGCUACCAUAUACAUUUCUCAAAAGCAUCUACUCAAAUGUUCAUGCUGUGGACCCAGUGGUGUACUCUUACAUGCAAAUAUUUUAGAUUACCGUUGCACCGACGUGAUAAUAAUGGUGAGAGGUCGCAGUAGGUGGUAGUAGAUGAAACUUUUAAUGAGAAAUGCAGAGGAUUGAAGCCCACAUCUCUGAACAAGCACUAUAUAUUCUGAGCUCUCCUUUGCUGAUUCAUAUCACAUUGUAUAAAAGAUGGCUUCUAAGGUUGAUGUGCAAGUUGAGGUGAAAUCCCCUGCAGAUAAGUUCUGGGGAGCCAUAAGGGACUCCACUGAUCUCUUCCCCAAGGUAUUCCCCAGUCAAUACAAGAGCAUCGAGAUUGCCGAGGGCGACGGAAAGAGUCCCGGCACGAUCCGGAUCGUCAAGUAUGCCGAAGGUAAAAUGCUUCGAUAACAUUAAUCUUUUUUAUUCGAAGUAUAUAACUUCUUCUGUAGUAAGUACUGUCCGAAUAGAACUGCUUGAAAUUAGACUUUCUACUUUUCGAGUAGUAAUGUAAAUAAACUGUGCUUCAUAAUGCAGGAGUUCCGUUAGUUACAUUCUCGAAGGAAAAGGUCGAGGUGGCCGACGACGCGAAUAAGCUGGUUUCGUACAGUGUGAUAGACGGAGAGAUGGUGAACCUGUACAAGACCUUCAAGCCCACUCUCCAGGUUAUUCCGAACGGGGACGGCAGCUUGGUGAAUUGGUCCCUCGAGUUCGAGAAGGUGAAUGCGGAGGUCCCCGAGCCCGAUCUCAUCCUUGAGACUGCGGCGGAGACCUUCAAGGAUCUGGACGAGUACCUUCUUAAGAAUUAGGGCUAUCAGAAGAAGAACCACCAGUACGGGAGAAUAACGCCGGUUGUCGCAAUGAUUGCUUUAUGAAUGUUAUUGUACUUCAUGCAUGGAUCAUGUCCUUAUGUUAUUAAUGAUCAUCCUUCUUUACUAGCUAUGUGCAUGGCUAAGGUAUAAAUAAAUCACUGAUAAAGUAACUGAUGAUAUUAGUAAAAGGACUUAGAUUCAAUAGAUAAAACCAUAUUGACUAAUUAAAAUUUACAACAUUAUAUAUAACUUUUUUUUUAAAAAAAUAGCAUACUGUCCACUUCAUUUAUUGAAAAGAAUCAACUUAGACACAAAACUGAGACGGCUGAGACCUCUAUAAGAGCAACCAAAAGAUGUUUAUAAAAAAACAUAAAGAAAAUUAAAGAAAAAAAAAAUCAAACACAAAAACAAUCCACAACAGAAGAGUCCUUAAUGACGGCAAAAUUACUUCUGUAUCGGACUAAACUAGAGACUUCUCAAAGAAUAGUCUCUAGCUCAGAAUAGCGAUUUUUAAAUAUCACAUUAUUUCUUUCCAAUCAAAACUCCAACCAAGCAAAUGCAGUUUUGUUUUAGCCAAAAAGAUAAAAAGUUGAUAAUAAAAUAAAAACACCGAGAGCUUUGAAAACUCUUAAUUAUAUUAUCCAAAUAAUUGAUCCAUUAGAAAACAGUUUUGAAAAUAUAGUUAAUAAUCUCCAUUCAUUUUUUUUUGGGUGGACAACUCCAUCCAUUUAUUACAAAUUUUAAGUCAAACCAGCCAACUGUUUUCCUUCAACGGGCAAUAAAUUUGGCUUUAUAAAAAGCUUCAAAAUGUAAGAAGUAAAUUGACUGGUCAACGGAUGACGUGACGAACCAUGAUGACGUGGCGGACCAGGUUUAGGCAGUAACUUCCACGCUGGGUCCAAAAUUCGGAUUCUUGAAACCGACCACCUCCGUAAUACCCUGCACUCUUCUCCCGCCUUUUGGUUUCUCAGCAUAAUCCCAUUCCAAACUCUCUCUCUCUCUCUCUCUCUCUCUCUCUGUUUCUCUCUCUUCCCGAAUACCUCCAUUAAUGGAGGGCGCUCAUGUCCUCUCGCUCUCCGACCUCCUCCGCGCCUCUCGUCCUCUCACCGGCGCCUCCUCCCUCGUCUCUGUUCCCACCUCGCCACGCCCACCCCCUACGAAAAGAUCCAGAGUCGAAACCCUAAACCUCGAUCACACUACAAACCCUCUCCUGUUCUCCGAUCUAAGCCCUAAUCCUAACCCUAACCCUAACGCCUUCUUACCGAUCAAGCGCCCCGUGCUACUCAUCGGCACCGUGGAUUUGCUUCCUCCCGACUCCGAUAGGUGCAGAGGGUGCGAGAACCAUUGUCUCUCGUUCUCCGGUGGGUCCUCUAGGGUUUGCUGCUACGUUCUUGACUUUGAUCCCGAGAUCCUCCGCAGGGAGAUCGCCGUACUCGCUUGGAAUUUUCUCCCUUUCGAUCGAGAAACGGGCGUAGGCGGUGGCGGCGGAGUAUUGGAAGUGAUUAGGUGGCGCUUUACGGGGCCGGCAACGGCCUUUGAUGGAGGCUUCUUGCUCUCGGCUCUGUCGAUCGGUUCGCAUCAAGAAACCAACUCGGUUGUUCGGUCUCGUAAGAUUGGUGUUGUAAGAUCGAUCAGCCUUGUCUUUAAGGUCCCUUAUGCGACACAACAUGACGGAGGGGACUCUGUUGGAUUUCUUGCUGAGAUUUUAUCAUGUGAAUGUGAUUCUUGUAGCAGUGCUUUAAUGAGACAAGGUACUGAUAACUGUUUUGUAGGAGGAAACGAUGUACAUAAAUUUACCAAGCCAGUAUUUGUAUAUUUCCUCAAUCCGUUGUAUACCUGGCGCCCUGUUCUUUCUAAGAUGAUUGGGAAAUUAGUAGUGCUCUCAGGAUUGAAAAAAAAGUUGGUUUUUGUUGGAGAGGAAUCGUACACAAUGUUUGUCUCAACAGGGAGAACCACAUUGUCUUUGCGUGGGUUGUCUACAGGAACUCUACCUUCAGGUGGAAUGACGGCAAAAGACGGAGAGUGUAAUAACAGUGUGUAUAGCGGGACCAUUACUGGGAUUUACAUGCAGGGUAUGGUGGUGGAGUUGGAUCAGAAGGUGUUUCUUUUAAUUAAUGAUCCGCAGCUUGCACCGCAUCAUUCUUUUAGAUCUGGUGCUAUUGUAUGUGAUCUCUUCUUCUUAAACUCAAUGAAUAGUUCUUUUAACUUUUUGUACAUUUACCUACCUUCGGAUUGUUUCUUUGCAGGUUUCUGUCAGGAAUUUUCAUUUAGUUCGACCAAAUUUUGCUUCGAUCAAGAUGGUUUUACUUUGUACAUGUGUUAAAACCAAUAUUGAUGUCGAGUCCUUUUCACUUAUUGAGACCAAGUAAAAAACUAUUAUUUUAAAUUCUUGUUAUUUCAAAAUUUGUUGGGACCUGCUUGUAUUAGGAUUUUUUUUUUUUUUUGAUAUGGCUUCUAUCACUGUUGCAGAUGCCAUUUAAAGAUUCAGAGUAAGAGCCUACUGGGGAAGUUUAUUAAUUCGUUGACAUUUUCUGCUAGAUUUUGGUACGGACAAUUUGCACAGAUUUUGUCAAGUAAUUUCUUUAUUAUUACAUGAAACUAAAUGUUUUAUUAGUAUAUGGUGAUUGAAUUACUAUUAAUUAUUGAAUGCCAGGGUAUUACUUCUGGUCUCUUCCUUUAAGCAGAAAUUUCAAAGUGUUUGCUCAGAAAUGGAAAUCCUGGGCUCAAAUAAUGUAAGUUGCUAUUUUACAUAGGGGCAUGGAAUAUUCUUUUCCUGUUACCAAGCAGCUGCUAUUUUAUUAUGUUAUCCUGGAGUAUUAGCUUAUUGAGUUAACUUGCCCUCUAUCAAGCUUUUAUAGCUGACAAUCUAUGUUUGCAAGGUGCCAACAGAAGGAAGGACUGGUUCAAACCUAUGCUAGUAGAUGGUUGUCUCCAAAUGACUACCAACCUAAGGUGAAUUAUUUACUUUUAAUAAGGAUAUGGCUUUUCUUUGAUUCCUUUUGAUAUAUACAUAUACUAGCCACAGUGGAGGUGAGAUCUAGUUUAUACAACAUGACAUGAAGGCCUGAAUCAGGGAUUUCAUCUCUAUUAAUUGCUUUUCCUGUGGUACUGCGAUUUUCGAAGUAAUUUUGUUAGUUAACUAGCCUCUUGUGUUGCUUGCGUUUUUUAAUAUUCUUCUGAUCUCCUAAAAUGUUUCUUGUAAUUGUGUGCUUGCUCCUGGGGUUCUCAUUCUGAAUUUUUUGGUAACAGCAUGGGAUUUUUAUGGAAUUCUGCAAACAUGAUUCAUGUAUGUAUAAUUCAGAAUCGGAUUUGAAGUCGCUUAAAUUGGUAAGAUCUCAUCUUGAGAACGGCCUUUAAGUGAAUUAAGGAAUCUUGAACUUCUUUUUUUAAAGUCAGAAUCUUUUUUUUUUUUGAUCAGGUAAUACCCCUCUCUAAUCUUAUCAGCAAAUGUGAAGAAAUAUGGGUGUCAUUUAUAUUAAAGAGACAGAAAGAUGCUGAAAAGGGUGGGCUGAGGCACAAUUUGAGCCAUUUCAUUCAUGAAGGAACAUCAUGUCGUCGGUUUAUUAGAAGAAUAAUACCAAGUGAAGACCUGGGCUUUAUUUUACUGGGAAGUAUCAAGGUUAGCUUGAUGCAUGAGUUAGCUAUUAUAAGCUUUUACUUUCUAGAUUUGUGGAUUUUUCUUGUUUAGUACUGUGUCUGGUCGUCAUGCAUAUGUAACUUCCACAUUCUUCUGCACAAGUUAGGUGGACCUGAAAAGUGCUUUUACUUUUGAUUAGUUUUUUAGCAGUUAUUUCAUCUGUCACAUGCUUAUUGAUAGCAGAUAUAAUAAAACUAGAAUCUUGACAGAUAUUAGGUGUUUUCUUUCUCUUUCUUAUAAAUUUCUUUGCUACCCUAUUGGGUUUGUGUUAUACAUAUAGCUAAUUAAGUUAGAGAUUGUAGUUCUAUGAGCCACACAGGUACAUAGAAGAUCGUAAAUGGUGGAGAAUAUGUUAUACCUAUUGAAUGAGCUCAUUCUGGUGGGGCAUGUACUCCAUUUUUGUUAGAAAUGUGCUAUCAAAGUUGAUAACCGAAAUAGUUCCAGCAUAAACACGCAUAGGCUUUUGUUUUUGGUUACAAGUAACAUUGCUCUUGCAAAAUGGAGCCACCAUAGUUCUUUUACACCAUUUCAAAAGCUUCUUUCUGAUAAAUUAGUUUGUAGUGUCAUUUUGCACAAAUAUGUUAUAAUCUUAUUGGUUCCUUUUAUAAUUUCAAAUUUAAGAUCAUUGCUCCAGCAUAUGUAAGGUUCACCUGAGUACAGUUUCUGGCUUGACUUUUUACACUUAAUAUGCCUAUAUGCGCUAAACUAUGAAAUUUGAUAAUUUCAAUUUUGUGCAUUCAGACUUCUUCACCUUCAGGAAGGUUACAAUUGGUUGAUGCUACGGGAAAUAUAGACGUUGUUAUACCAGACCUGGUAUCAAAUGUCAAUUGCCAUAACAUUUAUGAGGUGAUGUAUGGUUGCUGAUAUUGCAUGUUUCCUUUCCAUAUUUGAAGAUUUUGCUGUUUGGCCAACUGCCACUUUAUAUAGUUAAAUUAGUCCAUCAAGUUACUGCCUUUUUCAUGUCCAUAGUCAUCCUCCUUGUCAUACAUAGGUUUUUUUUGAAGUUUUGAUCGUAGAUAUAUUGUAGUUUAACUAUUUUGUGAUAUAUUAUAUGCAUUAAUCAAGAGUGAAGGGCACUUUAGCAUAAACUUAUCCAAUAUCCAUUCACUUUACGGUAGCCGAAUACCUUUUUUGGAAGGUUCCACAGCUGCACAGAAACUCUCCAAAGUGUUAUUUGCCUGCUUGCUAGGUGUUCCUUUCAGCUAGUUGUUGCUUAUCCACAUUUCUGCCUGCUCUUGCUUUAAGUGACUAAUUUCCUGGCAUACUUAAUUAUAUGCACUAUAAAAUUUAUCACACCCUAUUGACUUUCUUAUGAGGCAACUGGCGAUAGGACAUUGUAUGUUUGAGAUGUUGAAUUUGAUUAACUGGUUAGCUAAUUACCCAGUCUGUAUGAGUUUCUACAAUUUUUUUUUGAAUCAAACAAGUGAGAAACUUCAUUUUUGCAGUGCUAAAAAUAAUCAAGUAUUGUAGUGUAGAAAAAAAACUGGUCUUGUUGCGUUAGUCACUAGUCUCUACUAUUGGAUAUUAGAAUGUUAAAGAACAAAAACAACCUAUUGAUAUUGCUGAUUCAUAUGCUCGCCGUGUAGAUUUCAAAAGAUGCAUAACAAUUUCAAUAAGAUUAUAUGCAGCAACAGUGUCCAUAUUUUGAAAUGAAUAUCUCUUUUCGUUUAGAUGAGGAAUUGUCUCCCUACUUCCAGAUAUAGGUGCCUUUUGUGAAAUUUUUUUAAUUAAAGAAUUAUCAAGUUCUUAGUUCUUACCAUACUUGCUUGUGUUGAUUGGCAAAUUUUUUUUUUCUGUUCAGAUUAGAGAAUACAAGCUUGUUCUUGAAGGUUCACCAACUCAACUAGAUAAUCAGCAAUAUGAUUUUGGCCCGCUGCUUACCUGCAGGGCUAUAUUCCAACAGUUCUCUUGCAGAAAAAGAUUAAAUAACAUUACGAUGUACGUCCACUUCAAUCUCAGGGACUCAAAUUGUCUCCAUGUUUCCUCCUGUGCCCCUUCUCAUGAGGUUGCUUGUGUUGGAUUGUUUCAUCUGCUGCUCGUAAAACAUAAAUUUCCUUCAACCGAUAAUGUAUGGUUCCUAAAAUUUUCUUAAUCUUCACAUUGCCUUGACAUUUUAUACGUUUCUUUGUUUUUCUUUUCCUUCUUUUUUGCUUUGAUUGUUUACCUUUCAUGUUGUGUAGUUUCCAGAUGAUCCAAAAAUGUGGAACUGCUCUAGUUUGUUUGCUGAGGCUUUGGUCUUGCCUUAUAAUCUCAAUUUUCCAGAGAAAAGUGGAAAUAUCCAACCAACAGAGAUUGUUCAAGAUAUGCUAGAUGCACAGAAAUUUGUCCAUGUAUUGAGUAGAAUUACAACUACUGGCUCAGCCAGUAACCUUAGGGCAUCUGAAAGGAAAUUUUGUCAUAAUCCUUGUUCUUUUUCCUUCAGAAGUGCCAGUCUUCAUGGGACACUGAUGCCUGCCCGUGUACAUAGAUCAGAUGGCAAUUGUUUUAAGGAUUCAGUUGAUGGCCAACAUAAUAUGAGGAUUCUGCUAGAAUUUAAGGCUGAUAGCUUUAUCUACUACCAGGUGGGCUUAGGUGCACUAUAUUGUCAACUUUAUUGCUAUUACGUAGUGAUGUAACCUUUCUUUACAUUGCCCAAAUUCUUUGAUGUUUCUAUGUUUCUCUUAGUUUGUCUUUAUUUAUCUUGUUCUCCUUGCCAGUUGCUGCGGAUAGGUGGAUAUUAUCUUCUAAAAUGUUCGAGCGAUGGCCUUACAUGUAAUCUGAAAGGCUGUGAAUGUUUUGCGUGUGGUAAAACUUGUAUUGACUCUCAAAAUACUCUUCGGAGUGUUUCAAUCAUAUUUAAUGGUUGUAACAAUCAUAAAGGGUCUCGUGAAGAACACACUUCUGAAGUUUCUUCAGGGAGAGCUGGUGAACCAAGGAGCCACUAUGCAACUGAGCUACUACUAUCGAGCCCUUUGGAACAUUUUCAUGAAACUUCAGAUUUUCAUCUGGAUUUAUUGAAUGAAGAGCAUCUGUUAGGGAUUCUUCCUCGUCCAAGUGAGGUGUUAAGUGUAUCGUCAUGCAUUCGUAUGAUGACCGCUGAGUUUAGGACUACUGGGAUUAGUGAUUUGCAAGGCCACUGGUUGCCCCAAGGAGAUCUAGUCUCUUUAAAUGGAAAUAUAGAAGAUGUUCAUUUAAAUGAUUGCAAAUCUACAUCUUUUGUGAGCUUUAGAUUUCUGACUGGUAGUGACCAAAGAAGAAUCUCUAGUGUCUGCAUUCAUGUGGCAGAUGAUACUUGCGUGGUAACUCUUUUUUAGUGUUUAUUUCUUGUGGUCUAUCGUUACUAUUGAGAAACUAUUCCUCACUACAUAAUAUUUGUCUUACAGGUGCAAAUUUCUGGUCAUUUGAGCAUGCGUGCCUGUCCUGUUGGAUUUAGACCAGGAGUAAAAGCAACAUUCCACCGGGUAUUGAUGAUGUGGUAUGGCUCAUUUCUUUUCUAUGAUGUAUAUCAACUUAGCUUCUUUAUAACUUAUACUGUACUCAAAAACUGAAAAUUUUCAAUUGUGUUGCAUCCAAAAAUAUGUAUGGUUAUCAUGUCGGUAGAAUAGGACCUUGGUUCAUAGUAUAGGAUCUUUUUUCUGUUGUUAUUUUGUUUCAUACUUUCAUAUCAUAAUAUUGUUUUCAUGUGCUUCACUGGUUUGCUUGACAUGUUGCUAAUAUAUAGGGCAUAAAGAUUUGCGAGUACAUUGUUAUGGUUAAACUUCUGAGCACAAUUAACUGUUGACUUCUUACACUAUUAGUAUUGUCGUCAUUGUCAUUUGCACCAUUAGUUUGUAAUUCUUGUUUCAUUAUGAGGUUUGGAUUUUCCAUUUGAUGAAGUUCUUGUUUCAGUUGGAGGUUGGAUUUUGCAUUUGAUGAAGUUUUCUCUUUCCCAACUGGCAAUCCGCUUGCAUUAGAGGUUGGGUUUUUGAUACCUUACUUAGUUAAUUCGCGAUUAACAUGCGAAUUAUUCGCGAAUUUUUGAAGAUACGAAUUAAACGGCCGUUUCCGUAUUUUUUUGAAAAAUUCAAAAAAAAAACACCUUUUUUUCGUCAAAAAUAAUUAUUCGCGAAUUAUUCGCAAUUUGCGAAUGAUUCGCCCGAAAAAAACGGCGCUCGCGGUUGCAGACUCGCGGCUGAGGGUCGCAUCGUCGCCGAACUCGUUCGUGUCGUCGUCGUCGUCCUUCUCCGCCGCCUUGGCUGGCGCUGGGAGCAAGAAGGCUGUAGCAGCGGAUCCCGUCUCGCCCGAGGCCGUCCGCGGAAACCAUGUGGAAGUGGAACAGUGAAAAAGGCGCAGCUUUGGGAGGCAUGGAUCGCGCGCGGUCGACGAGGCCACUUCAGCCUUGUGGACCGCUUGAGAGGGAGGUCCACGGUGGACCUCCCUCUCAUUAUAUAUAUAUAUAUAUUCGUAUAUUAGUAGAGAGAGAGAAGAUAGAGAGAGGAGAGAGAGGAGAAGGACGAGGAUGAGGAGACGAGGAGAGAGAGUAGGCUACUAUACUCUUAUAAGUAUGGCCUUUUACUCGUAGUUUUUCGAUGAUGGCUUCUGUCGAACGAUCCACUCCGUUAAAUAUGAUCUACAGUAUUUGAAACUUCUAGAAAAUAAAAUUCGGAAUUUCAAAAUCAAUAAUAAUUCAUCAAGCGGGUAAUAAAAUGAACGGUCAAAUCGAACGACGUCCUAAAAAUGGAUGAUCAGAUCCUUCAAUUUAUAGAUCGAGUUAUUGAUCUUAUCCUAGGUAAGUGAAUAAUAAUUUUCUAUCAAAAAGUUCAACCUAUUCGAUUCUUUUACAACCGUAACUACAGCGUACUCAUAUCGGCCGUUAAAAAGUUUCAUUUGUGAGCUUUUGAUCGUUAGUAAAUAUAUCGAAAAAUUAUAAAUUUUGAUUUCUCUAGAAUUUUAAUGCUCAAUAAUAUGUUUAACGUAUGGAUCGUCGAUUCGGAAGCUCUAUCAUCGAAAAAUAACUUUAUGAUACGAAGGCGAUCGUACUCAUAAGAGUAUAGUAGCCGGACUCUAUAUAUAUAAUAUAUAUAUAUAUAUAAAUAAUUAUAUAUAUAUAAAAUUUUAUUUAUAAAUAUAUAUUCAUUUAUUAUAUAUAGUAUUUUAUUUUUAUAUAGAAAUAUUAUUAUAUAGCCGAAUUUUUUAUUCCGAAUUUUUAAUUGGUGAACGUAUAAUAUCUGUAUAAAUCACGUGUCCGAAUAAUUACCGAAUCCGUUUUUUAGCCGUAUUUUUCAAUGAAUUUUAAAAUUAAAAGACGAAUUUUAUCCGAAUUAUAUCCGUACCGAAUUUUUGCUGAAUCCGAAUUAACUAACUAUGUUUGACGCUGGCACAUUGGCUUAUUGAAGCAGGACAAUCUAAGUGAUAUUUCUUUUCUUAGAUUUUUGUUAAUCCAAAGUAAUUGACCUCUGCAAUAUACAAUCUAGAUGGUUGUCUGCAAGCAGAAAUUCGCUGUAUGAUGGUGUGCUUUAAUAAAAUAAAAUGAAUUAUUGCAAGCUUCAAGUUUUUCGUGAGAAUAUACAUCUUAAUGAGCUGUUGUAUUAAAGUGCUGUUUAUCUCAAUUUGCCGAAAGCAAGAGAAGACUUUACAGAUAAUUUACCGCAAACUAUCAAACAAUUAUAAUGUCAGUUAACAGAUAAUCAAGUGCUGAUUAUUCUUGGCAUCCUAAAUUUGUGGAAAAUUUUCGGUGAGUUGUUAAAUGGCGCUAUAAGCUUUGGUGUUGGUAUACUUGUAGCAUCUGUCCUCAUGUCUUUGAAUAUUUCUCUGUUGUUUUGCUGUGGACGUUAAGCUUUUUCAACUCUCACAACAUGCCUUCUUUUCCAUUUUACUAAUGUUUCCUGAUUUAAAUAACAUGAUUUGCAAUGCUCUAAUUUAACUUAAUUGCAGCUCUUCUAGUGGAAGACAUGCAUUGUUAUUUACCCCGGUAACUUUUAUUGAAAUUAACUCCAUCAGAGAAGUUGUUGACGAGCAGAGUGAAGAACGGAUGGUACUGCCUACCAGGUUAACUUUUCCAACUGAGCAUUUAUCUGACACAAUUCCGUUAGGUCUCUUCUUGCAGCUAGUGAGAUCAAUGGACAGCAAGCUUACUAAGGUCCGCUGCAGGGUAAGAAGUUCUCUAAUGUUGCCUUUUUUAAGUUAAUUUAUUUGAAUUACCUUCUACUGUUGUGAUUCUUGCUCAUGUGCAUCAAGUCAUGGUUUCUUGGAAAAUAACUUCAUCUACUUUUCGUUCUUAUUCUUUUUGAACCUCUGCUACAGGUUGUGACUACCCAAUUUUUGGUGCUUGAACAUUGUGGUCAUGAUUCCAUGAAUUCAGAACAAUGCAGAUUGUGUAGUAUUCCAAAAGUUAAUAUUCCAAUAGCUGGAUUUGUUAUGGGUAAGAUACAAAUUUAAUUUCUGAAGUUUACAUUUGACUGGAAAGGGUAGGCAUGUAGGCGUGCUUAUACAUUGGGUAGUUUGUGGGUCAUAGAAUUGUUGCAGUUACUUGCUUCUUGGAUGGUACACGUUUUAUAUGAUUAAAGUUCUUAGAGAAGGCUUUUCAAUUUUCUCAUUCUCCUUUUUUUCUUUCUUCUCUGCUUAAUUAUGCCGUACACCACUGUAUACCGCUUUUGUCCAAUCACUACACUAUUCUAUUUUGGUCUCCAGUUACUGUAGUUAUUAAGAUGCGACAAAGGACUGCUAUGUUUACAUCCGUUAACUUGCCAUGGAUGGAAGGCAAAACACCUCUUGUGACCAUUUCAUUGAGCAUUUUACAGGAAUCUCGGCUUUGUCUUCCCCCAGCCAGCUCCAUUUGGUCUGUCUACCUUCCUCUCCUCUAUUGCCAGAUUGUUGCUGUUGGUGGUGCUCCCAGCCCUUUGACCCAAUUACUUUCGGAAUGUUUCAAGAUUUUUGUAGUUGAUGGUUCUUGUAUUUUGUUUGAGUUGGGUCAAGUUUAUGUUAUCACAAUCAAUUUGUUCAUGUUGAAUCCUCCCUCUAUGUGAACAACUUGCAUCAACCUAAGUUUUAGAAGACAAUCUCUCUAGACCUGAGCCAUUCCUGUUAUCAUUUUGUUUUUAUUUUGUCAACAAAUUGGUAUUCUUACGGCUUUUGUGGUAGCUGAACUUAGCUAUAGAAUUCUGAAAUCAACUUACGAAAGUCUAGAGUGGCACAAUUAUUUAAUAUUUUUUUGUUUCGUUUGCAGAAUUUAAUAAGUUAGCAGCAUUUCAACAUCCAACGCAUAAACAUGUCUAUGCUUAGUUUCCUUUUGGAAGGCUGUGUCAAAACAUAGAAAGUUGAACUGUUGUAAUUUGUUAUUUUAUUUGCCUCAUAAAACUGAUGGUCUAUAAAGGUUUCACAAGAUUUGAUUUGAAAGCUUAAAUGGUAAUUGUCUAAGAAGGUUGAAUGUCGACUGUUAGUUAUCAAUCCCUGGUGCUAUUGGUUAGAAGAUGUACUACAAUUGAUUUUUCUUUUUUCAAUUGCAUAGAUGAUGGAUUGUCGUUGUGUUGUUGCUGGGCUGAUAGAGAUCGUGCUGGAAUGCUACUUAGGCUGCAGGAAAAUGCAAAGUAUGUGUUUAGUGAUGCCAAGGUCUUCAAAGGAGGAGGCAAUACUGGAAACUUACAACAUACAGUCGGUUAUCACUUGCAAAAGAUGCUAAAAAAGCAUGGCAGGGUCAUCGUCAAAAACCAUGGAAUAGCAGCCGAGUUAUCAUGUCAAGAUUUGACAUUUUCUUGUGAUUCAGAUAAACAUUUCAGUAGCUCAGAAGAAAGGCUCCUUAAGUUUAUUAUUCUUAAUGCCUGUCAAGGAUCUGUUUUGGUUAGUUUUCCCCUUCAAUAUCUAUCCCUUUUAUUAUGCAGAUAAAAACUUGAAUUUUGUCUCUACUGCUUGAUAUUUGUUUUGGAUCAGCUUGCUUUAUGUGUCUAGUGCUAGUUUACUAUCUUGAGGACUUUUGGCUGAUUUUGGCCAUUUUUUCUCAGUGAUUGUACUAUUAGUUUAUAGUCCUAUUUUGAGUAAAACUGGAUUGCUGGUUGAAUAUUACUUAGAAUAUAAAUAUAUAUGAGAUUGAGAUUGCUAUUAAGCCACUGGGUUCUUUGAGAAGAUGUGGUUGUCUUUGAGAGAAAGAGAGACUACAACAAGGAACCAGGUAUUUGGCCUACAAUGUUGAUGCUCAUGGAAAUUUGCUAACCAUGAAAAAAAAUUUCUUACAUCUUGGGGCCUUUUUUUUUCCUUCAAAGUUUGUCAUCUAUCAUCCCUUCCUCUACUGUAUUGUUCCUCAUCUUUCUCUGAUUCAAUGUUUGUCUGUUUUUUUUUUUGUGUGUAAUUUUUGUAGUCAGAUAUAGAGAUCUUGCUGCUAUAUUUUCUUAUAUAUCAAUUUUCUAUUUACUCUUCUUAUGCUUCAAGUGCAGAACAUUGUUGGUUCGGCACUGGAUGCUAAUACCUUAAGGUGGUUAGACAAAGAGCUUCUGGAGCUCAGUACUGGCGUGCAGUCUAUGCAUAAUGCAUGGGUUAGUGAAGUUGAAUAUGUGGAUCCUUUGAAAGAAGCUUGGACCAUGCUUCAUAAUCUUGGAAUCAAGUAGCAUCAUCUUUUCCAUAUUUGAGCUGAAAUUCAUCACGGCGAUAAUUAAAUUGAGCAUGUGGUGUACUAAUACAUAGAAGCAGCACACAAAAAAGAAGUUUCAAGAGGUGGCGACAGCUACAACUCUUCAUUUGAACACACUAUCAACUCUUGGCUGGGCCUUAUUUAAAUAUGGGGUAAAAAAAGAUAAUUAGUGUUUUUGGUUGUUUUUCUGAAUCAGCAGUUUUUUUUAUGUUAGUUUACUAAGCAAAUAUGUGAAUUUAGUUUGUAUGUUAAUUAGUUCAUUAUUCUCAUUUUGAUAUGGUAGCAUAAAGUCAAAUCUGAGUACGACCAAAAACAUGCCAAGCUCACCAUAUUCAUGCCGAAGCUCACCAUAUUCAGCAAGGGAAAAAUCUUGAUGUCCACAGUGACGACUCUGAUGUUUGCUUUGCUGAUCAAUGAGCUUUUCUUUUCUUCAUGAUGAAGACUUCGUGAAUAGCAGGUAAAUCAGGUAUGCUUGCGUAUUCUCUUCUUCUUUUUCACUCUCUUUUAUGAAAUAUACCCAUUAUACCAUCGUUUUUCAAAAUGUUGUUUUGAAUCUGCAGUAUGUAGCAUAGAAUAACAUACUCAGGUAACUGGGAAUCUAUUAAUUUUAUAGGAAAAUACGCUGGACCUCCCUGAACUUGUCUAGUUACACUUAGCCGCUCGAUCUUUGGCCUGACAACUGUUGCAUAGGUAAAAAGCAUCAAAAACCCAUGAAUGGUGGUUUCUACUAACUUUUUUUUUUUUGAAAGGAAUGUAUAGGGUAUUGCCUAUACAUUUCAUUGAAUGUAAUAGGAGUUAAAUGUAAAACAAGCAUAAAUUAUAGUUGCUGGGGUUGAGUAGGCCCACAACAAUAAUUGAUCUCCCAAAUUGAACCCCCCAGUUACAAAAAUUUGAACCACAUUAAUGCAUCAUUGUGAGAUUCUCGAGCUAGUUCUUCAGAUAAUCUACACAACCCAUUGAAAAUUCUAUUGAUUAUAAAUACUAUUGAUUUUUUCUGACGGCAAGGGUCAUGGAUUCAAGUACUUUAGAAUCAAUUUUGAGAAAGGGCCCAAAUCCAGUGUAGCCUAGCCUUACUCGGAAAAAAGGGUAUAGAAUAUACCACAUUGAGCUGACAUUUUCUGUAUCCAUAUUUUGCUUUCUGAGAUGGGGUAAAAAAAAUUUCUUACAUGGAAACAAUAUGAAUGUACUCUAAUUAUUCGACUCAUUAAUGCUGAAGAUUCUGGAAUCAGCUUCUUAAAUGUUUCUUUCUUACAUUGCAACAGCAACUUUAUUAUAAUGAUUUGGAACCUUCAGUUCAUUAUAAGAGAUAAGUGUUCAUAAGCCAUCUUAUUUGAGAAUUGAGCAGUUGAGUUGAUUGCAGUAACUUUCAUAACUUUUCGCAUGCCAGUACCCUCUGGUACAUUUCUUGAACAGAAUUUGCUUGGCAAGGACAAAAUUCUUUGCAAUUGCUCUAAAAAAAGUUUCUUAGGUAAAUAUAUUCUGAUGUUAAUUUUUUAUUAAAUUGACAUCACCUUCAGCCAACUGCUUAAUCGGUCUUUGACUGGUGGGAAUAUGUUAAGAUUUGCACUUGCGUAGCUGGCUUCAUCCAUGUGGCGUGAAUAGAAAGUUGCAGUUGAAUUUGUACAUUCAUGUCGUGCAUAUUAAGAUUGUAUCCUUUUUAGAAACUCUCUCUACACUGAUGACUAUUGUACUGAUUCUCAUCAUAAAAGCUAUCAUAAAUUAUAAUUUACAUCGCAGCAUUUAAGAAAAUGGAAAUGCUUUAUUUGUUGGCAGAUAGUGAGAAGCGGACAACUAAUAUGGCUUCCAUAUUUUGUCUGGAAAGCUUAAAGUUUGUGAUCAGAGUAAGCAACACACAUAUUGUGAUUGUUUUGUUUUUAGAGAUAGGUAUCAUGCUACUCGCUUUGUUAUUUUAUUUAGAAAUAAACUUAGCUGGAAAUGUGAAUCAACUAGGAUUCGACCUUGAAUUUCGGGUACCAACCACCGACUUUUUUGCCACUUGCUCUAGAAACGGUCGGUCACAUAUUGUGAUUGUUAGUUACAUAUUUUACUAUCUCUGAUGAAUAUGUAGAAUUGUUGUUUUCUCACUACUGGCCAAUUAUAGUAUCUUGGUUGUACCAAAAAGUCAAAUCUAUAUGCAUCUGCAUAACAAUCAGUACUUCAUUUAAUAAACCCAACCAUUCUAAAAUUAGCGGUCCUACGAAAUUGUCAUGUGUUUAACUGCAGGCCCGUAUAUGAGCUCCUUUUGUUUGAAAAUCUCAUAAACUUUUAUUGAGGGAAAGUUGAUUGCAUUAUGGGACACGUGAAAAAGUACGUAACAAAUAAAGUUUCUUGCAUUUUGCACGCAGCUAUCGACGCUGUUCGUACUGAGCAUCGAGGUCUUUCAAAUCUUGUGCAGUAUCACAGAGGUGGUUGGUCAUAUACUUGAUUUGUAAAGGCACAAUCAUAGCUUUUGUCUUAUGUACAUAAAGAGGAGUCAGGUACAAUUUUCCUUCCUGUGAUAAAACUAUGCAAUAAGAUAGGCAUUUGGUCAACUUUCUCAGCCUUGCACAGGGAUAUCUUUUACUGUAUAAAUUGUAGGAAUUUGAGGGGAACCACAUAACCACUGAUGCUCUCGCGUAGUUCCUGUACCAUCUCAACUUAAUGCUCUUAGUUACUCUUGCUGGUAGUUCUCUUGUUGGUUUUCACAGAAAAACUCAGGAUUUGAGUGCAUAGAAAGAUCGGCAUCAGAAAAUCUUUUACUAAUGGAACUUGCUAUUUAUAGUGAGCGGACUUGAAAUUGCAGUCCAUGUGUUGCCAUUUUUUUUUUGUGAUGAAGUUGUGUCCAAAACUGUCACAGAAAAAACAGACAAAAAAAAAAUAAAAUAUCGAGAGGUGGAGGGCUGAACUGAACAAUGAGAUGUAGGUUGUACUUCAGAAGUACGUGAUGAAGCCUUGAUGGUUUCUGAUUGUGCAAGGUUUUGGUAAUAAAUGAGCAACAUACAGCCUAUAUUUUAUGGUACUACAAAAGUGAGGAUCUGGUCAUGAAGGGACCAUUCACAUUAAGAAAGAUAAUAACGGCCGUCAUCGUCUUAGUUAAUUUAAUUGACAGUUUUGCUUUUGUUUUUUUUGUUUUGAGGGGAAAAAAGACUAUUAGAGAUAGAGUUUGAUUGCAACAGGAUUGGAUGCGGAGGAGAUUUCCAGCACAAUUGUUUGUAACAGUUACAAAGGGCUUCAGUGAAACUCCAGACCUAGUAGUGAAAAAAAAAAAAGAAAAAAAGGUCUUUACACCUAAACAAUUGGGUAGAAGGGAAAGAUAUAAGAAAGCUACGCAUUUAUAGUAACAAAAUAAUCAAGCUCAUAAACAUUAAGCUUAAAAGAAGAAAAACAUGUAAAAAAAAUAUUUAUAGAGAAAAAAAAAAUAUAUAUAUAUAUAUAUAGAGUCCGGCUACUAUGCUAUCGGUAGCACGGAGCGCUCUGUACUACCAAGUUGUUUUCGAUGAUGCGGUUUCCAAAUCGACGAUCGGCUCCGUUAGACUUGAUCUAUACUAUUGAAAGUAUUUAGAAAUUAAAUUUCAAAUUUUUUCGACAUCAUUUGACUAGUGAUCAAAAGAUCUCAAAAUUGACAAUUUUAAUGGCCGAUGUAAGUGUGUUUGUGAGUUUAACGGUGUAAAACAAUCCAAAUGCGAUGAAAAUUUUAUAGAAAAUUCUUUUCACUAUUUAGAGUAAGAUCAGUAUAUCUGAUCUUAAAUUNCGAAAAAUUAUGAAAUUUAGUUUCUAAAUACUUUCAAUAGUGUAGAUUAACUCUAACGGAGCCGAUCAUCGAUUUGGAAGCCACAUCAUCGAAAACAACUUGGAAGCACGGAGCGCUCCGUGCUACCGAUAGUAUAGUAGCCUAGCUCUCUCUCUCUCUCUCUCUCUCUCUCUCUCUCUCUCUCUCUCUCUAUAUAUAUAUAUAUAUAUAUAUAUAUAUAUAGUCCAGUUAUGGUACUUGUAAAAGCACCAAACACUUGGUGCUUGUAAGUUUUUUACCGUUAUAUAUUUCUAGGAUCAUUUUCAACCAUUAGAUUAUACUAUUCAACCAACCACCCACUCAACCCUAGGGGGCCGACAUUAUCCUAACCGCAUAUCUCUUAAUCCAAUGGCUAAAAAUCUACAAGCACCAAUAACUUGGUACUUUUAAAAGCAUAGGAGCUUAAUUAUAUAUAUAUAUAUAGUGGGCUGGUAUGCUUCUAGAAGCACGGAGCCAUCAUGAUUUCAAGUUGUUUUCGAUGUUCGGACUUUCGAAUUGACGAUUGGCUCCGUUAGAGUUGAUCUAGAGUGUUUGAAUUAUCUAGAAAAUAAAUUUUGUGAUUUUUUAAUAUCAUUUGCCUAGUGAUCGAAGUGGCUCAAAAUCAAUAAUUUUAAUGGCUGUGGUGAGCCAUUUGCAAGAUUAACGGUGUAGAAAUAUCCAAAUCACAUAAAAUUUUGAUAGAAAAUUUUUUAUACCGUAUAAAAUUAGAUCAAUAACUUGUUCUAAAAUUUUAAUGUCAUAUCAUUAUAUUUUGUAUGAUUUUUAUUUUUAGCCGUUGAUUUGAGCCACUUCGAUCACUAGACAAAUAAUAUCGAAAAAUUACAAAAUUUAUUUUCUAAAUACUUCAAAUAUUCUAAAUCAUUCUAACGGAGCCGAUCGUCGAUUCGAAAGUCCGAACAUCGAAAAUAACUUGGAAGCACGGAGUGCUCCGUGCUUCCAGAAACAUACCAGACGCACUCUAUAUAUAUAUAAUAUAUAUAUAUCAUGCAGUGGAGAUUUUUAUUUUGGCAGUCUAUUUUUUAUGCUAGUAUUAUGAGAUCAAUUAGUAUUUCGGAAGGUGUGGUGAACACUUCGACACUAGAAAAGAUUUUGAGACAUCAUUGCUUGUUUAUUUGCUUUAAAUAUUUUUUCCAGCUUGCAUGCUCAGCGAGCCUUGGAAGGGAGCAUGGGUCAGCGUAAAUCGGUUUGAAAAGCCUGAUGCUCACUAGAGGUCAGCUUCUGCAAGCGCUCCUAACUAUUUUUAAUAAUAUUUCUAAAUUUUAAUUUUAAAUCGACAUGUUGCUACUUCUGUGUUUGAUCCUUGAGGGCCCAGUUUGACCGAUGGACUCAACUUCACCAGUUCGUUCAAAAAGGCCCAAUCUCACCGGGCUCGAACCAAAUGUACGGCACACCUCUUGGGCCCGAACCUUGUCCUCCCAUGCUUCGUGCCCCAUGGAAGCAAUCACCUAGCCCAGGUGACAAAGAACUUAACGGAACCUUAAAUUGAAAUGCUAAUUAUUUCUAUAUUUCUAGCAAAGUAGAUAUCAUAUUAUAUUUCUCUUUUUCCGGAACAAACAAAAGAUACGGUGAUUAAUUAUAUAUAUAUAUAAUAUAUAUAUAUUUAUGCCUAUGGUAAACAUAGAAGAAUGGGGCAUGCGACACAGAUACGUACGUCCUAUCCCGAUCUCCCGUGCUUGCUCAGAAUCUAAUUUUACUAUUUGAUUGGAAUCUCACCAUUGCGGAAACACACGAGAGAGGGGAUUGAUGAGGGGGACUCAAAUUAACAGAGGGAAAAUUGAUAUCAGUACAAGGACCAUAUAUAAAUCCUCCUUCCCAGAUUGGAGAAUGGAGAAACGAACUACGAUGAGCUAGCUCUAUUCACGACUCUUCACUUAGAUCACUCCCCCCGAAAAUGUGAAAAACCUGCCACGAACUAAAACCCAGACUCACUGGGUCGACUGUUACCAACAUUGACAUAGUAGUGCAUGGAGCCGCUGCUCUCGCCGCCCAACUCCAUGCUCCUCUCGUGCCCGUACCCCUCCUCCUCAUCCUCCUCCUCCUCCUCGAUCUCCUCCUCCUUAGCCGCCACCACCCUCUCCAUCCCCAUCAUCAACCCCGGCGCCGCCACGCCCGGCGCGGCGAGCUCGGGCAUCUCGUAGCAAGACGGGGACGCCGGCCCCGACGGCCCGGGGCUGACGGAGGGGAGCUUCGAGAGGAGCGCCUCGAGGCUGCUCAUCGAGGGCAGGAUCCGGACCUGCUGGUUGAGGUGGCCGUCGUAGAACUGGUCCAUCGGCGGCGGCGGGGCCGACCAAUUGUCCGGCGCGGCGCUCACCGGGAAGGCGGAGGACGACGGGUGCGGUAGGAGCACGCCGGGGAUGCUCUCCAGGUAGCUGAACUUCUUGCGGAGGAGGACUACGUAGCUCAGAUCCUCCAACACCUUCAAUAUUGUAAUUUAGAUUCCCAUCGGAACAACCCAACAAAAACGAAAAUAGCCAAGUCAUGAAUGAGGAUUGAGAGUACGUAGCUCUUAGUAAUAAGAAUUAAUUAAAAGCAACUAAUUAAGUAAUACGUAUUGCUUAAAAGAUAUCUAAUUAAUGUUACUAGAAAUAUUAGUUCAUGAAUAAUCUUACAAGAAUUGAGGAACAGGUCUNUAAUAUAAAUUUAUAUUUGAGAGUAAAAUUAGUAUUAUAGUAUCUUAUAAUUUUUUUAGUUUAUACGAACCAAAUAAUGAAAUGUGAAUAACUAUUCCAAUUCCCAAUCCACAAAUAAACCAAACGUCUUGGGGGAGUGGGCCAUUCCAAUUACCAUUCCAAUUCAUUCCCAUUCCAUUAUUCAUUCCAAUUCCACCCUUGAACCAAACAAGCCCUAAAUGUUAGCUGUUCCAUUCUUCUUUUAUUAAAAUUUUAAUUUUUAGCAGAGUUCUGAAUUUUUUUGGUGAUAUAUUUUUAUCUGUGAAUGAAAGUUAUUAGCUUCAACGUCGUAUAGUUACCCUGAGCUUGCGUACUCAUGUAUACCAUGCCUUUUCUAAUCAUUCAUGUUUUAUAGUAUUUUGAAUCUGCAAUAUUCUCUUGCAGCUUAUGUGCUUGGCAGACCUAGAGUUUGACUAUAUCAACCCGUAUGAUUCAGCUUCGCGAAUAAAUAAAGUGGUUCUUCCAGAAUUCGCUUUGCAAGGAGUCUUAUGCUUGCUCUUUCUUUUGUCCGGGCAUUGGUUGAUGUUCUUGCUUUCUACCCCGCUUGUCUACUACAAUGUGAAACUGUAAGUGCUUCUUCUGUAACUUGCAUCAGCAUCAAUGUUUCAAAAGGCAGUCUAUAUAGCGGUAUAUGCAGUUCGGACCAUAAAUCACAUCGCAUAUUUAGUACAUGGUACAAUAUGUAGUCGAACCGCAUAUGCGGCCCAUAUGUGGUUGCAUAUGUGGCAUGCGACUGCAUAUACAUUAAAAGUUGUUUUUUUUAAGGUGGGAUUGGAAUGUAAUGUUGAAUGGGAUUAGCACACACAUACAUACAUGUGCAUAUGUAUGUGUAUAUGUAUAUACAUAUACAUGUGUAUAUAGAGUGUACGACUUGUGUGCAAAUUAAGUCAAAUAAAGUCGAAAAAUUAUAAAAUUUAGUUUCUAGAUAGUUCUAAUAUAGUAGAUCAUUUCUAGUGGAUCCGAUGGCUGCAUCGGAUGUCCUAUUAUUGAAAACAACUUGAAAGCACGGAGGCCUCUGUGCUUUCAAAAGCAUCGUGAACUAACUCUCUCUCUCUCUCUCUCUCUCUCUCUUUAUAUAUAUAUAUAUAUAUAUAUAUAUAUAUAAGAAUAAAUAGAAUUUUUCUUAAAGCUUAACUAAAGCAGUUUACCCUGUGGCGGAUGUCAGCGGUUCGAGUCCGCUUAUCUCCGGCCCGUGAACUUAGCUGAUACUAUGAUAGCACCGAAUUUUUCCAAUUCGGCAGAAUAAUAAUACUAGUAUAGUAUGGUUCGAGAGGAAGUAGUCGGAUACACUCGAACACAUCUUGCACGGCUCCUAAGUGAUAAAAGAAAGAAGAACUCAUCUUCUUUCUUUUUUGAUUACCUUCCUCGCGUAUGUAUAAGACCGAAUCCAUUAAAUUUCUCAAAAGGAUUACUAAUCCUUAACUUUUAUAUAUAUAUACAUAUAUAUAUAUAUAUAUGUAUAUAUAUAUAUAUAUAUAUACAUAUAUAUAUAUAUAUAUAUAUAUAUAUAUAUAUAUAUAUAAGCCAAGUGGAAAAUAUUAAAUAUCCCUACCUAGUACGUAGUAGCUAGCUAGCUAGGUUAUGUUUGCCAACCAUUUAGAUGUUCUUCACCUACCAUGCAUGAAAUGCUGGUUCUCCUCACCAAAAUUUUGCUGCUAAGUUGUUAGGGUUAAUGGAAAGGGACCUACCACAAUUGCAGUUUAGAAUUUGUUAGAUAUUUCGUAUGCGAAGAAAUUGGAAUCUAGCCAUUCUUCCACUGAUGACCGUCGACUAUUUUAAUUGAUCGGCUACCGCCACUGCCAGUCAGCUAUAUAUGAAACAAAAUUCAUUAGUAGGAUACGUCCCAUAUGACAAUAUAUAUAGAUACGAAGCAUUAGAUAUUUUGAAUUAAAAUUAGAAUUGAGUGUGUUAUGUGACUGUUCAUCCAAUUGCCCUAUAUAUAUAUAACGCAUGCCCUAAUACGACAUGUACCCGCUAUGGUAGUCCUCGUCGAUUGAUAACAUUAAUUUCUCUAAAACUCCUUAACAAAUUGACUAUACUUGGCAUAGCAUUGUAUUUAUUUUUUUAAGAUACUAAUUAUUAUUAAUUAUUGGUGAAUUAUUAUGGAAAAUCUCUACCCUAGGGAAAAAGCUUAUCAUAAAACCGACACUUUCCACUACAAAAUGUUAUAUGAGUGCUAGGACUUAAAACCCUAACCAUGACCUAGCCUCUUAGAAGCUAUAUAUAUUUAUGUUUGCCAUGCAUCUCGCAUGCCGAGCUCUCCAAAAAUAUUAUUCUUAUAAGCUGCUAAUAUAUAUAUAUAUAUAUAUAUAUAUAUUAAUUACUCUCCUAUUUUACUGUAAGAAGAUAAUUAGAUGAGUACACAAGUGAUCUUCUUGUAUAUGUAGAUAUCACUAACCCUUCUCCGUAGUUGUAGAUCUCAUGAGACAUCUUGAAGAAGAGCUCAGGUUGAAGGCCUCUCGUUUGCUGCGGUUGUUUGUAGUCGCCGUAGGCCGACGAGCCCGCCGCGCAGCCGAGCAUCGCUUGUUCGCACGUUGAAGCUGCGAAAUUGCAGAACCCAUCUUCCCACACCAGAAUCCUACGAAAAUUAAAGAAGAGACAAAUUAAGAGUAAUAUGAGAGAACGAGGUAGGUAGGUAAAAUUUUGAUGUACAUAAGGCUCUAUCUAAUCAAUUAAGUUCAAAAGUCCUACCAGUUCCUCCUGUUUCCUCUAGUCCUAUCAAAAGCCCCUCCUUGAAGAUCCCAUCUAUCAUCAAAAGAUACCCAAAAAAAAAAGGGGGAGAAAAAAAGGAAAAAAAAAAAAAGAAGAAGAAACUUGUAGGAUUAGAACGCUAGCUAGCUAGAUGAUCCAAGAGUUGGGUUUGUAGUUUCAGGAAGAAAUUAAGUUGCACUCUUCCUCUCCUUUUCUUUUCUAAUCUUAGACUCACUUGGGUGGUGGGUAGUUUCUGGGUAAGAUCCUCCAAAACACUGCAUACACCCACUGGGAAUUCUCAUGGAUGCAUAAGCUUCUAAGGGUGUGUUGGAGGAGAUGGGUAACAGCUAAUGGGUUGAGCUGUUCCUCCAUAAAUAUGGCUUCCUCUUCUUCUUCUUCUUCUUCCUCCUCCUCCUCUUCUUCUUCUUCUUCUUCUUCUUCAAAUGGGUAUUCUUAUUUUCCUACACACUCCAAUAAAACCCCUUCCUCUCUAUUUCUCCUUGUAAGGAGAAGUAUCACACACCAUUUGCUCUAUUCACCUAUUUGUAAGGCUACCACCAAGGAAACCAUACUUUCCCAAAUAUAUACCCCUCUACAUACUCUCUCUCUCUCUCUCUCUCUCUCUCUCUCUUCAGUGGGUUCUGCCAAAGUGUUUUAAUCAUGAGGGAAAUUUUACCAAUGUAAUCUCCCACUGGCCCCCACUUUCUUUUCUGGGUUCCCAAAGGUUUACUUUUCUCUCCCCACCAAACCCCAUAUCAAAAUCAUCCACCAUUGUUACCAUGGUAAAGGCUAAGAACUCCUCAAUAAGUGAUAUUCAAACCUUUCAAAUUUAAAAUUUAAUCAUCUUAUAUUUUUAACUAAAUUUAUUUUUUUUAAAAUAAACAAAAUGGAUAGUAUAGUAUGUUACUCUUCUCUCCUCUUUAAAAAAUAAAAAUCAUGUUGAUCAUUAGAAAAUCUUUUAUUGAUUUUUUAUGGAUUGUACCUUGUCACCAACUUAUAUGAUAUGAUUGUAGCUGAGCAGGAUCAACCUAUCACUAGUACACUACGGUGGGCGCCGUUGGUCUAUGCAUCCAAUGCUGCACUUUGAAGGAUGCAAUUUCUCUGUAGUUUCAUCACAUGCAGGGAGCAUAUUGUAUCUGAACUGCAUGCCUGAUACGUACAUGAAUGGUCUACAUGUAUUUUGCCGCAUGUAUAUAAGUAAAACUUGAAUUGCUUAUACAAAGGUCUUUUAAAUAAGCACAGAUUGUCGUUGUCUAAAUGAAAAUAAUGUAUUUAUAUUUCAUAUGAUAUUAAAUAAUUGAUUAUUAUACAACUUUAAGCUGCUAAAAAUAAUAUAUGAAUAUUGUAUAUACAAUAGUAGCUUACUUAUUUCCACUGAAAAAUAUUUUAUGCGCGAAUUAAUGUUCAUGAAUAUAAUAUGUUUAUGUGCAUAAAAAUGAACCAUUGCAGUAAACCACAAGUCAUGCGAAUAUAUACAAAGUAAUGAGUAGGGACCAAAAACCCAAAUUUUCCUCCUUAUGAACAUUUUUUUUUUUAAGAAGAAAAUAGCCUGCUAUCCGUAUUAUUUAUUUUUUAAAAAAGUAAAUUUAGUUGAAAAUAUGAAUCGACUAAAAUUUAAACUUAUAAUUUUAACUAUCAACUAUUAAAUUUUUUACCAUUUGCGUUAGGGGCGGUUGGUUCUUACCAACUUUUUUGCUAGGCAGGUUAGCAGGAGAAAGGGUGAAAGAAAGAUACCCCUGAGCCAUCGGAAAUGGAGCAGUGUACCCUGUGCCCUGAGAUUGUAUGAUGACCAAGGGACUGAUUCACAGAGAUAUCAUUCAUAUCCUAAACUUUUAUCUCUCCCUCUCUCCUACAUUUCCUCUCUCUCUCUCUCUCUCUCUCUCUCUCCUUCUCUUAAAGCAAGAACCUAUAGCCAGGUUCUUCUUGACCUGUUUGACCCACAUCAUCAUCACUCAUAAUCCCCCUCCAAGUCUAAUCCACAUCAUGCUAUGGCCUUGACUCUUCAUGAAACUUGGUAAGGAAUACAUGGUACAGUCCCAAAGAACUAAUGAAUGAGUGCCCAUCUACCCAAAAUUACCAUCCACCCAAAAGCAAACCCAGCUUUGGCCAUUGACAGGGACAUGCACAUACACCCAUCCCAAUAAUUUUCCUCUCUCCUCUCUUGUGGAACAACACACAGAGAGAGAGAGAGAGAGAGAGAGAGAGAGAGAGAGAGAGAGAGAGGGGAGGGUGUUUCAAAGGGGUAAAUGUGCAUACCUUCUUUCCAUAUAUGCAAUUGCAUGUAUGUGCAUGGCUAAGGCCUCUGUGAGAGUGACAUAAGCAGAAGCAGGCAUGUUGGGGAGCAUGGGGUAGGAAUUUAAUGUUGGUUCUUUUUGGGGUUGGGAGGUUGUGGUGGGAUCACAUGGAUUUUAAUUUUUGUUUCUUGCUACCCAUGUCCAUUUAUUAUUGUUUUUUUCUUUUUUUGUGUAUGUAUGAAUGCGGGAAAAAUAAUUAAAGAAUUAAUGUUUGGUGCAUUAAUUCUUAUACUAGCAAGAUUUUUAAAUGUGGGGGUUUGAAACUCGGACGUGUAUAUUUAUGAGAUUUUGAUCCUCGCACCUUGCAUCUUUUUUUUAUUUCAAUAACACACAUGGAAACUGUGAAUCAUCCCACACCCCCCCUCCAAGCUCAAUAAAUGAUAGAGCUGUUUAGAAACAUUUUAUUUUAUAUAAUAAUUAUCAAUAAGAUCAUGCAAUGUGGCUUCACACAUUAGAUAGCUUUGUAUAGAAAAUUGUGGAGACAAAGGGAACACAUCAAGCUAUGGAUUACACCCCCAAAGCAGGCAAAACCCCUUCCCUCUUACAUUCCUGCUUAAAUAUAUUUAUGUUCAAUUUAGCUACGUACAUUCCUAUGAAUUUGCUAGAUAUGCAAGAUGCAUGAGCCCAAGGGACAUUUAGCUCAGGUAGAUGAGCUCGUCCCAAGAGGGAAGUGGAAGAUUGGUUUCGUUGAUGGCCAAAAGCCCUUAAUUUCAGUGCCGCCUAUGUUAAAAACUUAAAUAUGUCUCUCUUUUUGAGAAAAAGAUAGUACACUACCCACUUCAUUUAUUGAAAGUAUGAACUAUGCUACAUGGGUGGGCAACCUGGACCUCGAGAGAGCGAAAAAAAGAAAAAGAAAAGAUCGUCAAGGGGUCUGCUAUGCUGGACUUAGAUAAUCCCACUCUGACUGUAGUUGUUUAAGCUUGUGUACUACUAACAUAGGAUUCGGCGGAAUAUUUCUAAAGAUCGUAUCAUUUCUUGUUUUCCAAAUAGACCACCAGCAUCCUACCAAUUCGAUAUAAGCUGCUUCUCGUCUUAUGGCAUCCCUUUCUAUCCAUCCACGAGACCCAAACUAGGAUUACAUUGUUUCCCAGGUCCCUCGCCUGUACGCCGGUCACUCCCGUCGCGAUGAUAAACUUGCUGAACACACACCGUGUGAAUAGAUGGUCCACUGAUUCCUCUUCCGCUCUGUGAAACACGCAAUCUAUGUUUUCCACCCACCCACGCUUCACGAGUAAAUAGUAUAUCUCUUAUUGGAAAUUAAAUAGUAUAUCUCAUCUCCUCUGUUUUUUUUUGACAUCACCCCUUAACUUUUACUGUCUCAGUGUACUAUAAAUUAAAAACAUUUCAGGUCUCUACAUUUCCCAACAAGGAUUGAUUUCCUUGUUUCCACUUUCCUCCCCCUAAAAACAUGCAUUUGUGUUAUGUAAUGCUUCAGCAAGAAUGAAGUACAAAAUGAAGUGGGUUGCUGCGACUCUUCUGACUUGCAUCGCAUGCAUUGUAAUCUAUAUUUCUAGUCUUACAAAUACAAUACAGCAUACUAUUUCAGUAUACAUUUAUGGUCAUCGAAGAUCGAAAUAUAUUUUUUGAUGGAAAGAUAGUAAGCUAUCUGCUUUGUCCAUGUUUUUAGAAACGAACUCAGUUUUAGAAAUGUGAAGCGACUAAAUAUCGAAUUUGGGAUUUCAAACACCAACUAUCAAGUUCUUAGCCAAUUGCGCUAAUUAACUACGGUUGGUAACUAACAUUGAAAUGUGGCAAUUGAUGCACCUAGAAGAAGACUUAGAGAAACCAUCAAAAGUCAUGUGAUGGGGCUUUAUAGAUCAUUUCCCAAAGAGAGAUGGGUCCUUUGUAUUUUAGCUCCAUGUGGGUCUUAUCUUAUAUGUAUAUAUACACCACACUUCAUCUCUCUAGUUCCUAGUCGAGCUUUAUGAGUGGUCGCAUUGCCACGAAUCCCCCCACUUGCUGAUGUUGGCUAAGGAUGAUGAAGAGAAAUAAAUAGGUUUCAGGGGGGGAGGGAUCGGAAUUAUUUGAACCUGGUGUGUCACAAUCGUCCACGUGCCCAAAAAAGGCUCAUAGAUUAUUAACAUGACCGAUGUGAAAUAAAGGCAGAGAAUGGGGUGGAUAAAGAUGAAUUAAGGAAAGGGAAAAUUAAAAUUGCGGAGAGUUUGGUUUGGUCAAUGAUGCUUCAAAGCGUUGCUGCAAAAUCCAACUUCUCCACUGAGAAAAAUUCCAAACUGAUCACGUGAAGGCUUUUGGUAGUCACAAUCUUGGCCUCUAAAAGCCUUUUUAUGUACUCCCUCCAUUGAAAAGAUGGUGGCAACCUUUCCCUGUCUUGCUGCAGUAAAACAGGGCUCCCUUUUAGGAGCUCCAUGGCAACACCUCCUCUCUCUCUCUCUCUCUCUCUCUCUCUCUCUCUCUCUCUCUCCCCCUCCCAACACCUUUUCGAAACUGUAUAAAUACUCCUACAAAGUUGGUAACGCAAUAAUUGGAACACAUUUUACGUGUUAGCAAAUCCUUCUAAAGCUCAAGGUAAUAAUCCAAAGUAGGUUUUCUCGCAAAGGGACUGUAAUGAGGCUCGCUCAGUGAUCAUAAAAUUAGAAACACAUUGCAAAAGAGUGAGAGAAAUGGUUCUUAAUUGUAAAGCAGGCCAAAGAGUAAUGCAGUGGUGUCACAGGUUAGAGCAGUGGAAGGGGCAUCAGAAGAGAGAAUAAUUGGCCUAGGUAGUUUGGUCUGGCCUAUUUGGCCUGCUUAUCAGCUCAUGUACUUGGCUUGUGGGCCUUCAUAACUCUCUUAUGGACCCCCUUUUGUUGUAUUCAGAGAGAAUUAAAAGUAAAAAAAUAUAUAUAUAUAUAUACAGAUACUCCCAAAUAAAUACCAGUGCCUCACUGUAAAUAUAUUAUAGCCAGUGUAGUAGAAGAAAACCAAUCUCAUAUAUCAAAGAACACAAUAUGAAAAAGUAUAGGCAUACAUUCUACUGCUGAAUUACUGAGGUAAAAAUUUUCAUUCCAAAAUUGGUGCAAUUCACAAUUUAGUGAAAGAGUACGUACGGUAGGUUAAUGCAUCAUUAAGAAUACUCCAGGCACCUUGUGGAAUGUUAUAGGAAUAUUCCGAGUGGGUAAAUACAUUCAUUCUCUGUUUGUAUUGAAGAUCUUCUCCAUUACUUGAUGAUGCAUUGCGAUUGUUCCUGCAUGCUAGGGUCUACAGAAAAUACAGAACCAUAGAUCGUCUGAUGGGUCUAAAGAAACUGAAGAAUUCAAAUCGAUUUACACAUCAGCAAUAUUCUGGAUAGAUUCGAAGGCGAAGAUAAGACUCUCUAAUUCUCACACCAAAGUCCAAGAUGCAUGCAAUCAAAAUGAACAAGGUAAAAGCAGAAUACAACCAAGGAAAAAACACAAAGGUUUCCUGUAGAUGACCAAAAUGUAGGCUGCAAAAAACGGUGCUGUAGGGAUAGGUCUAUAACAGUAGAUCAUAUACAGGCCCCCUCCAAAGUCCUAUGCGUGAUCCAUUGGCAGAUCUGGAAUCUAAUAGUACUGGGGGUGCUAAUGACCUGAUAUAUUAAUAGCAUCAUGGAGACAGCUUCUCCUUUGUCAUCUAAUUGCCCAGGACUUUUUUAUAAAACAACGCUCUAAAAUUUUAAAAUUUGCGAAACAAUCCUCUCAAAAUUUUAUUUGUAAAACUAAUCCUCUUUUCGCCAAGUCAGCAGCACGUUAGAAUUUCUUUUAAAGGCGGUAAAUCAUUUACCGCGUUCUCCAAUUUUUUUUAAAGACGGUAAAUCGUUCACCGCUUUCUCCGAUUUCUUUUAAAAAUGGUAAAUCAUUCACCGCCUUUCACUUAUUUACUGUUACUUUCUAUAUCUCAUAUAUAAUCCUAACAACAAUAUAAAAAUUCUAACAAAUCACAUAUAAUCUUAACAACCUUUAAAUCCCAAUAAUUUAUCCAUGUAAUUUGCUUUUAUAUGAAAUUAUAUGGAUAAAUUAUUAGAAUUUAAAAGUUGUUAAGAUUAUAUGGAAUAUAGAAAGAAACAGUAAAUAAGUGAAAGGCGGUGAAUGAUUUACCGUCUUUAAAAGAAAUAGGAGAAAGCGGUGAACGAUUCACCGCCUUUAAAAAAAAUAGGUAAAAGCGGAAAACGAUGCACCGCCUUUAAAAGAAAUAAGAGAAAACGGCGAACGAUUCACCGUCUUUAUAAGAAAACCCUGACGUGGCGCCCACGUGGCGAAAGGAGGGUUAGUUUUACAAAUAAAAUUUUUACAUGAUCAUUUUGCCGAUUAUAAUUUUUUAGAGGGUCAUUUUAUAAAAAAAAACCCAAUUGCCCACUCUCUGAAGCGUGAUGUGGACAUUUUUUUUUGGUUUUGUGUUGUUUUAUUAGAGUGAUAAAGAUAACAUGCUAUUUGUUUUGUUCAUUCGAUGAAUAUUUAUUCUAUUAUUUUAUUCCAUCUAUUUAAUGCGAUGAGAUAAAAAGAAGUGCGACAUAGGUGAUAUGCUAGAAGUGAAUUGAAUUGAAUUAACCUUUCGAGGAGAAAUUGGCCAAGGAAUGAACAGCAAUUCGGGUGUCACAAAUUCCAUCCAAUAGUUAUGUCAUGAUUAAAAUUUGAAACUACAGCCAAUCAAUCACUCAGCUACUGUGUCGACAGAACUAAUCCAUUAACAACAGCAACAGGACUAUUGAUAAAUAUCUUAUUUUUCCAUCAACUAACAUAAGAUCGGUUCUCUCAAAAGCAUCACUCUUUCUUCUUCUUCUUCUUCUUCUUCUCUUUCUUUUAAGAGUACCAAGUGUUUUGGGUGGAUAAAAUUGAUUGUGUAGUUAGGCAGCAGUAAGGGCAUAAACUCUUUCUGUCACAAUGCCUUCUUUUUCCUGGACAUUGAAAGGGACUUCCAUCAUUAGGAGAAUUGAAUAGGCAUCCCAAGCAUCGGCGGUGGGACAUGUGAUCAUCACCAUUGUACCAAAUUUCAGCUAAGUCUACGUGACAACAGUCUCUUCUUCAUCGCCACCCCUGAAUCUGAUUGGUUUAUCAAAGUGUCAUGAGACACGAUUGCCGAAGUUUAAUAAACCUCAAGAUUGGACAAAAUAGGAAUGAUUAUAUUGAAAAGGACUCGAUUAGGAUAGGAUUAGGCACAUUUCAACUGCGUUCAAUAUUCCGUAUCAUCAUUAAAUCGCAUCGCAUCGCAUCGCUACUGCCAACUAGUCAAAUAGUUUUGAUUGAGUCACAGUCACAGUUCUAUGAGAACUAAUGCCACAUCUAGUUUUAUUGGGAAAAACAAUUCCAAAUCUAGCAUUCUUUUUAAAAAAAUUUCUAAUCUAGCCUUCUUUUGAUAGAUUAGAAAAUAAAAAUGACUUAAGCAUUUAUAUGUUAAUUAGGAGAGAGAAAAUUUUUCUCUCUCUUUCCUCUCAAUUAAUUCUUAUAAUAAUAACAAUAAUUAAAAAUUAAUAUUUAAUAAUAAUGAUAUUAUUAUUAUUGAAUGAUAAUUUUAUUAUUAUUAUUAUUAUUAUUAUUAUUAUUAUUACUAGCAUUUAGUACAAGUGGUAAAUCACUUGGUGGUUGGUACUUGAAGUUCUGAGUUUGAAUUAUUAUUAUUCUAGCUAAGUUUAUUUGUAAAAAAAAUAAAUGAAGAGGAUAGCACCAUGCUAUCUUUCUGAAAAAAAAAUUUCAAUAAUAAUAAUAUUUAUUAUUAUUAUUAAAUAUUAAUUUUUAAUAAAUAUUAUUAUAACAAAAAUUAAUUAUUUUUAAAUAUUAGCAGGGUGGGAGGAGAGAGAGAAAAAAAAUUUCUCUCUCCAAGUUAGCAUAUAAAUACUAUUAAAAUUAUCUUUUAUUUUCUAAUUAUCAAAAGAAGGCUAGUUUAGAAAUUUUUUUUAAAAGGAGGCUACGUUGGGAAUUUUUUUUUCUAAUAAGGCUAUACAUGGCAUUAGUUCGUUCUAUGAACCACAUGAAUUUGCUACAACACAUCAGCACAAGAAAUACGGCAAUUUGCUGUCUCAAUUAUAAGUUUGAUGCUGCAGGAGAUUAAACCCAAGUUAUGGAAUUACAGUCAAACAGAGUGAAGCCUAGAACCAACACCAGCUGUCAAAAUAGGAAAAGACAACCAACAAGAGAAAGAAAACGAAAACAACCAAUUUAUAUUCUAUCAAUGUAUAUGUAGUUUCCAAUGUUACAGCUUCCAUUAUUAUUACAAUUAUUACAAUUACAUAGAUAUUUAGCACAAAACAAUCACCUUAUGCAGAUAUGUUUAACACACCGUAGCGGUCAAUAAACAGGGAAGGUAUGCACAUAAGCAUGCGGAUGCAGUUAGGACACUUGGGCCCCGUUUAGUUCGAAAAUAAUGAUAAUUUUUUUUAUUCUCGAAAAUAGUUUAUUAUUUCAGAAUAGUUAAGAAUAAAAGUAAAAUCUUAUUUGAUUUGUAAUACUGCUAUUCUAAGAAAUAAUUGAAAUUGUGUUGGUUAAUUUUAUGGAAUAGUAUAGAAUAAUAGAAAAAAAAUAAUGAUUGAAUUUGAUAUAAAUUAUAAUUUAAUAAAUAUAACUUGUUAUAAAAAUAAUUUAUAAAAAUAAAUUAUUUAUUAUAAAAAUAUAUAUAUUUUUUUAAAAAAUCUACUUAAACUUAAAUUAAUAAAAAUAAUUUAUUAUAAUAUUUAAGUAUAUAAAUAAUAUAUCUUAAUUUAGAACAAUUAAUAAUUUUAUAAUAAAAAUAAUUUAUUAUUAUAUAUAACGUAUUAUGAUUUAUGACUACAUAAUUUAGUUUUAAUUCAAUUUAUAAUCUUAAUAAAGUUUGGAGUUAAAUAUUUAAAUCGUACUAUUCUACCAAAAGAUGAAAUUAUUUAUCUAAGCUAUUCCGGAAUAACUAAUUAAGAAUAGAAAGGUUUCACCGAGAUAAAUUAUUCCAGCCAGGAAAAAAUCUAUUUGGCGAAAUAACGGGAAUAACUUUCGUUAUCUCCGGCUUUAUUCCCAAACCAAAUGGAACUUUUUAGGGGUUAUUUGGUUACAUUAAUAUUGUAUUUCGAAUAUAUUUUAAUUUACUUAAGAAAUUAUAGUUUUGGUAGAUGCGAAAUAUGGUCAGACAUUUAAAAUUAAAUAAUGUAUUUUUAUUUUUGUAAUUAAUUUUUUAAAAUAAAAUAAAUCACUUUAUAGAUAAAAUAUGUUAAUCCACGACGAAAUCAUGAAUGGCAAGACCUUUUCAAGAGCAGAAAUUAACUUUUUACAUCUAAUCGAAAAGAGAAAAUUCAUGCUGAAUAAAUUAUUUAAAGAUAACUUAUCCAAUAUCCAAACAAAACCUUAAUAAGAGAUAGAGAGAAUUAAAUCGAAACAAAUCAGAGGUUCCGCAAGGAAAUCAAAAUUACGUCCAAAAACCUACAUGGAUCAUGCAAGUGGGACUGAAAAUCCACAAAAGCAAAAGAUGAGAUAUGAAGGUACCCUCCCAGUCAAUCACAUCGUCGUGCCUCAUUAAGUUGUGAGGAUCUAACUAGUGGCAAUAUUAAAACUUCCAACUUGGAAAGAUGCCACUUUAGAAAUUUAUUCUUGUGCUUAAAAGGCAAGCUGAUAGUGUAUGAUUAGAUGUUAUUAUUACUCGAUAGAAUAGAAUGAGUGUGAUAGAACAAAUACAUGGUGUCCCGGCUUAGUGCAGUGGUUGAACUAUGAUUGGAGACAAUCCACAGACCAGCUAACUUGUGAUCUAAGAUGAUUAGGAAAUAUACACCCACCAAUCAAAAGCAGAGUAGCAAAUCAAUCAAAGUGGUGGCCCAUAACACGGUCUCUUCACCCAACUACUGCAAUUGCAGCGGACAUCAUCCAUCUAGUCACCUCCCAUAUUUUCUCCCCUACUAAUUUUUAUGCUUAGGCCACAAAUGUCAACUCAUGCCACCAUAGUCCACAGAUGCUAUUAGGUUUCCAGCCUCUUUACAGAAGGGAUGGCACAUGGAGAGGAGGAGAUUAUCAUGGCAUCAGGGAUGGACUUGGGUGGGCUACAAAGCUCCUUUUCUUAGGGGGACAGUUUUGAUUGAUGGAUUCCACACCAAGGAACAAAGGGGUGGAGUACAUCAGUACACGGUUUGGUAUAUAUGCAUGAGAGUGGGGAAUGUAAAAAAAAAUGAUAGAAUCAUACUUUUGGCUACUCGGAAUUGGUGAUCACUUAAUAAAGUACUGAUUCGAUUCCUACGCUGAGAAUCGAAUGCAAAAGGCUAAAUCAAUCACUAAUCAGCGAAACUAAUGCAUUAAUUACUCAAAGGGGUGUUCAUACGUGCAACCCCAAUAUCCAUCGCGAUACUAGUUUUAGCAAUCACCUGCGGAACGGAACGCCUACUAAUUGGUUCGGUUCACAGUUCACACCCGCACACACUAAAAGAUAGUAAGAUCACUGUUGGUACACUACUAGCGCCGCUUUGAGCUGCAUAAGGGAUAUCUCCAAAGCAUUACUCUGCUCGAGAAUGAAACCCAAAGAUGUGAACAACGGCCAUCAAAUCAGCAAGUUGGAGGGGGAAGAUGGAUCAAUCAACCUGCGCAGCUUGUCGGUCGAAAAUAUGCAGCCUGCAGAGGGUGGUGGAAUCUGAGGAGUUAGCAGUGACGACUUCCCAAUUAUUGGGCACACUAACAACUCCAAAUGCUUGUCAGAUGGACCACCCAACCGAGGAGGAUAAACCUCCCACCUAAUUCACCAGGAUGAUUCCAGUGAAGCUGACUAGUCAAAUAGGAAAAGUAAAAAAUAAUUGAGCUUUUGUUUUUCUUCAUUUAUUUCCUCUUUGCUUACUCGAAAGGUGUAAUUUAUAACUCACCACGUCCUGCCUAAUGUCGAAACAGAGAAGCUACAGCAACUCCUGGAAAAGAUGACCUGAGAUAUAUAGGAUGAAGGGUCAUGGAAUGGUACAAACUAUAGCUCAUUGGAUUCUCAGAAGAUCAACAAGACAAUUUUUUUCCACUAUUUCCGGAUCAGAUCACAGCGACGAAAGAGGAGUCACUGUAGGAUUCCAGUGGGUGGUCACACACCCACAUACUAAUUAAGGUCCCCAUGUAUGAAAACGAAAACAGAUUCCUUCAUGUGAACAACGUUUUCUUCUUUUACAAAAGAAUCCACAGCUGGGCAUGCCAAGAACAUUAAUAUUGAAGCCCCCAAACAUGAUAAACCUAACCAUGACCAUGUGCGUGAACCGAAAUAGAAGAAAAGGACUGCCUAGUAAGAGAAGCGGCUGCUAACAAGUUUGAACAAGAAGAGGCAAACAAAGCCAAUUGCAAAUAGUCUAUGAGAGCGAGAGAAAAAGGACACUGAUGCAGUCACCUAUCACUAUAAUUCACAGCUCAUACGGGUGUGGGUUUGCUACCCUAGAAGAAUGUUGGCCUACGGCAACCCUACCGCCGCUUGUUGCCAUUCACACCGCAUUGUCCUCGGCUCAUACUUUCUCAGCUUUAUGAAGGUAUUUUUUUAUUACCGUGAAAAAAAUCCAAAAUUGGGAGGACAUCGUGGAAGGUUAGAGUUGGCAUGGAAAUGCUAUCUGAAAGUGUUCAGCAAACAUCUGUGAACGUUUGGCCCAGCAUGUGCUUCUGCUUUCAACUACAGUCAUAUAUAGUAUAAUAUUUGGCAACUGUAAACGCCGCUAUAAAAAUUAAAUUUAGAUUCUAAGUUCUAGAUGCAGAAGACUCAGUUUUUAGCUCCUAAUUUUGCCACAGAGAAGCUGUCGAAAACAUCUUAAUAGAGUACUCCAUAUAAUAGCUUUACUCAAAAUUACUUCGUCAAACAACAGAGCACUCUAUGGCAGGCCCAAACAGGAAUGGUCUGUUUGGUAUGCUUGGCACUUUACCAACCCCAUUUUAGAGAGAGUUAGAGCUGUUUGCGAUCAAUUUGAUAUCAAUUACAGAAAAUAGAGGUUUCAGUAAAGCCCAUCAAGUUUACUUGAGGAACAGAAGAGAUAGGGUAGAGCAGAGCACACAGUAGAGGACAAGCCGGUUGGAAAAGCAGAAGCACAUGGAGGUAGAACAGGAAAUAUGAUAAAAAUGAAAAGAGAAAAUUUUCUGCAGUUACUAGGGAAACGUUUUUUAAUUGUAUAAUUUACUGCUUUCCGAAAAAGAAAGCAGUUCGAGAAGCAACGCAUAAAAAGCACAUGCAAGUCGAAACCUUCAAACAUUUUAGCCCAAUGAGUAUAUCUGGUUACAAGUAUUCAGUCCCUGAAAGUGAAUGCUCGAAUAGAACAGAAACCUGCAUAUUCCCUACAUCAAACCACUCAACAAUUACAGACUAAUACGAUCUUAAAAGGUGUUAAAAUAUAAGUCGAAAAUAAAAGAAAAUUAGUACCACACAGAGUAAAUUUAGAACCUUAUUCUCUCAGAUUGUGGUCAAAUAUUUGCAGCUGAACUUUCAACCAGCAGAUUACUUGCAGGGGGGAAAGAAAUCACCUAGAGGCACAACAGUACCGACACCAAAAAAAUCUUUCAAAAAGACAUCACGUACAUAUGACAAAGCAUGAUAAGCAUGAUGAAGAAUAUGAUUAGACAACAUUAUUUAGGAAUUUUUAUUUCUUUGAUCCCCUAAAGUGUUCCCCGUAGUAGUAAGCACUCCCAACCAUUAAAGCAACUGUUGCACCCUGAACUACGACACGAGCCCUCAUCAGCUUCUGACCUAAGUGAGAAUUCCCUUGCCUAAAGCUGAUUAGACCGGCUGUGAGGACACCAGCAGUUAAAAGUGCACCUGAGAAACUUUAAUGUUAGAUACGAGAACAAGAAAAAGUUCACCACACUAUUCAUGAUCAGUUUCCUAAUGUAAAAUUCAUCAAAGAGAAAAUUGUUUUGUCAACUGGGGAUAUCAUCUAGAGAAAGGAAACCUAAUUAGAAAUGUUAUCUAUUUCAAUUAGCUUCAAACAUUAUACUGUUACUGGUACAAGUGGUGCUCAAGUGUAACCUAUAAAAACAACUGAAAUUCAUUAGAUUGUUAAUCUUACAAUGUUCCAGAGAUCUUUAGUUUCAUAAAUCAUGUCUUAGAAGUCAAUUAAUUCAAAUCAUCAAAAUGUCCGCUCAAUCAUAACAUCUACUCAUGACUUAUACUCAUUCCUCACAGAGGUUCUGAUAUUCAAAAGCAUAGGAUAGUUGUGCUUGAAAAUUAGGUAUGCCUCUAGUUAUUUCAAUGUUAAAAUUUGCAACUCUGAAUAUAACAAAAGAUGUCAACCUGAAAAAAGUUGAAUCUGAAUAUAACAAGCAAUAUACAGACCGGGAAAGGACAACAAAACCAUAAUCAGUUAAUCACACAUAAAUUAUACUUUUCGACCAAGCUAAAUUUGACAACUCAAAAGGACAUAAUCUCCGCAUCAAAACAACUCAUAUCGCUUUAGAAUAUAGUCAUUUGUUGACAUGAGAUCCGAUAAACCCAUACCAAAGAAACAACAUUAAGCACAUCCAAGAAACCAAGAGUAUCAUGAUAUUUCUAAACAUAAUCAUGUCCUCUCUUACUGGAAAAAGGUGACUAAUUGCAUUACAUUGAGCUAAUGAUUUCCCAAAACAAAUAAUCAUAACAAAUAUGAACAAGGUCUAAACUCCAUGUGUUUAAUAUAGAGCAAAUGAAAGUGUAGCCAAUUGUUCUUAACAUAGUCAAGUGCACACGAAAUCUGAGAUAUCAGAUGUCUUUUUUCUUGCCUCAAGUUUGUAUUACAAAUGCCACAAGAGAUAUGAAGAUAUCAAACAGAUAUUUUGUUGCCUCAAGGAGUCAUGAAGCUUCAUCCUCUUACACACACACACACACACACACACACACACACAGAGAGAGAGAGAGAGAGAGAGAGAGAGAGAGAGAGAGAGGGUGAAGGAAAGGAGGAAAGGUGAAGCAGUCACUGUGCGAAACAAAGUGCAAGUAGUCAAGAAAUUUAAAGUUGUUGCACAAUAAAUUCUGGCUGUAGGAAAUAGGCAGAGAUUAGCUUAAGCCUUUAAGCUACUUCAGGAGGUGAACAUAGGAACACUCCUCAAAGAGAUAAGUUUUUCAAGCAUCAUAAAUACAUGGUGAGUUCAUGGGUUGUCACUUGGGAUUUCUUUUAUUUGACUAGCCACCAAAUAAUUUCAAACUUUCAACUUUUAACAUUACCUUAGAGCCCUCUAAGAACCUUUAGAAAAAAAAAAACCUAGUAAUUCUCUUCUUUAAUGACAUGUAAAUAAGAAAUACACUAGGAGAUGAGGAAGCAGCUCAGGCAAUUAUUUGAUCACUACCAAGGGAACUAGUUAAAUGCAAAGGUCAGUUUUUGUCUUGCUCCCAUGAUCAUUCCUUAAGAUUCCACUCAUGCAGGAUUCAGAAUAAGAAAGUGGCAGUCCUCUAAGGUACACAGCCGACGUAGCAGAUUAAGUUAUUAUAGAAAGUAAUACUAGCAAGUUACUUCAAAAAGGGUUGUUGAAGGAGUCCUAGAACUUUUGCAAGUGCGGGAAGAUCACACGAAUAUAAAGAACAAGUAUCACCAAAUCUAUAGGGCUCUUUUGAACAUUCAGCUGCUAAGGUAAUCCUGACAAGCUACUAGAACAAGUUAAAGAUAUAUGAAACCAUUAAAUGUCUCCCUAAUAUGUUUCCAUCAUUAUUGUUUUGACAAGGCCUGUUGAACGACCUUCUAAGGUAGCUUCAUUUCCACGACAUUUUCAUUUAAAGAGCACAUUACAGCGAAAUUCUAGAUUGCAUCACCAACUUUACUCGUAUAAAAAGUAAAUAUAUGAACCCAUUAAGAACCAAAGAUUUGAAAAGUGCAAAAAUUUAAUUUAAUAUGACAUGGUGAUGGAAGAGACUAAUCCUAAUCAAUUUUGUUCGUAAAUAAAAUACUACUAGCAGACAACGUUCUCGAGCGAAAUGGUGAAUAAACGGAAGUAAUACCUUAAAUCUUUGCAGUGUUUAGAGUCUUUAGACCCUAAGCAACUGACAAAAUUUCCCAAAUAUAACAGAAUCAAUUUUACGGCACCGCUCUGGUAGAGCCAAUAAUAUAGGUUCUCUGUGACAUAAGAAUUAUCACAAGCUGUUACUAGUUUUUCAAGAAUCAUAACCGCGACGCAUCAGAAUAACCUUCACUAGAAUUCCUGCAUAUUCUCCAUAAACUAACUGACACAAGCGACCCCUCCUUAUUACAAGUAGCUCAAAUAACAGGUUUCUAUUAUGUGCACAGCAAUGGGAGAAAAGUAGCUAAGAGUAAAUCAUACUUAAAUCAUAUCAUAUCAAUAUACUUAUUUGCCAAAAAACUAAUGAUGCAAUUACCAAAAACACAACGAAAUCGUAAUCAAAAUUAAGGGAAAAAACUUCUAAACUUUAGAUUUUACCAAUUAGGGCAAAGUAACAACAACCGGGACAAGCCCUAACACCCGAUUAUACGAUCGUAUGAAUCAAAAAUCUACGAAAACGAGAUGAGAAAAAUAGGUUUGGAUCAAGGAAUUUGAGGAGAGGGGGGGAGAUACCGAUGGGGACGAGAGGGUUCUUGACGCGCUUCUUCUGAGCGAGGAGAUCUUCGAUUUGGGAGUCGGCGGCCCCCAUCUUCUCCAUUCGCUUCGAUCCGAGUCGAUCUCGCAGGGGGAGGAAAAAUUGGGCGAAUCGGAGUUGGACCACUUUGGCUCUCGUGGCUCCGCGGCCGUAGACGUGCACCUCGGAGGAAGUGGACCAGUGUCGCCGCUCUAGCGGUACCUUUCACCUGGACCCGGCCCACCACGUCACUUUGGCUCUCGUGGCUCCGCGGCCGUAGACGUGCACCUCGGAGGAAGUGGACCGGUGUCGCCGCUCUAGCGGGACUUAUCGCCUGGACCCGGUCCACCACGUCACCCCAAAACCCUUCCAUAUUUUGAAGGUAAAUAUGCACGGAGGACCCCUCCGCUGUAUCCCUUUUGAAAUCGACCCUCGGCUUUUUGAAGGAUUUUAGCAUAAAAUUAAGAACUUUUUUAAAUCAUUGGUGAUUUUAUGGAUAAUUUAAAUUAUUUUUCGGUAAAAUAAAAAUUAAAUCUAUUAAUCAUCAAUAAUGCUAAAAUGUUAUGAAAAUUUUAAGUUAGUGAGUGUAAAAUGCAAAUAAAAGAUAAAAAAAUAUGGAGAUUUUAAUCAAAAUAAUUAAGAAAUCUAUGGCCUACAGAUGAAUCCUAGACAAAAUAAACGUUAACCGGUGCUCAUUUUAUUUAACAACAUACUGCAUGUAAAUUUUAUACCAUCGCUUACCCUGUAAUUUAUAAACAUCUUAUAGAUUUUUAGUAUUUUAAAAAUAAAUAUAUAUAUAUGAAUGAAUAUCCUUAUGAAAAGUUAUAGUUUCAUCGGCACUCCUCCAAAAUUUAAAACAUUGUUAACCUCUUAAUAACUAUCAAAAACAUUUUUGAAUGUCUUCAUUCAAAUUUGAUGGUUUAUAUCUGAAGUUUCGUUUUUACCCUCCAGUAAACUAAUGACCUAGCAAGCUUGCCACCAAAAGAGUAAUUUUCAUGAUUUUAAAAGAAAGUUUAAAAUAAAUAAUUUAAUAAAAUGAAAGUGAUAGAUUUACACACAUUACGUAAUAAUUUAAAAAAUUCAUACUAUAAGCUACAAAAUUGAAAAUUAUAUUCUAAAUAAAAAUUUUAAAAAAUAAUAUGUAUGAACAUAUCGCCCUGCCAACUACCAAGGAUAUUUAAGGGUAAAAUAGUUAAUUCAUUAAUGUGAUUAGUAUAAGUAAAGGGUAUUUGUGAUAAAUUUAUAUAUUAAUGUUCUAAAUUUUGAAAGAAUAUUUAUAAAAUUUUAAAACUUAAAAGGACAUGUUUGAAAUUUCUUCUUUAAAUUUUUUUUAAAAAAUUAUUUAUACGCCUCAAAAUGAGUAUAGAUUUUACACCUCCCAACCUAAGAUCCACGAAAAUCUAAAAAAAAAAUUAGUAAAAUAAAUGAUAUGACAAAUAAAAAGAAAAUGUAAUAACUCUACACAUAAUAAAAUGGAUAAAAGGUUAAGUCUUUAUAAAUGAAUAUAGCUAUGAAUAAAAGGGCAAAAAUUGUACGGACAUAGCGUCCAAAUUAGUAUUUUUGGGGACAUUCUAGAUGGACGCCGUGUGCUCGCAGGCGUCCAUCCCAACGUCCUUUUUUCUACUUUUAUUUUUUGUCUCUCUCUAAAAAAAUUAUAUUUUUUAAAACAAAAAUAGAACAGUGGGAUAGAUGCAUACGAGCCAUGUGGCACCUAUCCGGAUCGACCCAAAAAUAUUAAUGUGGACACUGUGUCCACACUAUUUUUGCCCUGAAUAAGAUUGAUACUUUAUGAAUAAAUGCUCUUUUAAAAAACAACGGGCCUGAUUUAGACGACUUUAGAAAAAUAAUAUCAACAACAACGUGUUAAAUUUAAUCAAAAUAAUUUAACUUGGAUAUGAUGUCAUUAACAAGGGUUUUAUAUUUUUUUUUAGAAAUAGUUAGUACGCUAUCCGUUUCGUUUAUUUCAUUUAGAAAUAAAUUUAGCUAAAAAUAUGAAUCAACUAAAAUUUAAAUUUAAGUCUCGAGUACCAAUCAAUAAAUGUUUUGUCACUUGCUCUAGAAGCGGUCCAUAACAAGAGUUUUAUGUUAAGAUUGUUAAGUUAGAUAGUUUCAUUAUUUUCGGUGAUAACUCAGAUUCAAUGAAUCUGAUUUUAGCUUCUAAUUUCUCGUGUUUUGUACCGAUCCGGCCUGAUGAUUGGACGGCACGGCGGCGCGCAAUCGGACGGACUAGAUCUUCGGGAAAAGCACAUCUACGCUAAUCACAGCCCUUCAAUUAUAAUAUAUUAAAAAUUCGAGGAAAUCAAAAUAAGACGACGCACUCUCCUCGCUCGCUGUGCUUUGCGUCAACUGCUACACAAAUUCUCUUCCCCCGAUUCUCUUUAUUUCCCUUCUUAAAAAAAAAAAAAAAAAAAACUCUUACUCGAAGAACUAGGGAUUGGGGAAGCGUUCCAUCGCCCCUGGGGCCGUUGAUGCCCUAAGGGACGUAUUAUUUCGGAUCGGGGAUUGGAAUUUGAGGAAGUGUUCUUGGUAAGAUCCUUUUAUUAGAAUGGGAAUUUCAGAGAUUGUUGAAUUCUAGGAUUUUUCUUUAUUUUGUCCUUAAUCCCUUUCCAUGGAGAACUGUUCUUGGUUUUAACUAGGGUUUUGGAGCCUUUUAUUAUGGCUACUCCUUUUUCUAUCUAAAGAGCAUAGGAAGAAGAUUUUUUGUUGGUUUUUUGGGCGGAAGAGUUGAAAUUUUGGUUAGAAUAUUCCCGGGGAUCUUGAGAAGGAAGUUUAGUCUAAAAGGGAGAAUUUUGCCCUUUUUUUUGUGAAAAAAGGUGGUUUUGUUUGGAAAAAUGGUCGGUUAUUGUAUUUUUUGGGGGGGGGGGGAAUUGAUUGUUUAAUUCCGCAAUUUGUCGAAGAGGAACUUUUCUGAUCAAUUUGUUUCUGACAAAGAUAGGAUUUAUCGUUUAAAAAGCUUUUUUUUUUUUUUGGAGAAAACUAGGUUUGAUUAAAUUUGAUCUUUUCUGUGGCAAAAAUAUCUAGGAUUAAAGCGGGUUUCUCGAUUUAAAAUGUCAGUAGCUUUCACCCGCCUCUCUCAUUUCCUAUGGGGAAAAAAAGAUCAUGAGAAAACCACCAAUACCUCUCUUCCCGAUUUCCCAUCCGGAUACAGGGAGCCGGAUUCCGUCAAAUUCUCAUCAGUUAAUGGCCCGAGGGCGCAGUCGUCUUCUAGAAGGAUCAAGAAAAACUGGCAGAGGCAGGAGGAGCAGAUCGAUAGGGAAUUUGAUGUAGUUAUUGUACCCUCGGACGGUGGAUGCAUGUCGGGGUGGGAAUCGGAUGAUUCAGAUGGUUCUGAUUGGUCGGUCGGGUGGUUGGAGCCUCAUGCACACGAAUUCCAGUGCGAGACAGAAUCCGAUAGCAGCUUUGCUGUCUUGGUCCCUUGCUAUCGGCGCGGGAUCGGCAAGCCGGAGAAGAGUGUAAAAAUUCGUUCUUUGGGCGCGAGUAAUCUCUCUGGUUAGUGAACUUUAACCGGUAUCGACUUUAUAUCUGCUGAUAAUUUGCUUUGCAUUGUUUAUAUUUCCAGCAUUCUAGUACUUGUUGGAAUAUCAAAUUCCUGCAGUAAUUCUCCACAUAUGUGCUUAAUAACCUGACCAUGUACUAUAGGAGAAAUUAUUGGAUACACCUUGGCAUUUAGACGACAAGAAUAUUUAUGAGCAAACAGUUCUUGCUAAUACCAUUUUGGCCGGGACUAAAAUUCCCUGGCGCAUGACCUGGCAGAUGUGGAAUUUCAGUACUGAUUGACAUCCAUCACAUAUUUUCCUAUUAAAGGUUAAAAUUUUGAAAUGCUCAAUACAUUUAGGCUCCAUUUGGAUGUUGGAACAAUUUAUUUGGUGAUAACGCUAGCAGUGUGAGGUUUUCGUUUUGCGAUUGCAACAUAGGGGUUUGAUUUAUGUUCACUGUAAAGCCCUCAUAGUCAUGAUUUUUGAGAGUAGUCUGUUCGACCUACAAGGUGAUUUAUCAUAAUGAUGGGAAGAAAUAAGCAAUUUAGAGAUUUUAUGUGUUUAUUGACAUCUUUUCUCAUACUCCCAUUGACCAAUAACUAUCACAAGCCUCUUUAAGUCUGCAAAAGAUAUAUGUGAAACAACAUAUGCAUGCAUCCAAAGAGGUCCUUUAAGCAAUGUGGUCAAACUGUUGGGAUAUUUUAAGAUUACCGAUCACUCGCACGGUGCAACUCUUUUAUCUCCGUUGCUGGUGUAUCAGAUAUUAUGAGCUGAUCCUUGAAGUUGGCCUAACACAGAGGAAAUAAGGUUUUCCGAUUUGUAAAGAUUAAUUGUUGACGUAAGCACCUAAAUAGUGACUUCAGGUAUUCUCUGUUGCUGUUUGGAUACAUGGAUUCACAAUUUUCUCCUAUCACAGUAAAUAUAAUAGCCUUUUAAACUUGGUGCUGGUUUUGGAGGAUAGUCAAACAAUUUACUCUACAAACUUGUAAGUUGAUACUUCAUUUUUCACCUUAACUGGUCCAAGCUAGCACAUUUUGUUCUUUGCCUUUUGCUGAUCUUAUCGGAAAUAUGUUUGUCCCUCUUAACCACAUGAGCUAACAUGUUAACAUAUGUUCGUAAAAAAGAUGAGAGUUUGGCAUAAAUAGGUGAUGUUUUUAAGAUUGAAGCUUAUGAGCUUCUGAUAGUCUACCUUCUCUACCUUCUUAGAUUAUUUCAUGGAUUUAAAAUAGCAAGCUAUUGAGAAAUUCUCAAAUCCUUGAAAUGGCAUGAGCUAGUUUAUUAGGCAUGGAAUACAUUCUAAGAUAGGCACUUUAUUGGUUUUGUGAAUGGUUCUUGCUUAUUUUAUAGUUGAUUUCGUGGUAAUUGAAUCUUUUUUAUUUUGAAGAAGAAAUAAAUCCUUUUUUUUUUUUGUUUUACAUGAACUGAACUCAUGGACGUGUAUGCCGUCUUCAUUGCCUAUAUCUAUUGGGUUCUGGAUAUAACUGUUUGAUGGAUUGAACAAUAUUCUGGCAAGCACCUUUAUACAGGGGCAUGUUGCCUUAGGAGACAGAAAAGUUUAUUUACAUUCAUUUAGCACUUGAUGCAGUUUGUGCUAAGUAACUUGGAAGCUCCUCCAGUUUCCCUUUUUAGGUGUUUGUGUUGCUUGCUUAAAUUCUGCAGCUUUUGUACCUCCUUUUUGUUUUCUUUUUUCUUUUUUACUUUUUGCCUGUGUUCUGAGAUUGUUCUAGCAAAGAUUGUGCGCUGGUUCACUGUGGCAUCUCCAAUAUGAGGAUAUUUGUUGGUGACUCCUCUUCUUGGGAGAUGCUUGCACUUGUUUUUAUUGCUUCUUUGUUGCACUGACACGUUGUAGCUAGGCAUAAUUACAAUCUGCUGAUACCUGCAUUUGAAACUUACUGCAUUUUAUUGCUUCAAAUUCCUUCCGAACUUGUGAUAAUGCUUAAUCUAAUUAUAUUAAACAGCUACACUUCUCACAAUCUUGUAUAUUCUUUUUAUGCAGAGGGCAAGAGUUUCAUAGAACAGUGGCUUUCUUCUCUUCAGAACUCCUAAUGCCGCGAAAUACUGCCCAUCUGGUCUAGUCCAUUCAUUCUUUUCCAUUACCAAUUAUACCAGGUCGCGGAAAGAUUACGACAAAAGCAAAGGGAGCAGCAGGGGUAAUUUUAGGAUCUUUAGAUGGAUAUGCAUCUCUCCCGGCAAGGCUUAAGCAAAGCUCCAAGAGGCUUGCUUUCUCAUCAUAGGUCGAGAUUCUUUUAGAGGAUUAUUAAAGUGGUGAUUGUUUUACAUAGUGCAUUUGCUUUUUGCCUCCAUUCGGGGAUUUACUCUGCUAUUGGUACUGUAAUAUGAUUGUAAAUACAUUCUUAGUAAAUAUCACCAUAGUUAUGGAGCUCAUAUUUUCGCAAUUUCUCAUUGUUUGAUUUGGUUAUAGCUGAAAGUGAAACACCUGGUAGCCUGGUUGGUGAACCCCUGUACUUGGUGAAUCUAUUUUUGCUCUUCUGCCAUUACUUCUCCAAUGAUUUUAGUUUAUAUAUAUAUAUAUAUAUAUAUAGAACUAGGCUACUAUGCUAUUAAUAGCACCAAGUCAUUGGUGCUAUCAAGUUUUGCCAGUUAUGAUUACCUUCUUUUAAAUUUCAAUCCCGUCGAAUUAUACGAUUCACCAGCCACCCACAUCAAAGCCCUAGGCCCAAGUCAUUUCUAACCAACACCACACAUUUUUUUAUCCAAGGAUAUAAAUUUAAUCAGCACCAAUUAUGUGCUAUUAAAUAUAUCGCAGCCUAGUUCUAUAAUAUAUAUAUUAAUAUAUAUAUAUAUAUAUAUAAUAGAGGAGAGAGAGAGAGAGAAAGAGAUGAGAGAGCAGAGAGAAGUAGAGAGAGAAGGAGGAGAGAGAAGGAGAGAGAUGGACUGUGGCUCUCCAGGAGGCACAGAGCCUCGUGCCCUGAGCCAUUUCGAUGAUGGAGUCCGAUCGACGAUUCGGUUCCGUUAAAACUGAUCUACUAUUGAAAAGUUGCUAGAAAAAUAAUUUUCGUGCUGAUUUUCGCAUACUCAUUUACCGAAAAAAAAAAAAAAAACUAGCAAUCGAAAAGGAUCAAAAUCAAUAAAUUUUUAACUGGUUGUAAAAUAAAUCCUAUAAAGUGAUAUAUCACUGAACUAAAAUUUUGAAUCAGAAAUAUUGAUCUUCUUUGUAGAUAGAUAAAAAAUUUGAUAUCAAAAAUUUUAAUCUGAUUUGAAUACUUCUACACUGUUAAACUUGAAAAACUGGCAGAUAAUCAACAAUUAAAAUUAUGAGAUUUGAAUCUUUCUCGAUCACUAGGUAAAUUAUACAAAAAUCGCAAAAUUAUUUAAUUAAAACUCUAAAUGCGCUAGACAAGUUCUAACGAAGCCGAUCGUUUCGAUUUGAAAGCUUGCUAUCAUCGAAAAAACCGGCUCAGGAGCACGGAGCCUCUGGGUCUCCUGAGACAGCAGGUCAGGCUCCUUGCUUUAUAUAUAUAUAUAUAAUAUAUAUAUAAUAGAUUAUGAGUGAGGCUAGAAUGCUAAUCGGAACACUAAGCGAGGCCUCCGUGCUCCAGCUCGUUUUCGGAUGUUCGACUUCGAAUCGUCGAUCAAGCUCCGUUUAAAAUCUGAUCUAGAGUAUUGAAAGAUACCUAGAAAUAAAAUUUUUUAUGAUUUAGCAUAUCAUUGCCUAGUGAAGCAGAAGGGGCUCAAAUCAACAGCUGAAAUAAAAAUCUUACAAAAUGAAUAAUAUGACAUUAAAAUUUAAAUCAAAAUAUUGAUCUGUUAUAUAGAUAAAGAAUUUCUAUCAAAAUUUCACGUAUUGAUAUUUCCUACACACCACGUUAAACUUCAAACGGCUCACUAUCGUGCCCAUGAAAUUUGUUGAUUUUGAGCCCAUUCGAUCACUAGCAAAUGAUACGUAAAACUCAUAAUAAAAUUUAUUUUCUAAGUACGUCAAAUAACUCUAGAUCAAGUUUAACGAGCAUCGAUCGACGAUUACGAAAGUCGCAACAUCGAAAACGAGCUGGCAAGCACGGAAGAUCCGGCUUCCAGAUAGCAUAAGUACUCACGUCUAUAUAUAAUAAUAUAUAUAGUAGAUAUAGUAAUAUAUAUAUAUAUAUAAUAUUAUUUAAGAAUUCAUCAAAUCGCCAAAAUCAAGUCUAACAGCCGAUCGUCGCUUUUGAAAAUUCUACUCAUCGAAAACGCUCAAGGUGCCCUGAGAGCAUAGCGCAUACAUUUUAAAAAAAUAUAUACGUAUUUUUAAUUUGCUUUUUUUAUGCAUAUCUAUACUACUUAUAAAAGAGGAAGUUUUAAAAUUUUUUUCUUUCCUAAAAUGUCGGUCCCUAUUAAUAUAAUUCCAAUCACAUACUAGCAAUAUCAUUCAUUCAACUUUAAUGGAAUAAAUCACAGCCGUACAAUUUUUAUUUUAUUUUUAAAUUAUCAUAAAAUAUAUUAAUUCUUAGUCAUUAGAUCUAAUCCAAUGGCUGACAAAUUAAGUAUCUGUCACUUUUUUUACCUAAAUUGCCCUCAAAUAGUGCGUAUCAAAUUUCACUUUUUAUAUGCGUACCAUAUCUCCUAAUAACCAUCACCUACAUAAUACCAUAUUUUAUCACAAAUAAUAUUCGCAAUCUACGCGUUUUUUAAAUAUUUCCUUUCUUACACGUAAUAUCUACCACCUACAUAAUAUCCAAUCACGUAAUACCUUCCGCAUAUAUAAUAUUUAAUCAUAUAUUUUUAAAAGUGAAUUUACAAUUUAAAAAUUUAAAUUUGUAGAUAAAUGUGAUUCACAAAUUUAUAUUGAUUUGAAAUAAUUAUUAAAUAAAAUAGUUGUUGACUAGGAAAAAAUAUUGCAUUCCAUUUGCAAUAAUAAAAAAAAAUCAUACUUAUCCAAAUUUUUGUCAUCCGAAGAAUAUCUACUACAGAAUAUUUUUCACAAGUACCUCAUAAAAGAAUAUCCAUAUUCAAAAAAAAAACGAAAAUCUCUACGCAAACAUUGAAAAUAUUUAGUAUCCACUAUCUCUCAAUUAACAAACUAAAAAAAAAAUUUAGGUUUAAAAAAUAGAAUGAUUUAAAUAAGCUUAUCAAAUCAACUUUAAAUUUUAAAUUGGUUCAUAAUUUCAAAUGUGAAUUAAUAUUUUAAUUCAAAAUUUGAAAUUAAUUAAAAUUUCAAUAUUUGGGUGUGUAAACAAUAUUUCAAAUUGAAAAUAAUUAAUUAACUUGAAAAUAUAUCAAAUUUGAAAAAUAGAUGGAAUGAUAAAUAAAUCAAUGUCUCUAAUAAUUAUUUACAUUCAAAUUACGGAUUCAAAAUUAACUUCAAAUUUUGAGUUUUGUUCAUAAAUUUAAAUCUGAAUUCUUAAAUUUAAAAUUUAGAAUUACUUCAAAUUUUUAAAAUUUGGAUACACAUUAAAAAAAAUUAAAGUUAAAAAAAUUAAUUGAUAAAAAGAUUUAUACCACCAAUAAUUAUUUAAAUUUAAAAUAUAAAUAUAAAUUUAAUUUAAUUAAAUAUGACGUGCAUCGCACGUGCACUAUAACUAGUAUAUAUAUAUAUAUAUAUUAUAUAUAUACUAUAUAGACUUGAGCUCCCGAAACCUGUUUUUUUUUUUUUUUUUUUUUUUUUUUAAACACAUUCAAUUAGUGCAACCACCCACCUCUGGCAAAAUUUACGUAUGCUUCCCCUGUAUCUGGUUCGGCCAUGACUCCUAAUUCACUUUGUUACUAAAUUCAGAACACAUCGUAAUAAAUUUUCUGCGAAAAGGGUUUUGGGAUUAUAACCAUUAUUUGUAAAAUUCUGUGAGAAAUUUGAGUAUUCCAAUCCUACUUGGAUAUAUGAACACCGGAGGUAUGUUAAUUUUUUUAGCAUUUGACAACCCAAAAUGUAGUUAAAUUGAAGACAAGCAAGGUAUUAAUCCUUUUAUAUUAAUUCUUCCAUAAAAAAAUAUUUAAAAAGAUCAGGCUGGGAUCCAUGUCCUUGAGAACUCGAUAUUUCCCUUUCUUGUUGAUUCGAUGAACAACAUACUUUUCGGAAGUACCGCAGUAAGCAAAGCAAACAUAUCCCAGCGAAGAGCAUUUGAAAUAUAUAUUUUUUAAGUAGCUAAAACGACAGCACAUGUUUCCUGUACUUUGAUAAACGUUCUCACCCUUAACUACAGUGGAAGCUCUUUGACCGCUUUUCAAACAAAAUUCAAUAUAUGCGAGAAAAAGUCUUUAAUUUACCAUCAAAUAUGGAAAUAACAGAAUGGUACUUUCCAAGUUUGAAUCUAAGUACUUCAUUUAAGUUCCUAAGGCCUGAUGGGAAUUACUUUUUUCAAAAAAGGCAAGGCAAAUAGUUUAACAUCUCUCUUAAUCAAAAAAAGGAACGACACUUCCCAUUUUAUCAACAAAAUACAUAUAUAUAAAAUAUAUGUUGAGUAUCGUUUUUUUAAGGCCAGUUCAAAAUUAAUCAACAUGAAAGUGAUAACCUAACCAGGAUAUCAAUCCUGAAGAGUGAGCUGAUAGUACUCAUAUCUUGCCAACUAAAAUAUUAUCGACAUAUUCUGAGGGCACCAAUGCCUUUGGGGAACUGUUCAUCUCGAAAACCAAUCAAGGAUCAAUCAAACCAAUCAAACCUAACACCUAACAACAAACAAUAAAUAAAAUAACAAUCACCGUAAAACCCACCCUAUUAGGCUAUUCAAACCUAACACUAAACAAAAACAAUCACCAAAACAAAUCCAAUCUACUACAAAUAUCGUACUAUAUGUAUAUACGACAACCUCCGAUAAUUAAUGCAUCGAUCGCUUUAUCACGAAAGCUGCUACGUACGAACAUACGAACCGCAGGUGUAUAUAUAGGUAUAUAUAUACCUAGUACUAUAUUUUUAUACCCUCUAAAUCAACCCAAAUAAUAAGUAUAAUCAAUGGUCAUGGCAAUGCACAAAUUGGCGAGCGCUUUGAGCUAAGCGCACGCGCAACCCUGAGCGGAGUGUAUUCGGCGGUCGAACGUGCAGAGCCCGCUCCGUCCGGCAUGUCGCGGCCCGCCGGGACGAGCCUCCGAAGCUCCCAGUCCCUUGCCUCUGCAGGCGCGACGACCGAAACGACGCGACGACAAACAUCGACUGGCUCACCCGCCGAAAUGGCUGGCGGCAAUAUUUUUCUGUGCAGUCUCCCCGCCGCACGCCGACCGCGGUGCGCGUGGGAACGGCGCGGCGCUCUCCGGCUGCUGAACGUGAAUGGGCAUCUGCGCCAUUCGAGAGGGUUUGUGUAAUGGUUUUUGAUGGAGAGAGAACGUGAGAUGGCAUCGAGGGGAAGGGUGGAUGUUCAUAGGAGAGGGGGGUGUAGUGAAGAAUUAAGGGACUGGGGAUGGGGCGUGGUAGGUUUGUCGUCGUUGGCGCGAUCGGAUGGCGUGGGUGGCGAAGGGGACACACGCGUGGAAGCCACGUCUUGUCCGGCGCACCGUGUCCUGACAGCCUUUCGCACGUGUAUUACAGCAGCGGGUUACGCUCCCGCUCCCAGAUUUCUGGAUUGCUGCUGCCUGGUGCCGUAAAUUCAGCCUUCUGUUUUGUAAAGACAGCUUGUAUUUGGCUUUAAGUCCUAACGUCCUUUGUUUAAUAAAAGGCGAUUACCAAAAGCUGUAAUCAAUUCAUUUGUAUUCCAGCCUUGAUAUAAACUUUUAUAUAUAUAUAAAUAUAGGUAUAUACGCCUGAUACCUAUAUAUAUAGUAUACUAUAACUAGAUACUAUAUUAUAUAUACUAUAACUACUAUACUAAUACCGUCAGGUUUAUUGUGCCAUUAAAAAUACAAUAGUUCUUAUGCUCCUAACUUUUUAAAUAUUGAUCAUUCAUCAAUAUUGAUAGAUGAUUAUAGUGAUAAAGAGAAGAAAAAUUAUGAAGAAAUUAAGUGUCUCAAUUUUUUUUUUCUCUUUAAAGUUUUUCUCAAUUUAUCUUUUCUUUCAUCCGAACUAUCCAUCAAAAUUAAUGAAUGAUUAAGAAGCUAGGAGUAUAAGAAUUAUUGUACUCUUAAUAACACAGUAGUUUUACUCUCUCUCUCUAUAUAUAAUUAUGUUACUAUAUUAUCGAUAGCAUCAAGCGUUUGGUGCUAUCGAGUUUAAAGGAUGUGUGGUUAGAACAAUAGUGGUGUUCGGUUAAAAUAAUAGUGAUCUCCUAUGAUUGAGUAGAUGGUUGAUUGAAUAGUAUAAUCUAAUUGAUAGAAAUGAUCACAGUGUAGAUCUAACGAUCGAAAACUCGAUAGUAUCAGGAACUUAAUAUUAUCGAUAGUAUAAUAGCCAGAUUCUAUAUAUAUAAAGAAAGAGAGAGAGAGAGUCCGGCUGAGAUACUAUCGAUGGCACCAAGGACUUUGUACUAUCGAGUUUUUUACUGUUAGAUUUAACUAUUUGAUUAUUUGUAUCCGUUAAACUAUUCAACCAACCACCCAUUCAACCCUAGGGGACCCACAUCAUCCAAACUGUAUAUUUUUCAAUUCAAGGGCUAAAUAACUAAUAGCACCAAUAAUUUAGUGUUAUUGAUAGUAUUCCAGCCUAGUUUUAUAUAUAUAUAUAUAUAUAUAGAGUUGAGCUAUGAUACUUUUACAAGUAUCACCAUCAUGGUGCUAUUAGGUUUUAAGCCAUUGGAUCUACUUUUUGAUUAUUAAUAGCCCUUGGAUUAAACACUAUUCCACCUACCACCACCUAUCACCACCUACUACCAUCAUCUCAACCUCACAUCUCUCUAUCCAAGGGCUAAAAACACACAAGUAUCACCCCCAUGAUACUUUUACAAGUAUUCUAGCCCUACUCUCUCUCUCUCUCUCUCUCUCUAUAUAUAUAUAUAUAUAAUUUUUAACUAUCAACAAAAUAUCAAUGAUGUACCAUCUUUAUAUCGCUGCGGACCGGAAGCCUUUUUGUUAAAAAACAACAAAAGAAGGUGAUAUAGAUUUUCGGAAUGUUAUUUUUAUAGUUAGUUGAUACGUCGGCAGCUAUGACGUGGAUAAUCUUGUCGAUUAAUUAAUAUAAAUAUUCUAAAAUGGUGCAAGGAUUUAUCAACACGUUAGCUAUUCAAAGAUGUCUUAUUUGUAGGGGAAAUAAUAUUUUAUUAAUUUUGUGAGACGCAUCAAAAGAUCCUUGCUGAGGGNUAGUGCAACCACCACCUCUGCAAAUUUACUAUGCUUUCCCCUGUAAUCUGGUUCGGCCAUAUCUCCUAAUUUCACUUUGUUACCAUUCAGAACAAUCGUAAUAAAUUUCCUGGCGAAAGGGUUUUAGGGAUUAAUACCAUUAUUUGGUAAAAAUUCUGUGAGAAUUUGAGUAUUCAAUCUAUUGGAUAUAUGAACACGGGUAUGUUAAUUUUUUUUAGCAUUUGACAACUCAAAAUGUAGUUAAAUUGAAGACAAGCAAGUAUUAAUUCUUUUAUAUUAAUUCUUCAUAAAAUAUUUAAAAGAUCAGGCUGGGUCAUGUCCUUGAGACCUCGAUUAUUUCCUUUCUUGUUGAUUCGCAUGACAACAUACUUUCGGGAAGUACCAGUAAGCAAAGCAAACAUAUCCAGCGAAGAGGCAUGAAAUAUAUAUUUUUUUAAGUAGCUAAAACGAACAGCACAUGUUAUCCUGUUACUUUGAUAAAGUUCUCACUUACUACAGGGAACUCUUUGACCCUUUUCAAACAAAUUCAAUAUAUGGAGAAAAAUCUUUAAUACAUCAAAUGAAAUAACAAGAAUGGUACUUCCAAGUUUGAAGUACUAAGUACUUCAUAUUAAUUCCUAGCUGAUGGGAUUACUUUUUUUCAAAAAAGGCAAAGCAAAUAGUUAACUAUCUUUCUCUUAAUUAAAAAGGAACGACACUCCCAUUUAUAUCAAAAUACAUAUAUAUAAAAAUAUGUUGAUUAAUCGUUUUUUUAUAGCCAGUUCAAAUUAUCAAACAUGAAAUGUGAUACCUAACAGGAUAUCAAUCCUGAAGAGUGAGCUAUAGUAUCAUAUCUUCCAAACUAAAAUAUUAUCGACAAUAUUCUGAGCACAAUGCCUUUGGGACUGUUCAUCUCAAACCAAUCAAAUCAAUCAAACCAAUCAAACCUAACACUAACAAAAACAAAUAAUAUAAAAACAAUCACCAAAACCCACCCUAUUAGGUAUCAAACCUAACACUAACAAAAACAAUCACCAAAACAAAUCAAUCUACUACAAUAUUGUAUAUAUGUAUAUAGAAACUCCGAUAAUUAAUGCAUCGAUCGCUUUAUCACGAAACUGCUACGUACGAACAUACGACCCAGGUGUAUAUAUAUAUAUAUAUAUAUAUAUAUAUACCCUCUAAACAACAAAUAUAAGUAUAAUCAAUGGUCAUGGCAUGCACAAAUUGGCGAGCGCUUUGAGCAAGCGCACGCGCAACCUGAGCUGGAAGAUGUAGUCGGCGGUGCACGUGAAGAGCCGCUCCGCCGGCAUGUCGCGGCCGCCGGGGACGAGCCGCCGAAGCUCCAGCACCUUCCUCUGCAGCGGCGACGACGACGACGACGACGACAACAUCGACGGCUCACCGCCGAAUGCUGGCCGGCAAUAUUUUCUGUGCAGUCUCCCCGCCGCACGCCGACGGCGGUGCGCGUGGGAACGGCGCCGGCGCUUCUCGGCUGCUGAACGUGAUGGGCAUCUGGCGUCCAUUCGAGAGGGUUUGUGUAAUGGUUUUGAUGGAGAAGAGAACGUGAGAUGGGGAUCGAGGGGGAGGGUGGUGUUUAUAGGAGAGGGGGUGUAGUGAAGGAAUUAAGGGAGCUGGGGAUGGGGGCGUGGGUAGGGUUUGUCGCGUUGCGCGAUCGGGAUGGGGUGGGUGGCGAGGGGGACCCACGCGUGGAAGCCACGUCUUGUCCGGCGCACGUGUCUGACAGCUUUCACACGUGUAUUACAGCGGGUUCGCCCGCUCCAGAUUUCUGGAUUGCUGCUGCCGGUGACGGCAGUAGAUCGCAUCUGCGUCGCCAGCUGCAAAUUACCGCCGGUAUAUUAUUCAUAUAGGACCGGUAAUUCAGCCUUCUGUUUGUAAGACACUUUGUAUUUGGCUUUAAUCUACCCUUUGUUUAAUAAAUGAGCUGAUUACAAGCUGUAAUCAGCUCACUCGUGUUCAGCUUGAUAUAACUUUUAUAUAUAUAUAUAUAUAUAUAUAUAUAUAUAUAUAUAUAUAUAUAUAAGAUUUAUUGUGUCAUUAAAAGUACAAUAAUUCUUAUACUUCUAACUUUUUAAAUAUUGAUCAUUCAUCUAUUUUGAUAGACGGUUAUAGUGAUAGAGAGAAGAAAAAUUAUGAAGAAAUUAGGUGUCUCAAUUUUUUUUUUCUCUUUAAAGUUUUUCUCAAUUUAUCUUUUCUUUCAUUCUAACUAUCCAUCAAAAUUAAUGAAGAUUAAAAGCUAGGUAGUAUAAGAAUUAUUGUAGCUCUUUAAGUAGACACAGUAGUUUACUCAUUCUCUCUAAAUAAUAUAAAUUAUGUUCAACUAUAAUAUCGAAGCAUCAAAAGCGUUUGGUGGCUAUCGAGGUUUAAAGGAUGUGUGGUUAGAACAAUAGUUGUGUUCGGUGUUAGAAUAUAAGUGAUCUCCUAUGAUUGAGGUAGAUGGUUGGACUUGAAUAGCUAUACAUCUAAUGAUAGAAAUGAUCAAGCAGUGUAGAAUCUAACGAUCGACGAAACUCAGAUAGUAUCAGGGACUUAAUAUCCUAUCUGAUAGUAUAAUCAAGCCAGAUUCUAUACUAUAUACGAAAGAGAGAGAGAUGAUGUUCCGGCUGAUGAUACUAAUCGAUUGCACCAAGAGGACUUUUGUACUAUCGACCUUUUUCUACUGUCUAGAUUUAUACUAUUUGAUUAAUUUGUAUCCUUAAAGACUAUCAACCACAACCACCCAUUCAAACCCCCCCUAGGGGAACCCACAUCAUCCACAAACGUAAUUUUUUCAAAAUUCAACGGGCUAAACCUUAACUAAUAGCACCCAAUAAAUUAGUGUUAUGUGAUAGUAUUCCAGCCUAGUUUAAUAUCAAUUUCACCCCCUAUAACCUAUAUAUAAGGAAGUUGAGCUAUGAUACUUUUACAAGUAUCACCAUUAUGGUGCCAUUAGGUUUUAAGCCAUUGGAUCUACUUUUUGAUUAUUAAUAGCCCUUGGAUUAAACACUAUUCCACCUACCACCACCUAUCACCACCUACUACCAUCAUCUCAACCUCACAUCUCUCUAUCCAAGGGCUAAAAACACACAAGUAUCACCCCCAUGAUACUUUUACAAGUAUUCUAGCCCUACUCUCUCUCUCUCUCUCUCUCUCUAUAUAUAUAUAUAUAUAAUUUUUAACUAUCAACAAAAUAUCAAUGAUGUACCAUCUUUAUAUCGCUGCGGACCGGAAGCCUUUUUGUUAAAAAACAACAAAAGAAGGUGAUAUAGAUUUUCGGAAUGUUAUUUUUAUAGUUAGUUGAUACGUCGGCAGCUAUGACGUGGAUAAUCUUGUCGAUUAAUUAAUAUAAAUAUUCUAAAAUGGUGCAAGGAUUUAUCAACACGUUAGCUAUUCAAAGAUGUCUUAUUUGUAGGGGAAAUAAUAUUUUAUUAAUUUUGUGAGACGCAUCAAAAGAUCCUUGCUGAGGGAUGGACUUUUCUAUAUUUUGAUCACCACCUACGUACCAAGUAAUUAAUUUAAUUAACACUGAUUUAUUAUUUAGGAAAAUCUUUUAAAACUAGUUAUCAUUUGGAAAAUACUUUAACUAGGUACCUAAACUACUUUACUGCUUGCAUAAGUUAAUUUGUAUAUAAAUUACCCAUACAUAAUGUGAGCAUAUCGGCAAUUCUACCAUGUACAUAUCACAAGCCACUUACAUAUUAAUUAUUAGAUUAAUACAAAUAUUAAGCUUAGUAUUUUCAGAAAUCAAUUAAUACUAUAUAUAAAUAUUUGAUAACUUCUUGUGUUACAUGAUAGUAUUCUAUCGAUUUGUGAAAAUUAACCUCCAGUUUAAUAGAGUCGAUACUUUUGAGUAAAAAUAUGGAACUGUUGAAAGAGAGACCUAGUCAAAAGAUGCGUUUGUUAAUUAUAUCCAUAUUCAUAAAUAUAAUAUAUAGCUAGGCAAAAUGAACUAGUACUAAAUAACAUAUGUGCUACAACUUCAUCAUAUAAUAUAUUAUAGUAUAUAAUAAAUAUAAUAGAGAGAGAGAGAGAGAGAGAUGAGUAGGGGCACUUAUGAGUAUCAGACCCUUCCAUACUUAUUAAGGUGUUUCGUUGUUGAGCUUUUUCGAAUCAACGACCCCACACCGUAAACUAAUAUGCUGAAGUAUUUUAAAUUUGCAUAGAAAAUAAAUUUCCGUAAUUUUUCAAAUCAUUAUAAAGUCCAUAAAGGGCGAGUGUAUAAAUGAAUGGUUAAACAUCAAAUAACAUCAUAAAAAUGGAUGAUCAGGAUCUUUCAAUUUCAAAAUUGAGUUAUUAAUUUUUUUUAUUAGUGAAUAAGAAUUUUCUAAAGUCAACAAGAUUCAACCGUAUUCCAAUUCUUUUUUCAAUCCGUGUAAAGCACUAGCAAAUAUCUCAUACCACGUUAAAAAUUGUCAUUCUUGUAAACUUUUGAUCGUAAAGUAAUGAUAUCGAAAACAUUAUAUAAAAUUUGAUUCUAGAAGUUUUAAAUCUCUAGAUAAUAUUUAAUGAUAUUGAAUCUUGCAUUCGGAAGCGUCAAUCAAUCGAAACAACUUAUAAAUACGAAAACGCAUAAUAGUAUAGUAGCCGCACUCUAUAUAUAUAUAUAUAUAUAUAUAUAUAUAUAUAUAUAUAUAUAUAUAUAUAUAUAUAUAUAUAUUCAGUUCAAAAUUUCAUAUGUAGAGCUAAUCAUUGCCUGGAAUUACUCCACUUAAUUAUUAAAUCAUCUUCAGCUGAGUAAAAGCUAAUUAAGAUGCAUGAAACGAAUCCAAAGAUACUCGUAUAAUAUUCUCUUUUUGUUAAAUAAUCUCUUUGGGGGGGAGCAAUACUAAACAUUAUCAUAUGAAGAAGAGAAGACAACAAUCUCAUGAAGGAAGGAAUUCGAAUAUUUAGUAAAGUUAACGACGACCUCUACGUACUGUGUUGGUCCCAGGUUUGGCAUUUUUAUAAUUAAUUACUUGUUUUGUAUUUAUCUUUCUUAUAUCACAAGUACUUAUUUUAAAAAGCAUUUCUAAAGUUAUACAUACUAAUUAUUGCUCCCAGAAGUUCCAAACAAUUAAUCGAUAACCUAUUUUCUUUGGUACUAGAUUUUGACUUUUAACUAAGACCUUAAUGAUUAUUUGGUGAUCAUGUCAAUUUCCAGUUACAACUAAUUAGAUUAUGGUGUCGUAGUGUUAGGUAUUGCUUUUACUCCAUCUUAUAGACCUUGAUCCACAUGACGACAAAGUGCACUCUCGCACUCUUGACCUUUAUAGACCUCGCUGUUCCAAUCUGUACGUGCUCUCUAAUAAGCCAAGAAGGUUGCGUCAUGUUAAGACUAUUCAUAUAGAUGUUUUCUAUUAAGUCGAUCUAAGCUGUUUUAGUUUUAUCCAAUUUGACGGUGAUUUUGUUAAACAUAUCGACUUUACCCUCAUUUUGAUCGAUGAAACUACAAACGUACGCCUGUGAAUAGUUAAUUAAUAGUCGAGGUAAUAAGUUCUAAAACUUAAUAAAUGUGUACACAAUUUAGGGACCUAUAUAUAUAUAUAUGCCAAUAUUCGAGGGGAUCUCACGCACUAAGCUAGCUAGCUAUUAGGGUUUGUGUGGUGGUGGUGGUGGGGGGGGGGACCAAUGUAUACGUUUAUAGCAUGGCUAACUAUAGCCUUAGUAUAUAUGAGCUAGCGAUUUUAAAGCGAAAGGAAUGGGAGAGGAGGUGUGGUGCAUGAAAACACCCACGAGGGAGGAUGAUGGUGUUGGCCCGUUUGCUUAGCUGUUAUGGUUGGAACGGGACGGCGCACAUGCAUGCACAUGACAUUAGUACUCUUUCUCUAUCUCUCCUCUCUUCCUAUAAACAUCUCUCUCUAUCUCUCUCUAUAUAUCUCCUAGCUAGCUACUAUAUAUCUACCCCCCAAUAUAUUGAUGUGCACUAUAUAUACCAUCACAAUAUCCCAAUAAUGUUUUAGUGAGAGAAAGCAAAGAAUGUAUCUAUAGGACCCACGUACGACUCUUUAUUUUCCAAUUACAGCAAGCCAUGCAUGCAUGCAUGAUUCUCCUUUCCCUUGCUUCUAUAUAUUUAUCCUUUAACUUAUAUAUAAAGAGAGAAAGGGAGGGAGGCCUAGAUGCUACAAAAGCUAGCCCAGCUCAUGCCAUCAAUGACUUUGGUGAUACAACACGUUCUCUAUCGUGGUCUGGGCUAAUUAAGCACAGUUACAUAUAACAUUGUUGAAGUCUGUAUCUAAACCUUUUAUGGGUGCCAGCACAUCGAUAAUAUAAUAAGUAAAAAGUUAUAUAAUAUGCCUGAGUGAUUGCAAGUGUUUCAUACAGCUGUGCGUGACACUCGCUGAUAUAUAGAAAGAUUGCCACGUGGCAAAAUUGUCGUGGGGUCGAAGCACUGUGGUGGAUGCCACGACGCUCUCAUGGGGUGAGUCGGGGACAUGCGUCAUAAUGGAGGAAGAAGAAGAAGAUGGUAGGCGCGCUUAAAAAGUUAGUUAGCUUGGCCACUUGUGAAGGGCAUGGCCGUGCAUGCAUGAGCUGUAUGUAUUGUUUUUGUAGGAUGUUUAAUAUGUUGGUAAAUUUAUAUAUAUAUUUUUAGAGUGCCUAUAUAUACAAGCUAAUGAUUUUUCUCUUUUUUUUUACAUUACAAAUGUCAGCAUGGGAGCUAAAUGACGAAUUGUCACCAGCUGAAUAAGCUAUAAAAGGUACAGCUAAAAGGUUUGCCACACCUUUAUAUAGUAUUGAAGGGAGAAAAACGUCAAAACAUUAUUUUUUUCACAAAAAAAAAAAGAAGAAGUAUAAGAACAGUGUCUUGGCAACGUAAUCCCAGUUUCAGCCUUACCGUUUAGGCCCAUGUGUAGUGUUAUUUGGGGCCUAAACUUUAACCAAACUUGGCCCAUCACUGUAAUUUACACAAUCAUGGGCCCUCAUCUUGAGGCUAAGCUGGGCCUUCGUGGACCUUGUUCUGUCGGCCGGAAUUGCUCCAUCACCAGUGUGAUAUUGGGUCAGAUUGGAUUGCAAAAGAUGUCAAAUUUCAGAGUGGAUGUUGUCCGGCUCUCCGAUUACCUGCUUAGUCUAACUAGAGCUUCUGUAAAAGCAUUAUUAUUAUUAUCUCAAUAAAACUGUAAGUGAAGAAGUGUAUAUAACCUUUCAUUCAGUCACUUAAAAUCAUUCAUUUUCUUUGUGGCUCAAAAGCUCAUAUCCCUUUACUAUUGUAGUGCAAAAAAAAAAAAAAAAAAAACUAGUCUUUUUUGUUCUCUGAAUAUUUAAUACUAUUUAAAUUAGAGGAUCAAUUUUAAAAGCUAGGUGUAACGGGCACUAAAGGUUUAACGACAGGACUUAUUGGACCAUCAAAGAGUCAAUCAUUAAUAAGAGUACUUUUCCCCUUUUGGCGGUGAAAAGUAACCUAUAAUGGAGUUAAAUUCAUGGAAAUGAUGACUUUUUUUUUUUUUGAGAAAUAGAUAGCACGCUAUCUGGUUCAUUUAUUUCAUUUAAAAAUAAACUUAACUGAAAAUAUGAAUCAAUUAAGAUUCAAAUUUGGGUCUCGAAUACUAACUAUCGAAUUCUUUACCAUUUGCUCUAGUGACGGUUGGUAGCAUCAAUCUCUUACUACAAAACAAUUUAUGGCACUCUUGAUAAUCAUCUGUGUCUCCUGACUUUACGGUCAUUUAUUUUUGCAGUGGACGUUGUACACAGCAGUCAUUUAGUAGAUUCAUAAAUUCACAGAGGACGGCCGUAUAAAUGUGGAAAUAGAUAUAGAUAACACGUGUGCUUUUCUGUGUUAUCGAGGAUUCAGGGGCUAUUAAUUACGGGAAUAUUUCUUCGUCGCCGAUCGAUUAAACUUAUUGAAAAGUUUGAAUAAGAAAUUAAGCUAGCGGCUACGAACUUAAACAUCGACUUUUUUAUUACGAGCCAAUUGGGAAGCGCAAUGACUUACGCCUAACACACAUACACAAAAGUAAUAAAAAUAGGUGUUUAAUACUAAUAAUAAUCAUAUCCAGAUGUAACAUUUAUUAGUUAGAAAAUAUGCGAGUGAAAAGUUCUCCCUCCAUUAGAAUCAAACUACACAACAAGAUGAAGGCGACCAACGACCGAGAUAACUAUUUUUAACUUGUUUCCUACUAAAUCGAUUCUUUAGGUAAAAGAACAUCAGAACUGAUCACAUUCGAUUCUCACAUUCGACAUUUAGUGAUAUUUCUAUUAUCUUUUAAGGCGGCAUACAUUUUACUGUUUACUUGAUCUUCAUUAUAUAUAUGAGCAAAAAUAUUAAAACUAUUUAUAAUUUUAUUUUGGGAGUUAAUAAUCAUUAUAAUUGCUGCUUCAUGCGAUCAAGUUGAAGCCUAAUGUGAUAAGAUGGUGGUUAAAAAUAUUAUUUUUAUAAAUCUAAAAGUGUUCAAUAAUAAGCCGGAGUCCAGCUCAAAACCAAACCCGAUUCGACAGUUGUUCCUAUCUAAUAUUAAUGACUCUUAUUAUUAUUAUUAUUAUUAUUAUUAUUAUUAUUAUUAUUUUGAAAGAAACAUCCUCUUCCACCUAAAAAAUAUAAUAAUCCACAUUACGUCCUGCAUGACGGUUUCAUAAUUACCGCCGGCGUUCGAAUCUUUGGAAUCUGACAUUCCCGAGCUUCAUUUCCUUGUCUCGUGGCCUCCCCCUCACAGCUAGCACCCAAACCCUUCCCCUUGGAACCUCCGCCACGUGGCUUCUCGACACCCCUCUCUCUCUGAACUUUUCUAUUUGUCUCUCUCUCUCUCUCCUACGUGGCCAAGUCAACUCAGAAAGAUUCAUAUGGUAAUUUAAUAAACUUAUGGUAGGUUAGAAACUGGAAAUAUAAAUAAUUUCAACUAAUAGUGCUGGGAACAAACUAAACGAUUAAUCAAAUAAUAUUGGGAUAUAUGGUAUAGGGAGUAGCCAUGUAUGGCCUUUAGGGUGCGUUUGGUUCGCGCUAUUUUUUAAAAAUUUUUAAUAAUCCAAUGAGAAUAAAAAAAUAUGACGGUGUUUGGCUAAACGCACUAAGUAAUUCAGUUGGUAAUAUUGAAUUCACUUGGAAAUAAGAUUCACCUCAAAGUACUAAUCUCAUUCUCUUAAGGGAGGGUGGAUAUCCUCAUAUUAAUGAAUUUAAGUAAUCAUAAUAUAUCUAAUCUCUUUCUUUCUUCCUACCCGCCGGCUAGUUGAUAUUAUUUUUCUUUACAUUCUAACCUUAUAUCUCUCUCUAAACUUUUUUUUUUUUUAAAAAUUCAACUUUUUUUUCUCUCUCUAAACUAAGCUUUCUCUCUCUCUCUUUCUAAAAUUUCAACUCUCUCACUCCCUCUAAUUUCGACUAUAUUUUUCUUUCUAUAUUUUUAAUUAUGCUCUUUUUUUCUAACUUAUACUCUCUUUCCUUUUUUUCUAAAAAGAUGUUGAAAUUUUUGAUAACAUUAUCUAAAAUUAAAUAAAUAAAUAAAUUAAUUAAUUAUUAUUUCUAAAAAAAAUUAAUUAAUUAAUUAUAUAUUUUUUUGUAAUAUUAGAUAACAUGGCUAAUUAAUAUUACCGUGCGAAUCAAAUAUAGGAGUGCCAUAUUCUUAGUAAUAGAAUGAAUAGGAAUAAGAUUCUCAAAUAUCUUUUAUUUCUAAUAAUAUUUUAUAGUGCAAACCAAACGCACCCUUAUAUAUAUCCUCCACCCUCCUAACCUAGACCAUUUCGUUAUUCUACCUAUCCAUGCACCCUCCUCCCAUGGAGAAGCUCUCAACAUGGGUGACCACAAUAUGGCUUCUCCUUCUGCUUUUCCAUGCAGCAGAAGCUGAGCAAGAUGACGUGAAGCGCUCCCUCGUCAACUUCCUCAAGAAGCUCUCGGGCAACGACACCCACAUCGACCGGAAGCUGGGCUGGAACGCGACCUUCGAUCCGUGCGUGCACCAAAAUUGGACCGGAGUUAAUUGCAGCGCGACGACGAACUCGAUAAAAAGUAUCGUGCUCGAAGGUUUGGGACUUACUGGUUCGAUCGAUGCUGGUCUCCUUUGCAAGGCACGAUCUCUCUCCGUCCUCAGCCUCCGCGACAAUGCCCUAAGCGGCGAACUCCCUGCCGACAUAUCAAACUGCAGCCAACUGACCCAUCUGUACGUCGGAGGAAAUCGCUUCUCAGGUUCUCUUCCUUCCUCGCUCGAGCUUCUAAAUAACCUGAAGAGGCUUAACAUAUCCUACAACAGCUUCUCCGGCGAGUUACCGGACUUUUCUAAGAUCUCGGGGCUACUAACCUUUCUAGCACAAAACAACAGCCUUACUGGGACUAUUCCUGCAUUUCAUUUCACCAACCUUGUUAGCUUCAAUGUCUCCUACAAUUCUUUGCGUGGUCCAGUCCCUGAAAAUGGUGGCCUUUUUGGUGUAGAAAGCUUCACUGGUAACCCAGGUUUGUGUGGGAAACCACUUCCUAUUGCAUGUCCACCGUCGCCAUCUCCUUCGCCGUCUCUGUCAACGGAAGAAAAAGGAGAUUCCAAGAAGUCCAUAGGCGAUAAAACUAUCAUGCUCUCCGGGUAUAUAGCUCUUGCCGUGGUCUUCUUACUGUUCCUUUCAUACAAGGUGAUCUUCUUUCUAUACAAAAAGCAGCAGCAGAAGAAGAAGAGUGAAGAAAUGAAGGGGAGUACUGGGGGUGAUGAGAAGGUGGGGAGUGAUGAGAAGGUGGGGAGUGAUGACAACUCCAAGCCUCCGAGCAAGUCGCGGUCGGAGUACUCGCUUCCUCCCUCUGGAGAGCAGAGUGCGCAUACCGCGUCGACUUCGCUGGUAGUUCUUAAGGAUUCCGCGUCGAAGAAGGAGCUGAGGUUCGAGGACUUGUUGAAGGCUCCUGCAGAGUUGAUGGGGAGGGGCAGGUUUGGGAGUUUAUAUAAGGUGAUGCUGCAGGAUGGGAGCGCCUUGGCUGUGAAGAGGAUUAAGGAUUUAUCCAUCUCUGUUGAGGAUUUUAAGAGGAGGAUGGAGAGGAUAAGCAGAGUGAACCACCUCAAUGUUCUUCCUGCUGUGGCUUUCUAUUGCUCCAUGCAGGAGAAGCUGGUGGUCUACGAUUACCAAAAGAAUGGAAGCCUCUUUAAGCUCCUACAAGGUAAGUGAGGCACGAAUCCAUCAUAUUUACAUAUGUAUUCCUCCAAAAUAACCUAAUUACAUGUACAAUUUUGCAAAAAGUAUAAACCUCUUAUAAUCAUGUCCCUCUUUAAAAAACUUGCUUAGUUUUUCUAAUUAAACCAACUUUUUCCUCCAAGUAUUGGAUGAGAAUUUUGCAUGUAUUUUUAUUUAUUAAUAUGAAUUAUAUAAAUUAAUUUAUACGCAACACAUCAGCAUGUCAGCAGAUUAGCGAUCUAUAUACACACACACAAGGAUAAUAUAAUAGUACUCUUUACGUGGAAUCAACAAUGUACAUUUAACUCAGACAACUUUGAAUGUACAUUUACAUAAAACCCCUCGGAAAUCUCAAUGAUGAUUAAACAACCCUUUUUUAAUAUUCAGGAGGUGGUGGGGAACAAAACCACAAUUUCGGCUGGAGCAGUAGGCUAAACAUGGCCACAGCCAUCGCCGAGGGCCUCUCCUUCAUGCACGAAGAGCUCCACGAAGAAGGGAUCGCCCACGGCAACUUCAAAUCCUCGAACAUCCUAUUCACGGCCAACAUGGACCCCUGCAUCAGCGAAUACGGCCUCACAUCCCCGCCCUCCGUCGUCGCCGCAGCAGCCGACCACCUCCUCUUCUCGUCGUCGUCGUCUCGAAGCGCCGGCAACUCCACCUCGGCUGCCGCGCCGUUCAAGUCCGACGUCCGCAGCUUCGGGCUGGUCCUCCUGGAGCUGCUGACGGGGAAGGCGGCGCACAGCGACGGGUCCGACCUGGCGCGGUGGGUGCAGUCGGUGGUUCGGGAGGAGUGGACCGUCGAGGUGUUCGACAAGCGCCUCCUCGCCGACGGCGCGAGCGAGGAGGGCGUGGUGCGCCUCCUGCAGGUUGCGCUCAAGUGCGUCAACUCCGCCGCCGAUGCCUGCCCCACCAUGCGCGAAGUCGCGGGGAUGGUCAACUCCGUUAAGGAGGAGGAAGAGGAGAGGUCCAUAGUCUCCGAGGAGGGAUGAUGCAUGCAUGCAUGCAUGGCCAGUUCUUUGGUAAGGAGUUUUAUUAGCGUUAGACGAGCAUUAGUAUUCUUGUUUGUUGUCGGAGAAAUUAUUAUUGCUGUGGACUUCGUCCACCGCGUCAGCCGUGGACCUCCCAAACUAUUCUUCCUCGUCACUCUACCUUUCAAAAUCACAACCCUUAGAUAAAUAUAUUAAAUAUAUUACCCUUUUCAAUUUAAAAGGAAUUAAAAAUGGAGGGUGGAUUGUAAUUGGAUGGUUCGCGGCUAACAUGGUGGACUAGAUUCAGACGGUAAUUUUACCUGUUGUUGAGGCCUUUUUGUUUUGUUCAUCUAUAAUUUAGAACUAAGAUAUUAUCAUCUUUUUUUUUAAUUGCCAACAGAAUAUAGUCGAACUGAUGAGCUUACCGUCAAUGGUGGCAUUUAUUGUUUUAUUUGUUACUAUUUUGAAGUAAUCCUAAUUAAUUGUUUGAUUGUUUGAUUCUUUCUAGUUAUGUUUGCAUCAUCAUUUGAAUACUCAACAAAUAAUUCCUCAAAUAGAGAUUUCGUACCUAACCUGUAUUCGUUUAUAAUAUCACAUUUAUUAAAUUUUAUAGAACUACCAUUAUCUACGAUAGCUUAAACUAUUGAGAUUUUUAACAUUAAUAUUCAAUAUCUUUUCACACAUUUGGACUUGAGAUUUUUUGAUGGGUUCCAAGAUGUAGGUUUGAGUUAAAUAAAAAAAAAAUUAAUUAAACUAGAAACUAGCUAGACUGGAGCUCGAAAUCUCUUGCUCUGAUAUUAUAUUGGAUUAUAUAUAAAAUACUUAUUUCUAGUAGCUUAAAUUAGCAUAUAAUAAAAUAUUAAUAUUUGUAUUCAACUAUAUAUAUUGAUGAGAAUUGAGAAACAAGCAGCUUAAAACAUGAUUACAAGUAAAGCAUCUUCCAAUUGAAGUGUAUAAGCAAGGAAAGCAAGAGCUUCAAUUUCGACACUAGAUGAUUUCGACACUAGAUGCUCGUAUCGUUUGCUUACUUAUAUGUUAUAUCCAUAUCAGAAUAUAUAUAUAUAUAUAUAUAUAUAGAGUGAGGCUACUAUGCUAUCGGAAGCACGGAGCCUUCCGUGCUUCCAGCUCGUUUUCGAUGUUGCGACUUUCGAAUCGUCGAUCGGCUCCGUUAAACUUGAUCGAGAGUAUUUGGAGUACCUAGAAAAUAAAUUUUAUUAUUUUUCGAUAUCAUUUGCCUANAUUCAAAAUCCAUAAUUUUUAAUGAUUGAUAUCUGUCGUUUUCAAGUUUAACGGUGUAGAAGUAUUUAAAUCAGAUAAAAUUUUGAUACAAAAUUCUUUAUACUAUCUAUAACAAGAUCAAUAUUUCUGAUCGAAAAUUUUAGUGCUAUAUCACAAUUUUUUAUAGAAUUUUUAUUUUCAACCGUUAAAAAUUAUUGAUUUUAAAUCCUUUCGAUUGCUAGGUAAAUGAUAUCGAAAAAUCACAAAAAUUAUUUUCUAGAAACUUCAAAUACGCUAGAUCAAGUUUAACGGAACCGAUCGUUGAUUCGGAAACUCCAUCAUCGAAAACGGCCCAGGAGCACGAAGGCCUCCGUGUUCCUGAGAGCACAGCAGCCCUGCUCUCUCUCUCUCUCUCUAUAUAUAUAUAUAAAAGAGAUAGAUAAAAUGCUACUCACUUCGUUUAUUUUAUUUAGAAAUAAAUUUAGCUAGAAAUAUAAAUCAAUUAGAAUUCGAACUUGAGACCUCGGGUAUCAACGACUAUGACCUUUACCACUUGCUUUAAGGACAAUUGAUUAUUAUAAUAAUAUUAUUAAUGAGUCAGUUUUAUAUUCUUGUUCCUGAAUCACAAUUUGGAGCUAAAAAUUAGCUUGGACCGGAUCACACCAUGCCGAGGCUAUAACUCGAUCCCACCAGACCCUGAACGGGCCCACACCUGAAGAUAUGCUGACGUCAUUGCAGAUCAUGAUUUCGUCAGCUCCUCGGGCAAGAACUUGAGUGAUCGUCCAAAUAAAGAUGGAAAACAAAAAGAAAGAGUCAAAAUGUACGAAGACCCAAAAGGCUAUUUUGAAGUAGAUUCUUAAACUGCAUUCUCUUAAAUUAUUUUUUUUAAAAAAAUUUCAAUUAAUUUAAUUUAAGUUAUAAAGUUAUUUGAAUUACGAAAAUUCCAGAAUUAAUGACUUUGGAAGUUACCAGGUGUUAAAAUGAAUGUUCUGGGACAAUCUCGUAGAUUUUUAUUAGAUAAAAAUCUAAAUUAAAUAGAAUUAUCAGAAAAACUUUAAAUGUCCUCUUAUGGUUUCAUUCUUUCUCACUUUAGUAUUAUGUGGUUUAAAAUAUAUCAAGUUAGUACCCUGUGAUUUCGCACUUUCUCUCUUUAAUAUCCUGUGGUUUAAAGUGUGUCGAGUUAGUACCAUGUGGUUUCACACUUUCUUAUUUUAGUACCCUGUAGUUUAAUAUUUCAUUAAGAAAAAAAUAAAACCACAGAAUACUAACUUGAUAGAAAAAUAAAAUCAUAAAGUACUAACUUGAUACACUUUAAACCACAGGGUACUAAAGUGAGAAAGUGCAAAAUCAUAGGGUACUAACUUGAUGCACUUUAAAUCAUAGGAUACUAAAAUAAAAAAAUACGAAACCACCUGAGGUUUUUUAAAAUUUUUUCCUAAAAUUUAAUAAAAAUUUUAAUAUAUUUAAUGUAGUCAUUUAAUUCAAAAGAAUUGAAACUCAAUGUGCAAAAAAAAUAAAGAAAAAAAUGUUCAGGGGCCAAUUGCGGGAACAGUUACAUUUGAGGGGUUUCGUACCAAUUUUUUUUUUUUACCUAAAAUCACUUUUUUAGUAGUUAAAAAAUAGAGAUUUGGGUCCCUGUAGGGUUUUUGGGCCAUUUGGCUUCUUUUUUGCUUCAACCAAAACCAAAAACCAAAGAGAGAGAAAACACAACCCACCACCUCAAAGAAGCUUGAGAAGAAGAUCCCACUUCUUCUCCAACGGAGGAGGGGCUUGGGCUUCCUAAACUGAAGAGGUAGGCUAUAUUUUUCUUUUUUAUUUCUUUUUAUUUUAUUUUUUAAUCUCCCCUUCCCAUUCUACAUUCUCGUUGUAAUCUAACAAACGUUACAGGGUAAAAACAAGACGUGGCUUUUCCCUCGCCAUGUUCCUGCUUUUGUGAUCUGCGCUUCAACUAAAAGCUGGGAACCAUUUUUGUUCUUGUUCAGUACACAAAGCGCUUUUGUUUUCUUUCACAUUUGUUUCCCAAGUUGCGAAAAAAGAAACAAAAAGAAGAAAAAAAAAAAAAAAAGGUUUUGAUUUUUUUUGAUUUUUUUUUUUGAAUUUUUGGGUCCAUCCUAGCUAUUUUGUCAAAUCAAAUGACUUGGGUUUUGCCCCCAAAUCAAGGAAGGAGAUGGUUGCUCUUCUAGCCCACUCAUCAUCAUCAUCAUCAUCAUCCACUGCAAAUUCAAAUUCCUGGGUUUUGUCCCACACCAAGAGGAGAGAUCAUGUUACAAAUUCCCAAAUAAGAGACUCACUGCCCUAUUCAUCAGCCCAACCCCCACCACCAACACCCCAACAAUCUCCCAGCAAUAGAAUAAGCCCUGCAAUCCUCUUCAUCAUAGUGAUCCUCGCCGUCGUCUUCUUCGUCUCCGGCCUCCUCCACCUCCUUGUGAGGUUCUUCGCGAAGAAAACCCCACCACCCGGUAGCACUUCACCCCAUUCCGGUAGUAGGCAGCAGCCGGCAGAGGCCUCGGGCUCCGACGCCCUCCAGCGGCAGCUCCAGCAGCUCUUCCACCUCCACGAUUCGGGCCUUGAUCAAGCGUUCAUUGAUUCGCUGCCGGUCUUCCUUUACAAGGAGAUCGUCGGCCCGAAGGAGCCGUUCGACUGCGCGGUCUGUCUGUGCGAAUUCGCCCUCGAGGACAAGCUCCGGCUUUUGCCCGUCUGCGGCCAUGCUUUCCACCUCAGCUGCAUUGACACAUGGCUGCUCUCCAAUUCCACGUGCCCGCUUUGUCGGCAGCCGCUGUUUGUCCAAGGCCUUGCGAUCGAGAACCCCAUCUUUGAAUUCGACGAUUCGAUCGAGGAAGAUAGUUUUGCCGAGGACCGGGAAGCGGAGUCGGGGAAUGAGAAGAGAGUUUUUCCUGUUAGGCUCGGCAAAUUCAGGAGCUUGAGCAGAAGAGACGGAGGUGUCGAAAAUGAUAACGGCGGUGCCGUUAUAAGUGCGGGAGAAGAGGUAGGGGAGGCCAGUAGUAGUAAUUUGGACGCGAGGAGGUGCUAUUCCAUGGGCACGUAUCGGUAUGUGCUCGGUGAUGUAAAUCUUCGAGUUUCUCUGAGAAGUUCUCAUAAAAGAAACGGAGUCCGUAGGAAUUUCGCUGAUAAUGAGGUUCUGGAAGGAAAGAGGAUAUGCGCGGGGAGCAAAGGCGAGAGCUUUUCUGUGUCGAAGAUCUGGCAAUGGCCGAAUAAGAAGGGGAAGUUCCCUAUCAGCUAUUCAGAUGCAGGCUCCGUCGAUGGGAGUAUGCCAUGGAUGGAAAGAAGUGUUCAGGAUACAUAAAAACAAAUGUGUGAUGUGAUCAAUCCAUCUUUUUCUUGAUGAUUAUAUUAAUAUAUCAUUCAUGUGUUGAUUUUAUAAUGUUCUCCUUUUGUUACUUAACUUCUUUUGUGCUCAAUUAUAAAUGUCUGUGGGUGCGUGUGCUAACAUUGUUUUAGUUCUGUCUGAUCUUGGUUUUUCAUGCUGUUGUCUCGGAUAUCAUACUACCGAGUCAUAAUUCCACCUUUCUAACUAGGUUCCCAAAGUUCAUACAAAAUUACAAAUGUAGAGUGCUAAAACACGUAAGGUAUUUGUUAGAAUGAGCUGCUAUCCCUUUUUUGUGAAAAUUUAUAUAUAUUGCUAGAAUGUCUAGUUUGAAAUCCCAAAGUUCUCUUCGAUCUUUUACCAGUUGAAAACCUUUUUUUUUUUUUUUUCUUCUAUUGGUUCUAUUUUCUCCUGAGGAGGUGAUGGAGACUAUAAUUGUCCCUUCCUACUAACUAUAUUUGACAUGGAGAUUAGAGGUUUUCUUAAUAUUGUGGUGAUGGAUCCAGCUGGGUGGUCGAAAAGAGUUUUUCUUGAGAGUGAAGGGGGAAGAAUAUUUCUUCGUUUUAUUUUCUCCUUCUCGUCCUGUUUUUCCCCUUUUUUUUCUUUGCUUUGAUUCGUUUCAUUUUGAUGCUUUGUUCUUCUCUUACUUCAUCUUAAGUAAAAUAAGAACCACUAGUUCUCGUAUUGCUUCGCUAGGAAGUUUUGAAACCAGCAAAUUGGAGAGAGAUGUCUUAGCUCGCAAAGCAAGUAACUAAAUUUGCUUUCAUAUCUUUAUCAGAGGUUAGUAGAUCUGUACAUUAUGUUACAUUGUAUGAGUAGGUAGAGGUGAUACAUCGUAUUAUACUAAUCAUAGUUGGAGCUUUGUUAACUUCAUUGAUGCAAUGCUGAUAUUGAUACUCUGAGAAUAAGUAAACGAAAGCCAACCUAUUACUUGGACUCAGUAUUAUGUUAUAAAUGGCACAAGUAGGAUAAUAUGCUGUUUGACAGAGAAAUCCUAUCCGCAAGGCUUCAAAUAUAGUGUAUUGACUAUUGGCAUGUGGAACAGCAUAUGACAAUGGGGUUCCAUGGGUACAUGGUUAAAGAUUAGAUUCAUGGAUGUUGCCAAGCCAAAAUGGAAAAUAUUACAUAUGUGAGUAUCUUUUUUUAAGUUUAGUGCACCUAACAAGAUGUAAAAUGUUUUCUUGUUAUCAUGUUUCUUCUCAAGAAGCAGUUUAAAGUGCCAAUGGGAGAUGGCGAGUUUUACUGAACAUGCGUCCGGUGAAUCGUUGUUUUCACACAAAUUAGUGUUUCGGAAGGAAAACAGGAAGUGUAAAGGGCAGCAGUAAAAUGUUUCUGAUCAAAAGAAUAGUUGGUUAUGGUGUAUCAGAAAGUUGUGGUGUUUAUCCAAGUAUUUUAUACUCUCUACCUUUGUGGACAAUCUUUCUGCAAGUAUUUUUAUACUCUGUACCUUUGUGGACAAUCUUUCUGCUAAAAGGUGAAGAAUGGGGCUUUGCUUGUUCCCAAACGCAACAAUAUUCCUCGAAUCAACUUGAAAAUUUUCUUUUGUAGUUUGUUUAACUUGAAUAACAACGAGCUUAAACUGAAGCAACUUUCAUUUCUAAUGAUGGCCAUGGUAAUUAUUGACCUGUACAGUAGAAAUUAUUACUGCUACUACGUCAAUAUGGUAUGAGCUCUCUACCUGAUCUGGUAACUUGUAGCAAGUCUUUGUGACUUUUCAAUAUACUCCUGUGCAGAGCAAUCUUUUGCAGUCAUCAAGUGAUUGGAUCGCUACUAUUUUUUCUAAAAACCUAUCUGCUUUGUAACAUUACUUUAAGCCACUUCCACUCUUACUGCUGGUAUGUUAAUUUCCUUCUCUUUUCAUCCCCCUUUGCUCUGAAGAAUCUCCCAGGUUACUUUUUCCAUAACUGAAGAAAAAAGCGAGUGGACAAGAGUUACUUGGGUGUCGAACUUUACAAGAAGGGCUUUUGUUGUAUAUGUAGUUUUACUCCUUACUUACACAGGAUGUGAAAUUACAAGAAUAAAGCGUUUGAGCAUGUUGUGUCAAAAUCUUAAAAUGACAUCUUUGUUAGCUCCGUUAUACAAGAAAAUAUAGGCCCCUGUUUAGUGUUACUAUACAUUGUGUUUUUUCAGAUGUACAAUUUACUGGGUUGCUCAGGGUCACAAAUUUACUAACAAUAACCAUUCACAGCCUAUCGCAAAAUGAUGAUGAUGAGUCGAUGACCACCAACAAUAACUACAACAUACCAACAACAGCAGCAACAACAACACCAAUGACAAUAAAUAAUACUCGAAUAACAAUAGAUUAAAUCCGUCUAGUGAGUCAAUCUUUCUCUGAAUGAGCAGUAAAAGAAAAAAAAAGGGCAUGAUAAAUAACAGACACCUUAAUGCAAAAUUACAUAGAGAUAUUCCAUGGAUAAGCACAUAUCAAAGAAAUAUUAAUUCUACUCUGGGAUUGACCUUUUGUUGCAGGAUAAUAUCUUGGGCUUGCUUCCAGCUAGGAUAGUCUGAUAAAUGGAUCGAUUUGUAUGACCACUUGCCUCCUCCCAGAUACAUUCUCCCUUUUGAGUUGAUAAUUAACCGCUCACGAGCAAUGGCAUUGUUAAGCAAAUAAAUAGCAAGUUCCACUUCAUUGCAUUCAUUAGUGAAUCCACUGAUUUCGGCUUCCUUCAGCUGACAAUGGUGUUUAUAAGUAGGCUUUUUCUUCUGAGUUUCAGCACUGUAAGAUCCAUCGCAGAGCUGUUACCAAAACCAAUAAACAUCAGGUUCAAAGAUGAAGAGCACACAAUCUUGUAUGUUAGUGAACAAAAUAUAUCAAGGAGCGGAUAUAAUCCAAAAGAGCGAUUUCGUCGUAAGUCCACAUAUCUUGUAUGGCAUUGCUCAAGAGCAUUUUAUGAUCCUCUUGUAAAAAUUAGUACUUUGAGGCUGCAUUUGAUUUGGGUAUAAAUAAGAACUUUUUAUUCCAAAAAUAGGUAUAAGUUCAGGUAUAAGCAGGAACUAGACCAAUUUUGCGUUUGGAUGAAAAUUAGUUUAUUCCUAGGAAUAAGAUAAAUAGUGUUUGAAUGGUUAGAUGGGAACAAAGGGAAUAAGGCUUAUAAUUUUAAAUUAAAAAUAUUCUAUCUAAUUAAUUAACAUCAAAAUAUUACUUAAAAAUAAUUUAAUAAAUUAAUAAAUUUAUUAGCUAUGAAUAUUAUAUGAGAUAAUGAAAAUAUAUUAAUUAAUUAAUUAAAUAUAAAAAAUAAUUUAAUUUUUUAAUUAUUUAGUAAAUUAUUUUAGCUAGAUAACUAGUAAAAAAAUUAAUUAGAUUAAUAGAAAUAUUAAUUGUUGAUAAAUAUAAAUAUUAGUUUAUAGAUAAAUACAUUAAAUAAUAAUUUAAAUAUAUUAAUUAGAUUAAUUAACGAUUUAAUACCAUAAUUAAAAUUAAAUUUAGAUUUUAAUUAACCUUGUUUCCACCUGGGAACAAACUUGUUCCAAGGAAAAAGGUGGAUUAGCAAUUCCAGCCUUAUACCAGCUUAUUUCAGAAAUCCAAAAACUACUAUUCUUUGGUACCAAACGCACCGUUUAGGAACAAAGGGGGGAACAAGGGCUUAUUCCCCCCUUGUUCCCGAACCAAACACUGCCUGGGAGAACAAUAAAGGUAUGAUAGACAUGAAUCCUAUUUUUACGACCAACAAUAAUUAAGAUAUGAAUCUUCAACUUUGCACAUUAAUCGCGAGAGCUCAUCAUAUAGAAAAGAUCAAAGAAGAGUUGCAAAAUAGAUAGUUACACAAUGAAAAGCCAGAUUAGAUAGUACCGAAAGUUGCAAAAAACUGUAUCAACUCACCGAAAUAUGGAACUUCUCCUGAAGAGGACAAGCAUCAAGAAAAUACGUAGCAGAAAGAGGGUCAAAAUCGCUUGGGGCAAGAAAAAACAACUCCAAUUGUUUGAGAAAGCUGAAUUUACUCACAUUUGCAGGUAUUGGCUAUGUCUGUAGACACAAGAAAUUGCUAAUUAACACAUCUUUAUAGAUAGGGUGUGCAAAAGAAAAACCAAUUAUCACAGGAAAAUUUCUAAACUAUGUCGUAAAUAUAGACACCCUCACAAACCUCAAAAAAGACUAGUGACAGAGACUUCAGGCAAGGAAGAUCUCUUGCUAUGCCAUGGUACAUAUAUUCUGACCCCUCGGCAAAUGGAUGCAGAAAAGCCAUGUACAAUUUCUCUAGACAGGGAACUCUAACAAAUAUGAAAUUUUUAACUCUACCCCUGUAAUCAAAUGUCUUGAGACUAGUGGAACUAAUAAAGAUAUUAGAUAACAAACCAUAACAAUCACGCAAAGUUAAUAUCUUCAGAUGACGUAAUUGAUAGCAUAUCGUGAGUCUUUGGCAGGUCACAUGUUUCCAGUCUCCAGGACUCAAGGUUAAGACAACAUGAAUGUAUACUUUGAAUAUCACUUGCAUCCAGAGGGACUCUAUUCAAAUCGAGCGUCUUCAAAGAACUGAACUGGUCUAUGAAAUUUGAAGGUUUCAGCAAGCAUGUUUCGAGGCACAAACGCUUUAAGUAAGAUGAUUUACUGCAGGGAAGGAGAUGACAUGGGAAAUUAUAAAGGCCAUAAUUAGGUGAUAUAUUAGAAAGGGCGCGAGAUCAAUCUUCCUUGCUCUCAUCCUCAGUGCCCAACUGAUCCAGCUAUCGAUAUGACAAGCAGACUCAUCUCCAAGUCGAAAACCGACCGUGAAGCAAUAUAUAUCUCGUGAUAGAGCUUCAUAAACAUGCAAAAUCUGGUUAACCUCUCUUAUAAGUUUAUCCUUAAACUCAUUAUUGACAAGAAGACAAGAGCAUCGUCCAAUUUGAAUUCCAAACAUAGUAAGAGGGUCGAGGCAUAGGUUAGAUACGAAUGUAGGAUGACGCCUCCAUCUACGCGAUAGUAACUUUGCCUUGGCAGCAUCUCGCAAGGUAAGAAGCGAGAAGAUGCGAUUAAGAAUGUCGUCCGGCAAUUCACUGAUAUGGUCUCUGGUGUGAGCGUUUUGCUACAAAAAAUGUGUAAAUUAGCAAGAUCUCACUUUCCUAACUUUAGGAAGAUAAUAAAGAAUAAUGCGAUAAGUAAUAAAUAGAUGACUUGAGCUAGGGUGCUAUUUAUAGCACCAAGCCUUUCAUGUUAUAGGCCAUUAAAAAUAUCACUUUUGAGACCACUUGAUAAUUAAGAAAUAGAUUCAUGAAAUUUGAUUCCAAGGAAGUUCAAAUAUCCUAAAUCAGAUUCACUGAUGAUGAUUGUCGAAAUGAAUGCCCAAACAUUGAAAAUGAUCGAUAGCACAAAAGGCUCGAUCCUACUAUUAGCACCCCGGUCUAGCUCAUAAGUAGAUCAUCAACUUUAUUUUGCAACCAAAACACAGGAACAACAAGCAAACAUAACAGUUCCUGGCAAGCCAUAGAUAAGAUAGGCAUGGGACACUAGAAAUGCAGUGCUCGAACCAACACACCUGCUGCCUAAGCAGUCAAGACUCAAGAGCACCACAUGUUACCUAAUCAACAAUAACAUAUUUACCAAGAAAUUGGAAAAUAACAUGAAAGUUAAAAAUGUGCGGGACCUGUGUGAACUACAACAAAUUUUGAAAGCAUCGGCUGAUUUUGAAAUUUGAUUUUACAACCUAAGUUUAGUAUUUAUUAGAUUUGUCGAGUCACUUGAUGGCGCUUCCCAAACGGAAUCUUGAUAAGCCAUAUGUUUUUAUGGGACUUAAUUAGAGUAUCUUAUAUGAUUCACACGACUACAUCCUGUUAAAAGUUUUAUAAGCACGGUCAAUUAAAACGAAAUCGUGAAAUAAAAUAUGGUCUGUUAAAGCGGAGAGAAAUUUAUUCUUUUUGCCUAAUUAUUAAAACACGAGAAAUUGAUUGAUAACACCUGGAAAUGAGUCUCAAGUAAAGCUGCUAGAUUUAAAUAGAACAACUCCAGUCACAAUCCACCAAUGGAAUUGCACCAAAAGAAAAAAAAAAAAAAAAAAAAAAAAAAAAGGUAAAUAAGACGGAGCAGAAAAACAGAACCAGAUUUGCUCAUAUGUGAAGUGAUAAUCCGAACGAGCUCCAGAUCAUAGGGUUUUAGGCGCACAGAAAAAUCAUAUUUAGAGAAGAUAGCCUCAUACAUGUAGAAUAGGUGCACAAAAAAGUUGUACCUGAAAUUGGCUAACCGUUUUGGAGUGCUCCAUCUCAGAGUAUAAGGAAGGCGGCUAGGCGAGCGAGAAGAGUUCCAGACUGCCUUCGGCUGAGAUCGGGGUAGACUAAUUAGUACUCGAGAAAAUAUGCCGACGCCGACGGCUAGGGUUCAUUCAGGAGGAAUUAAUUCUAAUUUGAUAUAUUCUGCACUCCGACCGGGCGAAUUAGAGCUAAUCCAAAACGAAAAGGAAUAAUUUAUACAACUCCCUAAUAAAGAUAUAUUAAAUUAUGAAUAUAUCUCCUCCUGCCUUUUUCGGCCAGAACUAAUACCAGAAAAGCCAAACAGAUCACCACGGAACACCAUGAUUUUAAUGGGGACAAAGUCAAUGAUCUUCAACCUAGCCAAAGGCUUAAGCUACUUUGCAUGUAUGAAUUAAGACUAUGAAGGCUAAAACUAUGAAAACUACAAGGACUAAGGCCCCCGUUUGGAUACCGUUAAAAACGUAGCAUAAUGCUACACUAGUAAAAAAUUUAUACAAUUAUCGUAAUUUUUGGAUCAUAGGUAAACUAUACUAAAAAAAAUAGAGUAAAAUUAUAAUUCACUCUAACCAAAGAAAAAGAAUUCCACUAUUUUUGGACAAAGAUGCAUAAGUUCUAACUUUUAAAUUUCAACAUUAAAUUUUAAAUUUCAACAUAGAUUUCAAAUUUUAAAUUUUACAAUUUAAUUUAAAUUCAAAUUUUUAAUUUCAAAUUUUAAAUUUGAAUUUUAAAUUUGAAAUAUCAAAAAUUAAAUUUUAUAAUUUCAAAAUUUAAAUGUCAAAUUUUAAUUUUAUAAAUUCAAAUUUUAAUUUUCGAAUAUCAAAUUUUAGAUUUUAGUUUACAAAUAAUAAAUUUCAAAUUUUAAUUUUUUAAAUUUAUAAUUUUAAUUUUUAAUUCUAAAUUUUUUAUUUUCAAAUUUAAUUUUAAAUUUCAAAUUUCAAAUUUCAAAUUUAGAAUUUCAAAUUUCAAAUUUAGAAUUUCAAAUUUUAUUUUAAAUUUUAGUUUUCAAAAUUUAAAAUUUAAAUUUUAAAUUUCAAAUAUCAAAUUUUAAACUUCAAAUUUUAAAUUUUAAAUUUUAAAUUUCACAUUUUAAUUUUCAAAUUUCAAAUUUCAAAUUUAGAAUUUCAAAUUUCAAAUUUAGAAUUUCAAAUUUUAUUUUAAAUUUUAGUUUUCAAAAUUUAAAAUUUAAAUUUUAAAUUUCAAAUAUCAAAUUUUAAACUUCAAAUUUUAAAUUUUAAAUUUUAAAUUUGAAGUUUAAAAUUUGAUAUUUAAAAUUUAAAAUUUAAAUUUUAUUGAAAUUUGAAAUUUGAAAUUUGAAAUUUUAACUUUUAAUUUUAAAAUUUAGAGAAAUUCCAUGAAAUUGCACAAUGCGCAUCCAAACAGUUUAAAAAUUGAAUCCGUGAAAUUUUUUUAGAGUUACAGGAUUUCCUAUUUCAUUUGGACCCAAACCACAGUUUAUAAAUUCCGUGGAGAUUUUUUACUGUGAAUCCAAACAGGCCCUAAAGAGAAAAACAGUAUGUUGGAAAGUCCCUGGUGAUUCUUUUCUUUAGCCUACCCUUAUAUUGUAGAAAGAGUGGUUUAGUUUUCCAAUAUUUCCUUACCGAGAGAAGAUCAAAAGCAGCCGGCUCCAGUGCUGAGAAAAUGGCAGUCAAUCCCUGCACAAAGUUUGCAUCAUAAAAAUAUAUGACAAACAAAGAAUUGUUGUGCCAAUAACACAGUCCGCUACGACCAGCAUGUCCUAUCUAUGCCGCGUAUGUCGAUAAGAUCGUACCGCUCGUGCUGACGUGUUUAAAAUACGAUGUGUGUCGAGGCAUGUUAGCGUACCUCGCAUGCCAAUAGCAUACCAACACCCCGAAUACCAGUGGCACAAUGCCAAUAGCAUACCAACACCCCGAAUACCAGUGGCAUAACAUCCGUUAAAAUAAAUAAACAUAAAAGUUUAAAGUAACCUAAGAAGGAACCCUGCUCCAGUUAGAAAAUCCCGGUAAUGCUGACACACCAGGCCAAUUGUCUUAUGUUGGAGUGCCCAAAAUACUAUAAUUUUGCAUACAUUAAUACAAGUUAGAAUUAAACUUUCAUGACAACAAAUAAAUAAUGAAUAAAUGCACGUACCGAAACAUGCGGUCAAGAACGGCAACCUUAGUGUCCCCCUUGAAUAAAAUUCUCUUUUGGUCAUCUACCAUCAGAGCAAAAAUACAACCAAAUGACCACAUAUCAACAGUUGUACUAUAUGUGUCAAAUCCAAGCAACAUCUCAGGUGCCAUAUACGCGAGUGUGGUGACCUAGUAAUCAAAAUUACAAUAGAAAGUAAGCAAAGCACACUAGAGACAAAUAAAGAAAAGAUAAAAUGCAUCGAGGCCUCUCAAUGAUAGAUCAGAUUGAAAUCAUCUGCUCAACUUCAACUUUUGGAUUCAAACAUCAUUAACAUAUUUGAUUAUUGAAAAUUAAGUUAUGUUAAUUUUUUAAAAAUAGAGAUUUUAUCAAAUUGCUUAUCAUUUCAUCAAAUUUAAUUAUUCUAAUAUUUUUUAGUAAAUAAACCUAAACUAAUUAACUGUUAAUAACUAAUAGAGUCAAUAAAGUUGAUAAGAAAACCAACUAUAAAAGUUCAAAUUAAAAAUAAAAAUAAAAAUUAAGGGAGUCAAAUCCAAAAAAAAUGUUGGAGGGUCUAUUUUAGAAAGGCUUAUAGUUGAGGGAGCCUCCAUAUAUUUUAUAUGUAUAUUAAAAAAAAUGUUGCCUGCAUAAACAUUUCAUCCAACAAAAUCACAGUUCCACUACUUACAAAACAAGUGUAAAUUGGUUGAUUGAGAGUUGAAAAUAUUGUUUGUAACUGCGUUAAUAAUUUGACCUCCAAAUAGUAUUUCUCAUAAAACGAUAAAUUGCCACUCGAUGGAAUCAAAAUCCUAAAACAUAAAUGAGCUUAUCAUGUCUGUACUAAAAUCAAAUAUCUAUUAAAAUCACAAAAAAAGUUUCUUACACUACACAAUUGGGUACACAAUUGGGAGCACCUACAGGCUUAAUUUUUUCUUUUUUUCUUUUUUAAAGAAUUAUAUCUUCUUUUUAUUUAAUAAAAAAAGAUAAACAAGACUCAAACCCUUACUCUCAACAAACGGCCUUCGUAUGUGAAUUCCUUUCUCUUUGCAAAAUCACAAGCCAUUUAUAGGAAACCAAUCAAGAAUAUAUUCUCCACCAUUUUUCUACAAGACAAAAAUUACCUUUGUUAACUUGAUCCUCAAAGAGAUUCAUCAUUUCUUUUUGGGUGUUUGGUUCAAGCUACGCAAAAUUUCCGAUUAUUUCAAUGUAACCAAACACGCCCUUUAUGACAUUUUCCCAUUCAUCGCAUCAAUAACACAUCUAUCCCAUAGCUUACGGCAUUCCAAUCUUAUUUCUUCAAUCAACUGUGAGUAAACAUUGAUCAUAUUCGAUAUAUCUAAAUCUAUUGUGAUAGGUCUUCUCAUACAACAAAACUUUUCUACAUCUUUUGCUUAAAUGGCCAAAUUCUCCACAUGUGAAACAAUGUUCUUGCCCUUCCGCUGAAAUGGCCAAGUCUUAUUCACUUUAAAUCAUGACAUAGAUAGAGCCCCGAUUCCUUAACUCAUCUCUGCAAUCCUCUAUAUGGAAAGUGCUGGGACGAUGACAACCCCAACAUAUCCUUUGCUUGAUUAUAGCCAAUUCCUGAGAUAAGGAUUUAAAAAGUUCAAAUCGAACCCUAACCCUAAGCUAUGUAGAUGAAAACCUCUUCAGUGGACUAAUGACACUGUUUUCCUACGGCUACUCUAAGUUCCCACAAGAACAAAACCCUAAUUGAGAAUGGUCUAGCUUGAACAAUUCAUUUUUUUAGGACAUUCCUAAUCACCAACAUUAUCUAACGAUACCAUAAGUUAAUGUAAUAUGCAAAUGAAAAAUGUUUCUUAUGCUGUAGCAUAAUUAAGAAAUGUUGGUUCAUAGUUCACUAACAAAAUAGGAGAGUAAAUUGCAUUUUAUUUGUGGCAUCAGUAUCAUAUCUUGGCAAUACAGUCCCCGAGCACAUCUAAAGUCGGUUACUACGAUGCGGUCAUCUUGAUCCCAAUAAAGAAUGUUCUUUGACUUGAGAUCACGAUGUAUUACAACGUGGGAAUGGCAGUGGUGAAUUGCUGAAAAAAUCUGCUUCGAGUAAUCCUACAUUAAAAAAAAAACAAAAGAAAUAAGACCAAAAAGACAUAACAAUGUAUUAAUACAGCUAAUUUAGAUAAUUUACCUUCGUCAUUAUAGGGCAACGAUCUUCAUGCCACCGAAAGUGUGAAAUUAAAUUCAUCUUAUAUUCUUGCAAUACUAAGAAUACAUGAUUAUCUUGGCCAUAAGUGCGUUCUAACCUAUAAUUUAAAAAAUAAAACAAAAAUGUUAAUUCAUAGUGAUUAAAAAAAAUAGAAAGCCGAUGUUUUUUCAUACAUUUCUGGACAGUAGGGAAAAUUUUGGUCUAGACUGAAAGGGGAAUAAAAAAUUUUAAAAAUAUCAAAGUAAAUGCAAAAUUAUAACAAAAAUCCUUAAUAGGUUAAGAUAAUGGAUUUACAACAUUUUUCUGGGAUAUUUUAUCAAAAAUUUCUUUUAAGAUAUAGUCUCCGAAAUUUAUUAUCACAAUCAACUAUAAGAAGGACCUGAAUUUAGUAAUAAUUAUACUUAAUAUGUAAGAAAUAUACCUAACAUUAUUAUCAUAUUUAAGUUCGGUGAGUAUGUAAGAUUCCCUGAUUCCCUGAUGGCAUUGAUUGAAAGAUCAUCAGUAAAUGGUAUCCUUUUCAAAACAACUUGUUUGUUGCUUUGUUUGUCCUUCGCUAGGAAAAUUUCACCGUAACCUCCUGAAUCAAGUUUCUUAAUAGUCUCAUACCGAUCCAUCUACAGAUUGGACAAGUGACUGUUUAAAAAUAAUAAACACUUUAAUAGAGUAAUACUAAUCACGGUAAAAUUCACAAAUAUAAUUAUUACGAUAAUCACAUUAGUAUGAAUAAAAACAAUAAUAAAUUAUUAAACAAUAAUGACGGUUUAAGAACAGUGAAAGCAGUUUUAGAGUUUGUGACAAAUACGACACGUUUGGCCCAGAUUCUGGAAAAGUAAUUUCUGCAGAAUUGAUUUUGGUUAAAAGCUGUAAAGCGUUUGACUGAGUUUUGAUAAAAGUGAUUUUUCUAAAGCAAUUUUGUAAAUAUGUUCGGCAAUUUUUUUUUUUAUGUUUACAUAAAUUAAUAUUUUUAUUAUAUUUUAUUUUAAAAUAAUUUUAAAUUUAAAUUUAAAUUUGAAUUAAAAUAAAAUUUUUAAAAUUUUAAAAUUGUACAAAAUUUAAAAUUUGAUAUUUUAAUUUAAAAAAUAAAUUUUUGAUUAUUAGAGUUGCCGAUCACUAGAUUGUGAGUAAAAUUACAUUACAAAUAUAAAAAAUUAAGAUAAGAUUUAUAAGAACUCCUAAAAUGAUAGAAUCUUUUCUUUGAUUAGUGAAAAGGAAUCAAACAAUGCAAUAAACAGUGAGAAACCAAAACUAUUGCGAAGUACAUUACAAACAUAAAAAAUUAAAUUACAAAUAUAAAAAAUUAAGAUAAGAUUUAUAAAAACUCCUAAAAUGAUACUUUAGAACUUAAAUAACAAACAAAACCAAACGAUUUUGACUAAUUUGAGAAUAAUAAAAUAAAACGAGACAUAAUAGCCUCUUUGAUUGGUGAAAAAGAAUUAAACAACACAAUAAGCAGCGAGAAACCAAAACUACUAUCGCAGAGUACAUUACAAGAAAAAACAUAAAAUUUUUCAUCAUCCGAGUUGCCGAUCACCAGAUUGUGAGUAAAAUUAUAUUACAAACAUAAAAAAUUAAGAUAAGAUUCAUAAGAACUCCUAAAAUGAUGCUUUAGAACUUAAAUAACAAACAAAACUAAGUGAUUCUGACUAGUUUGAGAAUAAUAAACUAAAACGAAACAGAAUGGUCUCUUUGGUUGGUGACAAAGAAUCGAACAAUGCAAGAAGCAACGAGAAACCAAAACUACUGCGGAGUACAUUGCAAGUAAACAUAAAUUUCUUGAUCAUCAGAGUUGCCGAUCACCAGAUUGUGAUAAAAUUACAUUACAAACAUAAAAAAUUAAGAUAAGAUUUAUAAGAACUCCUAAAAUGAUACUUUAGAACUUAAAUAACAAACAAAACCAAACAAUUCUGACUAAUUUGAGAAUAAUAAAAUAAAACAAGACAUAAUAGUCUCUUUGGUUGGUGAAAGAGAAUCGAACAACGCAAGAAACAGCGAGAAACCAAAACUACUAUCGCGGAGUACAUUACAAGAAAAUAUAAAAUUUUUCAUCAUCCGAGUUGCCGAUCACCAGAUUGUGAGUAAAAUUACAUUACAAAUAUAAAAAAUUAAGAUAAGAUUCAUAAGAACUCAUAACAUGAUACUUUAGAACUUAAAUAACAAAUAAAACCAAGUGAUUCUGACUAGUUUGAGAAUAAUAAACUAAAACAAAACAGAAUGGUCUCUUUGGUUGGUGACAAAGAAUCGAACAACGCAAGAAGCAGUGAGAAACCAAAACUACUGCGGAGUACAUUACAAGAAAACAUAAAUUUCUUGAUCAUCAGAGUUGCCAAUCACCAGAUUGUGAGUAAAAUUACAUUACAAACAUAAAAAAUAAGAUAAAAUUCAUAAGAACUCCUAAAAUGAUACUUUAGAACUUAAAUAACAAACAAAACCACUUGAUUCUGACUAGUUUGUGAAUUAUAAACUAAAACGAGACAGAAUAGCCUCUUUGGCGCGUAGAAAAUCCGCUGCAGUGGAGGUGGAGGGAGAAGGCGGAGGAAGAUGACGCGUUAUCAUCCUCGUUAUCAUCGCGGAGGGCCAUGGAGGCAGUGGAGGAUGGUCGGAGAGAAAAAAAAAAAAGAGGAUCGCAGCGCGGCCUCGGCGGAGUCGGAGGCGAGUAGGGCAAGGGGUGCGCGAGCGAGGGUGAGGGCGUGAGCGGCAGAGACAAUAGGGGUCGUUUCCGCCUUCGCCUUCGUCGCCUUCUUUGGCGAGAAAAAAAAAACACAAAAAAACAUAAGGAGAGAGAAAAAGAUAUAUGGGUAUUUUGGUCAGUUUACUAAAAAUUCUGACCGAAUUUGCAAAAUCGAAAAAGACUGUCCAGUUUUGCAAAAACUUAAAACUUAUGGAUUUUUAUGCAAAUUAGCCAUAACUUUUCUAUUUUCUUACUAUUUCUAAUAAUUGUUCUGCUCCACUACCCCUAAAUAGUUUUUCGUGAAAAAUGGAAAAAAUUCUUCUAUUUCCUUCUUUAUCUCUAAACAAUUUUCUGUACUAAAGGGUAAAAAAUUCUUUUAUUUACUUCACUAUCCCUAAACAAUUCUCCGUGAAGAAGGGUAAAAUAUUCUUCUAUUUCCUUCACUAUUCCUAAUAGUUCUCUGUAAGGAAUGGUAAGAAGUUCUUCUAUUUACUUCACUAUCUCUAAACAGUCCUCCGUGAAAAAAGAUAGAGAAUUCUUCUAUUUCUUUCACUAUUCCUAAACAGUAAUCCGUCAAUUAGAGCGUUUGGCUGAGGGUCCGUUUGUUAUGUUAAACCUUCACUUCACCUACUCUCGACUUUCUACUCUAAAAUGUUGAAGUCGAUUUCCGCCACACUCAAUCUCCUCUAAAAAAUUUAUUAAAUAGUAAAACCUAAACUCUACUUCCUUUAUAAUGAGUUAGAAUUACUUUAUUUAUAAUAAAUUAGGAUUACCUUAAAAUAAUAAUAAAAAAUUUAAUUAUAUAAUAGGUUAAAUUUUAUAACGGUAAAUUUAUUACCAUAUUUAGGAGAUAACGAGAUCCACUUACUUACAUCAAAAUAAACAGAAAAAAUAAUUGAAUUUAACUUUCAGACUGUACGAGUUACGUCAAAACAAAGAACAAAAAAAUAAUCACACUUCAAGAAAACUCAAAUACCAUUGCAUUUGACCUACGUUGGAUCUACAUAUUCGUCAAUCCAAACGCCCCUUGAGUUUAGGUAAAAGUAAUUUUUCUGAAGUGAUUUUGUAAAUCUGUUUGGUAAAAAAAUUUAGAUGCUUGCAUAUAUUAAUAUUUUUACUAAAUUUUAUUUUAAUAUAAUUUAAAAUUUAAAUUUAAAUUUAAAUUUUAAAAUUGAAUUUAAAUUUAAAAGUUAAAUUAAAAAUUUAAAUUUGAAUUAAAAGUAUAAUUUUUAAAUUUCAAAUUUGUACAAAAAAUAAAUUUGAAAUUUCAAAAUUUUAAAUUUUGAAUUUAAAAUUUAAAAUCUAAAUUUAAAUUUUUAAAUUUAAAAUUUAAAAUUUAAAAUUUGAAUUUUGAAAUUUAAAAGUAAAAUUAAAUCUUAAUUUUGAAUUCAAAAAUUAAAGUUAAAAAUUUUGGAUUUUGAAAUUUAAAAUUAAAAUUUAAAAUUUAAAUUUUAUAAUUUGAAAAUUAAAACUUGUAAAUUUAAAUUUUAAAUUUUAAAUUUUAAAUUUUAAAUUUUAAAAUUUUAAUAUUUUAAAUUUAAGUUUUAAAAUCUGAAAUAUCAAAAUUUAAAUUUUAUCUUAAAUUUAAAAUUAAAAUUUAAAAUUUAAAACUUUAAAAUUUGAUGUUUGAAACUUAUAUUUAAAAUUUAAAAUCUAAAUUUUAAGUUUGAAAUGUUGAGAUUUAAAAAUCAAAAUAUGAAUUUAAAAUUUUAAAAUUUAAAUUUAAUGUUAAAUUUAUAUUUUAAAUUUAAAAUAAAAAUAAAAAUUUAAAGUUUUGGAAGAGCAGCUUUUUUCUAUUUUUGAUUCUGCAGGCUUCAAAAUUAAUUUUAUGAUUCUAAAAAAGAAUUCCAAAUUUUUUAUCGAUCUUUCUCAUUUACUGAGUACUGAGUUUAAAAGUAAUUUUGGAUUCAAAAUUAUUUCUAAGAAACUAGGCCAAACACCCCAAUAUGGGCAAAGAAAUGUAGUUUUUCCUUUUAUAUCCCUAGCUAAUCGCUCAGAUCAGAUCAAGCCUCGCUCCGACCUUCGUUGUCUUUCUCCUGUCUCUUCUUCUUUUUCCUCCUAUUGUCUCAGAUCCCUCGAUUCCCUUACUCCGAUCUCUUCCUUCGCUCCGGCGAGGGGUCUCCUACGCCGAUCCCUCCCCGUUCUCAAUCGCAAGCGCACGAGAUCCGGCGCGAGAUCCCACGCUGGAUUUAGCCAUGAAUCCCUUCUCCUCGGGAACUCGGUUAAGGUAAGCUCUCCAUCAUUUCCUACCUCUUCGAUCGAUUCGCGCGCUUCUCGAUCUCGAUCGUGCGAAUUCGUGCUCUCCUUGGAAAUCGUUCGAUUCAGCUUAAUUAGAUCUGUUUGAGAUCACAGCUUAAGGAUUCGAUGUGUCGCGUUCGAGCUAGUUGAUUCUUGGGAGUUAGAACCUUAGCAGAUCUCUGUUCUCAUUGUGUCGUGAUGAGUUCGUUUUCAGGUUUUCUUGAAUAUAAGUCAGAACAUAAAGUUAUGCUGUUUUCUUUGAUUGGGGAGUCCGUUCAAGAAUGUCUGCGAUCCACGAUUGGGAGGGAAAUUUAGGAAAUUUUUUGAGCCGGUUCAAUUGAAUCGAAUGCAAACAUGUUCUUUUAUUCACAUUUGUUCUAUCAAAAGUAAGGUUGCCCCCCUCUCUUUUUCCUUGGUUCUAGAUUUUAAGUGUGUCUUAUUGAAUUCUUUUAUUUCUUGAUGCAUAUGCAAGAAUUAUAAAAUUUGUUGUUGUGGUACGCUAGAUGCAGGUCCAGCAAAACUGCAAUUGCCUUGGUUCUGAAUUUGAAGCAUUUCUAUAGAUUGUUCCCUGACCCAUAACUGUUAUUUACUUUAAUCCUUGAGUUUCUUGAGGAUAAACACUGAAGGAACCAAAAAUGUUCGUAACAUUAGAAUAGUCAACACAGUCUACAGUGAAUUAUAUAGCUGUUUGUUAGAGAAGGCAAGCAUAGUAGAAAAUGAAGGAGAGAAAAUAUGAGAAGGAAAGUGAUUUUCUUUGUCUUGGUUGGAUAUUUAUAGAAGAAAAGAAGAAGAGAAUAGCCGUCCUCUAUGUUGUUUAAAAGGACAUGGCAGAAAGUAAAUCAAAUACUACUGUACCCUUAUUUGGAUGUUCUUGCUUUCGAAACUGUUGCAUUCACAUUCCUUUGUUAUAUUUGGUGUCCUAACAUCAAAAAUGACCGCUGCUUAGUUGGUUCUUAUUUAAAUGGAGUCUAAUUGUUGUUCAAAUGGAAAUUGUUGUUAUAUAAAUAUUGGGAACCAUUGGUAUAAUGACCUCCUAGGAUGUUUAACUAGCCUGAUAUCAAUAUCAAGACUUGUUAAAUGUGAAUCCCACGUUUUGAGACAUGUCCCUUUUGUUGACUAUCUUACUAUUGAUUUGCAUCCUUCCAGAAGAUUUCUUUCAUGUUCUUCUUGGUUGAUUUGGCACGAGCUUUGUAUUUGAACUCUCUGAUCUUUCUUCUUGUUGGAAUUUUUAUGCUUUAUAGAAUACAUUUCAACCAUUUCCACCUUUUUAAAACUGAAGCAACUGACACACAUCUUCUAAUAUUCUAGUGUGCUUACUUCCUACCGUAUACAUGUUUAUGUGAGCACACGUCCAUUCUCUUAAUGUGAUCACCAUUAUGCAAGCAUGUUUCUGUAUACGUAUCUGUGUAUAUCAGAAGUUUGUGAACAAUAUGAAGUAUUUCUUUUCAUUAUUGGAUUGUAAUGGUUUCAAUCUUUCAGUAGAAAUACUUUCCUUGUUAUUUUUCCAGUUGUAUGUUGAGUCAUUUAUAGUUGUAUUUAGCUUGAGAAUAUAACUGCAUGAUACUUUGAUCAAUUUUUCUUCUUUGUCCAGUUCCUGUGUAGAGCCAGAUGAGCAAACUUGAAUUCUUAAACUUAAAUUGUCAAUAUCUUCAGUUUUUUAAGAGUCUAACCCUUAAAACUGCAGGGAUAUGAUUCGAGCUAUACGUGCAUGCAAAACUGCUGCAGAAGAGCGUGCGGUUGUAAGAAAAGAAUGUGCUGCUAUACGUGCCGCAAUUAGUGAAAAUGAUCAAGAUUAUAGGCAUCGUAAUCUUGCAAAACUCAUGUUUAUUCACAUGCUUGGCUAUCCCACUCAUUUUGGUCAAAUGGAAUGCCUUAAGUUAAUAGCUUCUGCUGGGUUUCCUGAAAAAAGAAUUGGCUAUCUGGGCCUCAUGCUGCUUCUUGAUGAAAGACAAGAAGUUCUUAUGCUGGUUACAAAUUCCCUGAAACAGUAUCCACUACAUUUGUAGUUUACUGCCUAGCUUUACAUCUACUUCACUAGAACUGUAGGAUAUUUUACACUGAUUCCUAUUAAUUGAUUUUGUACAUUGCAAAAGUCAUCUUUCUAUCUAUUUAGAAUCCUUGACAUGUGCAGAGAUCUAAAUCACUCAAACCAGUAUAUUGUGGGUCUUGCUCUUUGUGCUCUUGGAAAUAUAUGUUCUGCUGAGAUGGCACGGGAUCUCGCUCCGGAAGUAGAGAGACUACUGCAUGGGAGAGACCCAAAUAUUAAGAAAAAGGUACUUACUUUCCCUCUCUAUAUCUAUUUGUGGAUCAUAUUUAGAUGAUUUAUGUCUUUUAAUCAGAGCAUUCAAGUUUAAAUUCAGUAAGUACUAAAUUCAUUACAGUCCCUAUACUGUAGGAGAGUAAUUCCCUCAGUUUAUAAAUAGUACUUCAUACAGAGAACAAUAUUAACUUCUCUUUAAUUUGUCCUAGAUUCUUAGUUUUGGUUAAAUGUCUCUUUACUAUCGAGUACAUUAUUAUUAUUAUUUUAAUUUGUAUUUAAAACUACAAAGAUCAUCAGCUCAGCGUCAUGCUGAUUAAUUGAAUAUUUAUUCAUGCAUUUUCCUUGUUGCUUGGAUGCACCUCUUUGAUGAGUUUUUCUUUUGUGUUGUUCCUCAGAGUCAGGUACUUUUUAAAUUUGAUCACCAGCUAUUUCAUUUGAAUUCAGUAAAAUUUUGGGCCUCUUUUGUACUUUCUAGGAUACAACCUUAUGUGGUUAGAAUCUUUUGAGUUAUGGGAUAAGCAUAAAGAAUAAGGAAUCUAACAAAUGGCAUAAAAAAAAUUGGACCUUGGUUUUGUACCUGGGCUGUAAGAUCUGACCAUGUAAGCACAGAUUUCCGAAAUUAACUAGGGAAAUAAGACUGGGUUUACUCAUUUCUAUCUAAAUGUUAUAAUAGUUGUUUUAUUGUCUGGAAAAGAAAUAGUAUUGCUUUACUAUUUCCUGAGAGAUCAUUCUAUAAGUUGUGACUCUCUAAUAUGUCCUAGCAUAUUUUAACUAUUGUAUAUUCCUUUUCAAUAAAUGUGUUAAGUUUCUAUGAAAUAUGUAGCUAAUGUUGGAACUGUUGGAAGCUGGUUAAAGACGGGGCGGGACGUGGUGGUAAAUAUGCUUUUGGAGCUUCACAAAGUCAUUGCCAACAUAUUAUGAUGAUGGGUGAAAAUUUACCAUGAACUCAUCAUGCCAAUCUUAUAAUGUAUGAGUGCGAAGCAAUUGCUUCCUUUUGAUUGCGGUGAUUAAUCAUAGGGCGGUGUUAAUCUCUGCAAGUUGCACUCCCUAUCUUGAUAUAGUACUUUAAAAAGUAAUUUUCGUGGAUGGGGGAUGUAGUUAGUUUCUCUCUCGAUGAAUUCCUAUUUGUGAGAAUAGUUUGCAUUUUCCUUGAUGAGUAGCUAAUCUAAAUGGCUUUUAUUAUCCAUUGAUUAAAAGUUGCUUCUUGCUUCCUAGGCUGCUUUGUGCUCUAUAAGGAUCAUAAGAAAAGUUCCUGACUUGGCAGAGAACUUUAUGGGACCUGCUGCUUCGCUGCUGAAGGAAAAGCAUCAUGGAGUUCUCAUAGCUGGAGUUCAGCUCUGUACAGAUCUAUGUAAAGCCAACACAGAUGCCUUGGAAUAUUUGAGAAAGGUAUCAUGCACAUUAUGAGCAGUAUUUGGGUUUUGUGUUAAGGUCUUUUGGAUAAUGCAAAUGCUUAACAAAAAUUUCUUCCCAUGAUACACUUUUACGGAUAUUUCUAUUUUGCAGCAUAUUCUUCCCAUGGUUGACAUUUACUGAUAUUUCUAUUUGGCCAGCAUACAUUGUUUAAACACUAAUUUUUUUUUUCUAAAGAAAAUAAAAUCAGUUUCAAUGAGGGCUGACCUUGAUGCAUGGAUACCACUUUUCGAUUGCAACCUAGUUGUCAUGAUUCUGAAUCCUGGAAACAGCCUCACCACAUAGUGGCGCAGGCCUGCACAAAAGUUGUCCCUCUGGCUUCAUAGAAGCUAGAGCCUUGUGCAUUGCAUUGUGCCCUUUUUUCAACCAAAAUCAGAAAUAUAUUUGAGCUCACUGCUUUAUUACAACGAAACCGCAUUUGUGAGCCUAUCCAUAUUGGCUUGUUUUUUAUUUUGGAGAAUCCAUAGAAGAAAAGGAUCAACAUGGUUUGUUUGGCUUAUCUAAUUUUAUGCCUAAGCUUCUUUUCAAAUUGUUCAAGGGAGCUUGCUGUUUCUCUUGUUCAAGUAAUUGUUUGUCCAUUUGGAACAAUCUUGAGUAUGGAUUGUCCCUUUGAAAAUGUGAACUGCCAACAUUUUCUCAAGUUCAUUUCUUUUUCUAUUCUAAUAUCCAUAACUAAAGUGAUCAUGUAACUAGUGUCAAGUGUAAUACUUAAAGCCGUUUUCUUUGGCUCGGUGUAGAGUUGAGUAUACAGCAAACUUAGACAUUUUAAAAUAUGGUAUUCCUGGAAUCUUAUGGAAGUGGCUGGAUUGGACCCAUCAAACCUGAUAUUGUUGUGCAUAAUAAACUUGUGGAAAACCUUUAAAGAAGAUUAAUAGAAACAAUUAUUGAAUGCAUGAAGCUAGCUUGCUUUGAGUAACUUUGAAAUCUGGAAUGGCGUGGCUAAGAAAAACAUUAAGAAGAACACAAUGAGCAUUUUGUGCUAUAGCUAGUAAUGCCAAAGGUAUCGUGAUAGCAGAUGUUCUUUUGGGGAGUAUAUGUAGAAGAGCAGUUUGUAUAUGCUAUUGUUUUUUUUUUAUCUUUGUGUCGGAGUACCAGUUUGCUUGCCUCUUUCUUUUGAGAUGGAAAUAUCAUGCUUCAUGAAGACAGAUAUUUCAUCAAAACAGAUUAUAUACGUUAUAACAAGUUAUUAUCUGUCGCUGUCCUGUUGUCUAUAUCUCUUCAUCAAAUCCAUUAUCCUGUAGAAUAUUUCUGCCAACUUUCUAAGUGUUUACUGUUUGUGGUUCUGGCCUCUUCUGAUGUAAGCCAUGUAUAUCUUUGUUGGAAACUAGAGAUCGUAGUAGGUACUUUUCUUAACUUUGUUUUAGAUUUCGGUGGAUACAUUUUCUUACGUAAACUGUAUUUGUUGCUUAAUGUUUUUUUUUUUCAGUUGGUUUUCUUGACACACUCCUUUUUGAUUGUAGAACUGCACAGAAGGAUUGGUUCGUAUCUUGAAAGAUGUUUCAAAUAGUCCGUAUGCUCCUGAGUAUGACAUUGCUGGUAUCACAGACCCUUUCUUGCACAUCCGAGUGCUUAGGCUGAUGCGCAUGUUGGGCCAAGAGGAUGCAGACUCUAGUGAAUAUAUGAAUGACAUUCUUGCACAGGUGAGGAAUCAGGAUCCUCUUUCUAUUUCCUCCAAGUAUAUAAUGUUAUGUGUACUUACGUAAAUACUGAUCCUCCAAAUGUUUUAGUUAAUGUCCUGGUUCAAGGUUCUAACAUAGAUUUCCCUUUUCUUUUUCUUAUUGAAGUUUAGAUGGUGAUUUAGUGAUUUUCUGUUGAAUCCUUAUGUACUUGAAAAAGUUUUACUGUGCCUUUUGUCUUCUAAAUUGUCCGUAUCAAAGCUAUCUAUCUUGUUUUCUGCCAUGUAGUUUCUAUAGCUAGUUGGAUUACUAAACUUGCAUCAUUUAGAAGUUGAUACAUACAUGUUGGUUGUAAAAUUUGCAAAUUUUACUGUUUUGUUUUUGGCUUUUCCACUUUGUUUGCUUGCCAUUUUUAGGUUAUUCAUAUGGCCCGAGUCAUAGCUUCAGUAAGAUGUGUCUAGAAGUUUUAGCUUGGUUUUAAAUAUCUUCCAAUUGAUAUGUCCUAUAUCUGCAGUUAUAUUUUGUAACUAUUUAUUUCCUUUCCUAGGUUGCGACGAAAACUGAGUCAAACAAAAAUGUUGGGAAUGCUAUUCUUUAUGAGUGUGUUGAGACUAUAAUGGGGAUAGAAGCUACCAGUGGCCUACGUGUUCUAGCUAUCAAUAUUUUGGGAAGAUUCCUGUCAAAUCGUGAUAACAAUAUCAGGUAAAUACUCUUUUUAUAUUUGUGGUUUAUUUAUGCAUUUGUGAAAUUUGUACUUUGGGAAGCGUGGGCCCAUGUUCUACAUCUUCUGCAUUUAUGAAUUUGUUGAAAGUGAUAUAUGUAAUCGACCCCAAUUAGUGAACUAACAUUUGACAAUUGCUAUUUGACUAAUUUACAUAAUUACUGAAUGCUGUUGAUAAUUAAAAUGCUAAUACAUAGUGUGGAUUUGGUCCAUGCUUCUGUGUGAGGGGUUGGGAAAAACAAAGCUUCAAACUAAUUAGCUUAUGAAGUAUUAGGGUAUUCUCCUUUGGACGUAAUUGAUUGGGAUAAAUGAAAUACACUUGUUAGACCUACCAAUUGGUUGGAUUGGUUGCUUUCGUCCAUUUGAGUAUUCGCAUAAUUUGAUUAAGUGAAGAUUACACGUCUAGUUUGUACACGUUAAAAGUUUUAUCUAGUUGAUAACAGAUUCUUUGUUGGGAAAGUUCCAGUUUCUUUUUCUCUUGAAUGUUAGUUCACUUAUUUGUUUAAUAAUCUAUUCUUCUUUUGUUUUCCCCUUCCAGAUAUGUUGCACUGAACAUGCUCAUGAAGGCCAUUACAGUAGAUGCUCAAGCGGUGCAGAGGCACAGGACAACGAUAUUAGAAUGUGUCAAGGUAAUACAGCUUCACCCUUUAGAUUUUAAGAAAGAAAGGACUAAUUCUUUUCUUUAUUGAGAAGAGCAACAGUACUUUCGUUCUCUUAUUGCAGAAUGAUAUGGUGUAGAACUGAAAAUUCAUGUUGUGGCUUGCUUUGUACAUAAUUAUUACUAUUUUGAUUAAAUAGAAACUAUCUUUUUUUUCCCCUCCCUUUCGGUCUUCUAUGACAAUCUGAAGUCUGUUUCUUUUAUCUUUUACAAUGUGCAGGAAAUUGUGUUGAAAUAUGAAUCACUUCCAAGAUCUAUUGAAACAUCUUUGUUUUAUUGUUAAAUUCUUUAUUUAGUUUUCCGAUGUUACACUUGCUGGACAUAAAAAAUAAAGUUGUUCUGCUGGAUAGUUCGAUCACUUAAUAGAAGUUAAACUAAAGUAGUAUUCGUCUUAGUGAGAUCAUAUAUAUUAGUUACUUUAUUCUAAUGGUACAAAUGGAACACAGACUUUGCAGUCAGUUCUGUGUCAUGCUUGUGCAAACUCUCUAUUAUUCAUGUGAUUGAUUGUGUGCUUCAAGUUGCCUCGAAUUCUAUUUUCCAUCUUUAACUAGAUUUUGGUAUAGUUCACUAAAGGGUUCAUAGUUAGCUGUCUAAAGGUGUCUAUUAUCUCUGCUACUUGUAGUCAAAAGGAUGUAAAAUUUGACUUGCAACUUUCAGGAUUCUGAUGCCUCAAUACGGAAAAGGGCUCUGGAGCUUGUUUUCCUGUUAGUCAAUGACGGCAACGUGAAGCCUUUGGCUAAAGAACUUAUUGACUAUCUAGAAGUAAGUGAUCAAGAAUUCAAGGGGGAUUUAACUGCCAAAAUUUGUUCAAUUGUUGAAAAGUAAGUUCUUUCAACUUUUUGUUAAGUUUCAUAAGAUAUAAUUUUCAACAUUUUAAUGCUUAUAAUAUCCACAUUUCCUGCCUUUUAAAACUUUAUUCAAUUAGUUCUGCUAGUCGACUUGUUAAUAUAGUAGCAUCUUUCUUACACCCACCAGAAACCCACCAGAAAUAGAAUUCACUGAAUGCUGACAAAUCCUUUGCCACUCAAGUUUAUGGCAUCUGCCUCAUUUAGGCCCCUUCUUCCCUUCAAUAAUCCAAAAUUGAAUCUGCCUGCCUGGCACUGUAUGGUAUAGGUAUGGUGUGUAGACCAGCAACCCUUGGAUUUUAGGUGGUUAGCUAUUGAAGUGAAAAAAAGGCUGGAUGUGAAAAUUGUUAUGCAUUAAAUUAUAAAAAAACUUCUUAGCUCAAAAAUGAAUCUUUGUGAACAGUGUGGAUAUCAUUUGAGCAUGUUUCCCAUCUCUUCUUGAGAAACAGGUGGGGGUAUUUCCUUGCAAAAUUUUAUUUCACUUUUUCUAGCUUAUCUCCUGGUUUGAAAUUGAAUUUAAUUUCUUUCCAUACUUAACAAACAACAGCUAGUUCAGGGCUCCAUUUGCUAGCUUCAACGAUAAUUUCAGCGCCUUCACGAGCAAAGAAUGGCUUUCUUAUUCCCACCUGGGACUUGUUUGGCUAAUGAAUGCUUCUACCCUUAGUUUGACCCUAUGGAAGAUUUACAUUGUAGUGAUUGGGGUCUUCCUUCUUGAUUUUUGUAUGGUAUAACUAUAUGUGGCAUAAUAUAGUAACCUCCUCAUGAGAAGUGUAUGAAAUUUGGGUUAUUAAAUGCCCUUUCAAGACCAAACCGCGAAGUUAAGCAGCAGCAAAUGCAUGUUUGAUGCACGGUGUGUCUUUGUGUACGUAUCUCGCUUCAAACCUUAAUUUAACCAACAAGACUGGAAUUGCAUACGCUAGCUUAGACAGGGGUUAGCAAGGACUGAUAUGCUGGUUGGCAUAGCGAGCACGUGCUAACUGGGCUUACUGUCUGGGCCGCUUGCUGAUGAGUGCUGGCACUUAAAUGGGCUCUGUACAUGGUCUGUACUGACCGUGCUCAGAGUUAGUACUGUGCAUAUAGUGGCAUGUAUUGUGAGGCAUGCUGCAGUAAGUGAAACAUGAUUGCUAGGGCUUGGGGGAAAAAAUAGUUCUUCGGUUGCUGUAGUGUCAUUUUUUCUCCUGUUUGUUUAAGAAGUGAUUGAUAGCAAGUUAUGAAAGAAAUGAGACUGCAGCUAAAUGUUCUUUUGAGACGAUAAUCUACUGCAGGGUUAUUUUUGCUCUUCAACUUAUAGUUGAUAAAAAAUAAAGGUGGUCUUGUUUAGUUAUAUUUUUACUCUCAAAUUGGAGGGAAAUCAUUAUCUUUGACUAAGUAGUUAUUCUUAUUAUAUAUGAGUAUGAAAGUUGAGACCUGAAUGAUUACUAUCUAAAUCCUCUCUUUAACACACUUAUGUAGCUAAUGAUUUUGCUACUUCCGUUAUGUAGGUUUUCUCAGGAGAAGCUGUGGUACAUUGAUCAAAUGUUCAAGGUCUUAUCUCUGGUAGGUGAGGAAGUAGUUUCAUGAUUAUUCUGAAAUUCACGAAACAAAAAUAUAAACUUUUUUGUUUUUGGUAUCUUGCUGAAUUACACAUUCCUAUCUAAUUUUAAAAUUUCUUAUGGUUCUACCUGCAUUAUAUGUUUCAACUGCAAUCACUUGCAUCUUUUUUUCCAGUAAGUGUCUGGUAUUAACAUUCCAUCUAUUUUGUGGUCGUAGUUUAGGAUGACAUAUGGCGACUGGUCCUCAGCUAUUCAUUGUAUUCUCUGCAAGUUGCAUAAUCCUUGUAACAACUGCGACACAUUACUCCUUACCUUCAGUGAUUUAGUAACUUAUUACUGGUGCAAAUCACAUGCUAAAUUUCUUAGAACACCAUUGAUAAAGACAUAAAUAAUGUUACUAUUUUUUCAAGUAUGCAUAUUUUUGGCAAUUAUCAUCUUAUUUUAUAUUGGUUAUUUGUCUAAAGAAUGUUUAUUUACUGUGAAAAAGUGAGAUCAGGCUAAUAUAAGGAAAACGUGAGAUCAUGCUAAUAUAGUUCUUCCUUUUUUUAUGGGGACAAUAUCAGCAUCAUCUUUUUAUAAUUAUUUUUUACAGGCUGGGAAUUACGUAAAAGAUGAUGUGUGGCAUGCCCUUAUAGUUGUGAUAAGCAAUGCACCCGAUCUUCAAGGUUACUCUGUUAGGUCCUUGUAUAGGGCAUUGCAAACAUCAUACGAGCAGGUAUCUUGAAUUAUGCAUUGCUAUUCUUAAAGGUGUGCAUUCUUGGUAUUCACUUUGCUUCAUGCUUUCCCAAUUUUUGUUGCUUAGGAAAGUUUAGUACGAGUUGCUGUGUGGUGCAUCGGGGAGUAUGGCGAGAUGCUGGUCAAUAAUGUUGGAGUUCUUGAAGUGGAGGAACCUAUGACAGUGAGUCAAUUGUUAUUCUACUCCUAAUAAUUCUAGCAUUAUCUAGCAUACUCUAAAUGAAUGGACUUAUUCUGAUGAUAGACCCUGAUUUCUUAAUUUAGCAAUGUCAUAGAAAAAUAUUCUGGAAGUAGAAUUUAUGUUUUCCUUUGAUAAUCAGACUCUAAAUUCAUGUAUCCCAUACAUAAGAUGGUUCCUUAAAUUAAUUUUCAAUGUGUCAUAAAGGAAGGCACUCUCUGUAAUUCCCAUAUAGGUUGUGCUACUUUGUGCCUAUGGCACAUGGGCUAGUCUUAUCCAACUGCUCAUCUCAUAUCCCCUUUAAAGUCUAUUAACUAUCAAGGAAUAUGCAGUGCUAACAUGCAGAGUUCAUUGUUUGGUGUUAACUGAAUGAAGCUUAUCAACUUUGGAAAUAUGCUUAGAGGACGCACUCUUUUAGGGUAAAUUAUUCAGGAUAUUCUUGUUAAAGGGCGUGAACAACACAGUUUUCUUAUCCAGGUAACAGAAUCUGAUGCUGUGGAUGCCGUAGAGGUUGCCUUAAAACGUCAUUCUUCAGACAUGACUACUCGAGCUAUGUCUCUGAUUGCUCUUUUGAAGCUCUCUUCACGAUUUACACCCACCUCAGAGUAAGUUUUUUUGACAACCGGAUAUACCAAUUGCUUUCUUCUCAUCCUUUAUAUGUUUGCAACUUUGCAUGAUGUCAUUUGCCUGAUUUCCUUCUUGUUUUGCACACUUUCUGAAGUUUUGAUGUCUGUUGCCUUUGUAUUCUAGGUCCAUUGACUUACUUUGUAUAGCUGUAGUAUGACUAGUUUAACAUGAUAUACUUUGUGUUUGUUAUGUAAAUAUGCAUUUUUUGUAUGGUUAACCUUUUGAACCUUUGACUUUUGUCACAUUCUCUGAACUUGAAACCUGAAAGACUAUUAGCCUUUUUCUUGCCAAUUGGGUUUAAUCCUUUGCCUGCUGAUAGCGGCGUCGUCUUUUAUUACUCUAGAUUUCAUCUCCGGUACUCAAAAGGAGAUUUUACCUUUUUCUUCCACUAGCUUAAUUUCUGGACUUUGAUACUUCUGCAUUUGUUUCUGCAAUGUCAUAAGAUUGCAAUUCUUUUACAUUGUUUGAUUUGUCAGGAGGAUAAAAGAAAUAGUUACACAGCAUAAAGGGAGUGUCGCACUAGAAUUGCAGCAAAGAUCAAUUGAAUUCAACUCUAUUAUCCAGAGGCACCAAAAUAUCAAGUGGGUAACUGAUCUUUUGGUCGUCAACAAUAUAGCGAGACAUCCAUUAAAAAUUCUUGUGGUUGAAUCCAUGCAUUUAUUGUUAGGCUGCUGGUGCAUGUGCAGAUCUUCUUUGGUGGAACGAAUGCCUGUCUUGGAUGAGGCAGCUUAUUUAGGAAAGAGAGCAGGUUCUUCUCAACCAACGCUUUCAGCUGAAAAAUCUAGCAAACCGACCACUUCUGCUGCAUCACUUAAGCUUCCAAAUGGCGUAGCUAAGCCACCAGCUGCUCCUCUUGUGGAUUUGCUUGAUUUAAGUUCUGAUGAUGCACCAGUUCUGCCUUCAGCCCCUAAUGAUUUUCUAAAUGAUCUAUUGGGAAUUGGCCUACCAAAUUCAUCAUCAUCAGGUUUUAUUCUGCCUUAUUCAGUAUUUUUUUUUCCUUUUAUUUGUGGACAUUCUUAUGCAUGUAUAAGAAUGAGAUAAUGACAAUUAGGAUGCUUGAUGCCAAUUAUUCCAAGAUACUUCUUGUAUGAGUUAGAGCGUAAUCUCCGUUUUAACUACACUUAGUGAUUAACUAACAGUUAUAUGAUGACUCUAGUAGUCUACUUUUUGCCUAAGUUUGAGCAUAAUUUUUGGUGAGUUUUUCAGUUUAAUCUGUUUCAUCAGACUUAACAAUGCAAUGACUUAAACUCCAUUCUUGUUAAGUUGAAGAAUGCCAUCCUUUUCUUGUAAAGUAACAUUGUCGUGUUUGAAUGGUAGUUUAAGUAUUAAUUUCGUUAUAAUGUUCUGUUUCUAGUUUUUAAAUCUUCACAUGCCCUAUGAAAUUUACUGCAGUUUUAAUGUCCUUAGUAAUAUGUUAUUGUGUUUUAUGGUCUAGUCACUUUAGCUGAUAAAGACAACAUUUUGCUGCCUUUUCUCAAUGGAUUUAAUGCAACAUUUCUUAUGUGACAUAAUCAUUACGUGAAAUUGUAUUCUUUCAGCAGAUGCUUUACAACACUUCUUCUCUAUUACAUUUUCCAGCUUCUAUGUUUUUUUCUUCAAUUUACUUCUUACCACUACUAUCUCAGAGUGAAUGUGAUCGCCACCAGACAUACCUUAUGCUUUAGGUGGUACAAUAACUGCAUACCAUAGUUCUUUCAUUUGUUGAAAGACUAAUCUAUAAUCCAAUAGAAACUGAAACCUCAAAUGCCUUUUUUUCUAUUAUUUUUGCGAGUUCACCCUUGCCUCUGUGUGAUUCUUUCUGGAGCUUUUUUUAAAAAUUUUUUUACAAGCAAAUCUCUCCAUCCUAGCAUUGACAGUGCUAAUCUCAUGCAUUUCGAGAGGGGUUCUUCUGGUAAAUCGUAAAUGAAUCUUUAGUCGGAAUUUAACUAAUUGGUUUCUUUGUUGUACAUUUUCAGGUGCAGCGCCAUCAACAACUACAGAUUUACUCAUGGAUCUUCUAUCGAUUGGAACAUCUCCUGCACAAAACGGUCCAUCAGAUUCUAAUGUUGUUCCUUCAAGCGGUAAUAUUUCUUUAAAUCAUUCUGGCGAUAACAAUCUUUAUUUAUCUCCAUAUUCCCGUCUGACGAAUGCUAUAUUUGGUUGUAGCGAAAGCAGCAGAAAGUAAACCUGCUCCUGUUACUGCUCCAGUGAUGGACUUAUUAGAUGGCUUGCCAUCAAAUGCAUCUCCUCCCAGUAAGCUCUUUUGGUGCUAAUAUUCUUACUUGGGUGCUAUGCUAAUAUUCUUUUGGUGCUAAUAUUCUUAUCAAUCUCUUGUUUUAACAGGAGAUGAGAAUUUGGUUUAUCCAACUAUUACGGCUUUCGAGAGCAGCACCUUGAAGAUAGCAUUCAGCUUCGAGAAACAACCUGAGAAACCACAAGUGACAUUGAUCAGUGCUACAUUUACAAAUCUGUCAUCAAGUACUUUGACAAAUUUCAUUUUUCAGGCUGCUGUGCCCAAGGUAUUGGAGCUGUACUUGCAUUUUAGUUUUGACAUCUUUUGCAAAUUGAACAUUCCUAAACUAAAUUCAUAUAAUUUAAUUUUAGAUUACUUAGUCAGGUUUGGGAUGGUUCUUUUACUUGAUUUCAGUUUAUUUGUUCUGUUUUGCGUAUUGAACUGCGUUGUUUGGGUCUAUUGUGGUUAGUUGGGUGAGUCAGUUGGUAUAGUCUUCUAUGCAGCAUUACCUGGCUGAUACAAAUGCCAUAUGCCCUCUGUAUUUGCCUAUAUAAUCGUUUAUUUGUUAUUCCUAAUGUAUAAAUCGAAUUUUAGUGUGAGCAACAAGGGCUAUUUUAAGCUCGGUGUUAGUUGGCAUUUCUUACUUCCACUUGACUUGCGUGGGACUAAAAAGGCCACGCCAUCUUGUUUAACAUAGCUGGUCAUCACCGUGUGGUACUGACAAUCCCAACUAUACGUUGUAGGUAGAAAUAUUUUCCAGUUGUCAUAGGUAACCGUUGCUACGAGUACUCAUGCAUGUUUUGUGAUUCUGUCCAUUCACCUUUGAUGUAAGUGCUUUAAGAAAUGGAUAGAUAAUUAUUUUGUGCAGAUGGAGGAUCUUAUAGGUUGAUUCACUUAAUGAUAUUGCAUCUUCUUUCCUCAUACAUGCAAGAGUUUCUUUUCCUUCCCUAGAGGUAUUCCUCAAAAUUAUGACCACCAAAUCUGUAUCUUUCAGUUUGUCCAGUUGCAUCUGGAUCCAGCUAGCAGCAGCACACUCCCAGCCAACGGAAAUGGGACAAUUACACAAAGCCUUCGUGUUACUAAUACCCAACAUGGGCAGGUAUUAAUAUUUGAAUUCUCUACAUCUUCUCAUGAUUCCUCUGAAAUGUCAUUAUGCGAAUAACUUUUCGCUUUCCUUUCUUUAUCAUGAUGGUUUAGAAUUUAUAGCUCUCGAACGUACAACUAUUAUGUUACUAUCUAGCAAAAGCUCAGCUGUGAACGCAACAUUCAGCUGUAAAAUGCAUCAUUGUAAGGAGCAUGGAACAGUUAAUUAGGGAGGAAAGGGUAAGAUUUAUAAAAAAGAAAUAAUUGCCUAUGUACCCUUGAAAAGUUAUUGAGUUUUGUAUUCAUCCUUUGGUUCAAAUGGACCCCUCUAAGGUUCUUUGUUUUUCUUAUACCCUUACUUUGAGGGUUUAUUUGUAAGAAUUUGGAAUUUCAGAAGGAUAGAUUUGAGCAUAGCAAUUUUUGAGGGGUAAAUAUAGAAGUCGGAAACUCUUAAAGGGUAUAUAGUCAAUUGCCCUUUGAAAACAUGUAACACACAACCAGGCGACAAAUUAAAGUCCAAACUUUUCAUUAAACAUGAUUUAGGGCUGAAUUGCAGUUAUGUGUAUCUUCAGAGAACAUUGAAAAAAAUGAAUUCUAAUAAUCAUAAAUCAUACCGAGUGAGCUUAAGCUUUACAUCAGAGUGUGACAUGGAAUAUAUUUAGAGGAAGAUACUAGAAAUUUCAAUGAUCACACAACUAAAGCACACAUCGGUAUUUCUUUUGUUUAACCAUACCAUGAACCAAAUUUUCUAACAACUUUACUUUCCAGAAACCCCUUGCUAUGAGAGUAAGGAUGGCUUACAAAUUUAAUGAUGAGGACAAGUUGGAGCAAGGACAGAUCAGCAACUUCCCUCCCGGAUUAUAGUGUUAUUUGCAGCUUGUGAGACUUACUUAGUGCGAGUUUAUGGCUGGAGAGCGGCACAGUUGUUCUCUCUUCAAUUUUCACCCACUUUUUGGUGUCACUUCGACACCCUGGGUAUUUUUCGUCGUUCAUUAUCCCUCUAUAUGUAUACUAGUCAGCAUUGUUGCGGAAUCUACUUUUACAGAAUGAAUAUCUGGGUUUAUGUACACCGCGCGUGACCUUUUUCAGGGAUAUGCAAUCAGAAAAGGACGUUUGUCAGUGUGGAACUAGUCUAGAUGAUAAUCGUCUGGAAAUGUUUUGAUAUUCUAUUUAUUCAUAAUUUGUAUUGUGUUUUCCUCGUGUAUUUUUCAGAAUUUCCAAAACAGAGUAAAUAGCUGGUUGGUUAGUAAAUUGAAUUUUACAGCAACGAGCUUGACCCUUCGCUCUAGUACUUGAUUGGUAUAUGCUUACUGUUAUUCCCAGCUUUUCUGAUUUUAGCGGAUAUGAAGACUAAACUAAUGCACAUUUGAAUCUGGGUGUGAAGUUCCUCAAAUGCUUCUUUUAUCUUUUGUCUGAAGGUGUGCCAUUUGUGAUCUGAGAUAUGGCGGAGUUGUAGUUCUAUCGUCUCGCUAGUUUGUAAUGAGUUCAGUAGUUUUAUUGCUUUUGCGUCUGAGCUGCUUUUUCCUUGGGUAAAAUUGUGUUGGCAGCCGCCAUUUUGAAGUGGUCUCCUCAACUUUAAAUAUAUUUCUUGAAACCACGCAGCUUAUAUUUUUUUUAAAAAAAUAAUUGUGACAUUAGUCUGAAUAAUUAGAGAUUUAUCAAGUUUAUUGAUGAUUUUAUUGAAUUUAAUAAUUUUAAUUAUGUUUUUGUAAACAAAAUUAUAUUAAUUGACUGUUAAUAACUAAUAUAUAGUCAUUAAAGUUAUAAAAUCUCUCUUCUCCACAAUCGCUAGAUGCAUAGCCCUCUUUCUUACUUCCUCUCCGUUCAAACUCGUUCGUCAUCUUCUCGCCUCCGUUGGACACCAAUUUACGCUUUACGAGAUCUUUUGUUGCGGCGUGCAGGAUCCCGAGGUGAUGGUGAUGCUGGUAGGGGAAUAGGAUUGGGAGUUUCUUGCGAGAGUUCGCUCUUGGUGAUUACUUUGAUCUGCUUUUCUCUUGUACUUGCUCUUUUAUUUGUUUUGGGCUUUAAUCUAAUAAGACCGAUUAAUUUGGUCUUUAAAUAUUUAUUUAUACGUCUGAGGACCGAUCUAUAUAUCUUCCCUUUUUCUUGUUUGGAGAGAUUUGGGACCAUCCACCAAUAUCUAAGGCAGACUUUAUAGUCGUGGGCUCGUGGCUAUUAUGACACUCCAUAGUUUCCGACACAAGAUAUGCUCAGGCUAACAUUCAGAAGAGGCCAGAACUAAAAACAGUAAACUUUCAGGCAGUUGGCAGACAGAUUCUACAAGAUAAUUCUAGCCAAUAAUCUCAGAUGAAUUGAGCAUUGCUUUGUGAUGAAAAAUGUGGAUUUCCAACUGAUGCAGCCAACAAUUACUUCAGACUAGAAGAAAAUUCAGAAGAGCAUCAAAUACAUGGUAAAACGUAUCCCUGUACGAUCCUGAUAAUUCUACUUGGCACCUCUUCUUCUCAAUCGAACCACCAAUAACCUUCCACAUAAUAUAGUCCUAGCGUCACAAAAUUCUUAUAAAAUGACCAAUUUAAGCUACUCGCUUCAAAUUACUUCAAAUAGGGUUCAAAAGGUUAUUCUUGAGGAAAACUUUUGAUUGUUUUGAGGGCGAGGUAAGGGACUAAAAUGCACUCUAUUUAAAGCUCGCGGUCAAAUUAGAAGUAAAAGGACUAAGUUGCAAUAUCAGGAUGGUACAGUGAUUAUCAACACACUUGAUCCUCAAAGAAUUGACUCUGUUGAGUCGGAGCAGCAAUUUUCUAACAAAACACCUCAAGGAUCUUUUACCACCUUCCAGUUGUCAAGCAGCCAGUCCAGAAACCAGUACUUUCCCCUCCUUUUUGAGGGUGCAAAAUACCAUUUUAAAAGGAAGAACCAAACACCAAAAAAGCAUUUAAAAAAAAAACAAGAACCGUUUAAUUGUUGUUGCUGUAACCCAUAUAACUGUUCCGAUACCGAAUACCGUACUGCUCAUAUAAGUGGUCCUCAUAAUUCAUAGCCCUGAUGUCCGCUCCACGCCGCUUGCUAUCCAUCUCCUGAACAGCUCCGAAUACGAUCUCAUUAUUUGAUUCAUAGCUCUGCUCAUAAUAAGUCUGUGGGCCCGAAGAGUAAUGCCGGUGAUACUGCACCUGCUGCUGCUGCCGCUGCUGCUGCUGUUGCUGAUGAUGAUGAUCUCCAUCCCACCCAUUAAAAUAAUUCGGUUGGGCGUGCCGGAGGUGGUGGAUCUUUUGUGGCUCUUUGGACAUGAAAGCAUAGGUCCUUUUAGGAUUAGGGGUUCUUCCUUCUAGUGGUGGCGGCGGCUCAUCAUCAGGGACGACAAAGCUUUCUUGAGACGGCCAAGGGUUAUCCCUAGGAUUGUAGGGCUGAGAUUGAUUAGUUGGUGGUUUCUUUUUUGAAAACAGGGAUACAGCACCAAGAAUUUGUAAUGUAGAUGAUUUGAUUCCACCAAGGAGCUUUCCUAUUGACGAAACGUAGCCACCUUCUUCAUCCUCAUGGUUUGUGGUUUCAUCCUCCGGUGGGAUUAGUGGAGGCCGGAGAGAUCGUUUCAUUGGCUUUUGGUAGGGAGGCAUGCUUGGUUUUGUAGGAGUUUGAGGUUCCUGUUAGAAAACUUCAUUGUUAGAAUUGGCAUUCAUUUAAGCAACAGGACUUUUUGGCUUCACAUCUAGCUUUGCUCCAGGGGACCUAACCAUACUGUCUUCUCUUCGUGUUCUAUUUGACUAAAACAGAGUUAGCAUUGUAUCCCUAAAUCAAAUAAUAGAUAAUAUAAUGAAGAAACAUAAAGCAAAAUUCUUUGCAGGAAACAUUCUCAGACAAUAAGAUGCAGUUACUUUCAGAAAGUUCGAGAUCCAACUGAAUAAAAUGUACAACAAAAGAUGGAAAGAAAAGAGAGAAUUUGUGAAAAGGGACAGAUUUAAUCUUAUUUUCUUGUUUUUCAACGACCAGUCGGAAUUACUGAUGGUUUAUAAAACUCAAGCAAUGCAAUUCAGCCAAAUGGAAGGGCUAUUUGGUAGUAAUGACGAGAUAGUUUUCAGGUGAAGCAUUACUGCUACGAGACACAACAACUUGUAAUUUUGUCCACUCAUCAUUAGAGUGAAAGGAGAGAAAUGUGAAGUACUCACAUUCGUGGAUGCCGAUGAGAACAUCAAUCCUACUUGCUUUUGGAGCAAAGCAAGCAUGUAACCAAAGAAGCCAGCAGCAAGGAGCACAGCAAUUCCUGCAUUACAUUUGGCCAUUGGAUUAGGAAGUACCAUUAAAGUGAAGGCCUAAAGCCUAGAAUUCUGGCCAUGAAAACCUCCAAAAAAAUGGCUCUUUUAUAACUUCCGGAAGUUUGUGCUCAGCAGAUGAUAGAACGAAAGAAGACGCUCUUAGCUAAGUUUCAGUUUCAUCCUGAAUAUCUAAGUCUAGAGUAAACUCCUCUCUGGUACAGUGCAUUUACACAUCAGUGCUCCCGUGGUUUCGUUUGUUUAGUGUAGAGUUCCUGAGGUUCCUCUUCUGUUUUGCAGCAAGGACCUUCCUGUCAACCCAUUGUAUUGAUUUUUGAUCAUGUUAUGACUAUGUUUGUGUCAGGAUUUGAUAUAAACUCAACUUGCCACUCAAAUCCAAACUCAAAUUCUGAUGGGUUUCAAGUCGAGUUUAGAUCAAAACCCACUACAUAUUAUCCCCACCCUCUGGCAUAGAUCAAAAUUGAGAGAUUCCUAUUAGACCUGUAAAAAGGUUUGACGGGAAGGUCUACAACAAAAACAAAAAUUCACAGAGUAUAUGAUUGAAUUUAGUCGAGAACUAAAGUGAGCUUAGCAAAGAUAUAGGAAUAUUGGUGUAUUCUACCUAAUUUUACUACGAAGAUGUACGUACCUAAAGGAAAACCGGUUUCAUAAUGGUAAGCACAGUCAUCGAAAUGAAGUUGGAUCUCCCGGAUCGCCUGGUUUCCUCUAUCUAUGACCAGAAGGGAACAGCUACUACCAAUGUAAACAACUUCAAAGUCGGUAGAAAAUUUUGCAUCCUCACUUGCCCCAUCGAUGUGCCCUCCUCUAUUCCAUUUUCCUCCAGCAAUGGUUGUAAUCCCUUGACAAAUAUGCAAACAAAAUAGUAAGACCAAAAUCUCUUAGGUUCUUGUAUUGUUUCUUAUUAUAUUGUUUUUCAUAGCACGACAUGGUUAAUAUGCAUACAGGGUUGAAAAUUUCACGUCAUAAAGGUUGAAACAGUAAAUUUGCUCCCCUACGAUCCAAUUAAGUUCUUCAUGUUCUCCACAACUUCAUACUAUUUUAUCUUUACUCGGACAAGAAUUUGAGCUGAAGUUUUAAUCCCCUCUUCCGAAUUCUAAAGAACUGAUCUAAUCAGCCAAUCUCUUCGCUAACAUUGUGAUCUUCCACUUAUCCACAUUUUGAUCAUUCCAUCUAAUUUUCAUGAACCUACCGAUUAUUAUUAUUAUGCAGCAACCCCAACUCCCGUUACCUGAACUCUUCUCCCAAAGUUUGAAUUGCAGGAACCUUGAAUUCACAAGAAACCACUUUUACAUCAUAUAAGAACAAAUGCUUCUUACUACCUGAAGCACUGAUCUUCCUAACUGCCAUGUUCAUUGCGUCGGCGACGUAAAUGUUUCCCUUAUCAUCUACUGUAAAUCCUUUUGGAUGGUUCAUCCUGGCUUCCCGCGGCUUCCCGUCGACGUGACCAGAAUACCCUUCUGCCGAACCGGCAACAAGCUUAGGUCUACUGUCUGCACUUCCAAAAACUUAGUUUCAGAUACAGGAAUACUUCAGACAGCCAUAAAAGAAUCUGAAGUAGAUGAUUUUUUACAGCAAAAACUGUAAUUUACAAAAAAUCGUCAAUUUGGCAAGCAAAAAUUUGUAACAAACUCACAUUUUGAUAAUGGCAACGAAACCCUAUGGAUGUUGCUAUUCGCGGAAUCCAAAAUAAGGAGAUCCCCGCUCGGACUCAUCUCCACGGCGUGAGGUUCGAUCCCGAGCUUGCUCCCGUCGAACACCGUUUCCACGGUGUACCCGCUCUCGAACUUCAUCAUCGAACGCCCAGAGAUCGCUGGUAAUUAUCUACCCACUUUAGCACCCUAAACCCUAAACCCCCCCUAUCAGCUACAAUGGAUCAAAAUCGUACCUGUUUUGGGGGACGAUUUCAGAGACCAUAGCUGCUUCCAGAGGAUCGAAAUCGCGUUGGAGAAGAGCCCACCUGCGAUUUCUACAUGUCAAAAAAAAGAAAAAUAAAAAAACCAUGGAUUCAGUACAAACUAGAUCAUGAAUCGAAUAAUAUAUAUAUAUAUAUAUAUAUAUAUAUAUAUAUAUAUAUAUAUAUAUAUAUAUAUAUAGAAUUUAAAAAGAAAAAUGGUAAGAGGAGUAGAACCAACGUGCUGGAGAAGCAGCAGAGACGGAGCAAAAGCCAUUGAGCAAAAUCGCGGUCACAAAAAGCAAAACUAAGCACUUCGUCGUCUCCAUUUCCCCUUCCGAUUAGUAAGAGUUCUCAUCUAAGCCUCUAACAAACCCAUUUUUAAAUCACUGAGGAGCAAGAGCAACUACAAUGCACGACGCCUCGGGGAAAAAACAAAAAAAACAAAAAGAAAAAGAAAAAGAAAAAGAAAAAGAAAAGCAAAAGAGGAAUAAGACAAGGAGAGAUUUGUGCUGUUCUCGCUCUUCUUUUCCCCCCCUUAUUACUCUCCGCUUGUUUUAGAGGGGAAGAGAACGCAGAGCACCGCCCGAGAAAUAAUUUGAACGCACCGGGUGCAUCAUGCACCUCACUUUCUAAGCGUAAACUACCGGUGAUUAUAUUUGAUGAAUUAAACUUUUUUAAUUGGUUUACUGGUUAUAAUGGUACACCGGGUGCAGGGAGUGCGGAAAGAGAAAAGGGUAGCAUCACGUGCCGCGGAGCCGAUGGUCGUUUAAAGAGUUUUUAUUUUGUAUAGCAUUAAAUCUCUCAAGUAUCCAAAAUAGCAACCAUUCUUUUUGCACGGGGACCAGAGAUGUCAAUCGGCACAGAUACUUAAAAUUUUAUCCGAAUUCAAAUGCAAACGAAACAGAUUUACCUGAUGAUGCUGCACAGAUAUGAUUUCAAAUAUAAAUAUUAAAAUUAAAAAUUCGAUGAAUAUGAAUUUUGAUUUUAUCCGAUCCGAACCUGAACCUGACCCAAAUUUAUUUUAUAUUAUAUAUAAUAUGUAUAUAAAAAUUUAAUAUUAUCUUUGAAUUUAUAUUUUAAAAUUUAAUAUAAUAUAUUUUGAAAUAUUGAAAAAAAAAAUUAUUUUGGGUUCGAAUUUUCGAGUUUAGAUUUUAAAUUUUUAGUCAAAUUUAGAUUUAAAUAUAAAUUUUUAAAAUUCGUCAGAUUCAAAUUCGAAUUUUAGUUUAGAAUCGAAUUCUGAUACGAAUUUUUAAAUAUUUGCCCAGAAUCUGAUCCCUACCUGGGGUUAGUGGCUCGGUGGGAAAAAGAUGGAAGGGGGGAGGGGGUUUGGGACUACUACAUCCCUUUUUCUAUUUUUAAUAUUUGGAUCACAGUUUGUCACAGAUUUCGAGGUGGGUUACAGGUUUUGGUUUUUUGACUUUUUAAGUUUCAAGGUAAAUGCAAGAUAUUAUAUUAUUCUUCGUGUAACUUUUGGACUUUAGUGGUCAAUCAAUUAUAUAUGAAAUUAUCGUCGCUAUCUAGUAAAAUUUGUUGGUUUCUCAUAUAAGAACUGAUUAAGAAGUCGACAAUUCAAUCUUUUCAAUAAUCUUGAUAAAAUUCAAAGCAUAAAACUAUGCCCGUUCCAGAAAAGUGGAAUGAGCAUUUUCAUUUUAAAGCAAGAAUUUAAAUUUAAACUAUUCUACUUUUAUUAUAAAAAAUAAAAUAUAUCUUUAUGAGAUCAUUAUUAAUUUUUUUUGAAGUAUCUCUAUUCAAAUUUGUGCUUCCGCUAAGACUUUACUACAAAAAUAAGCAAUUAGAUAUCAACAUAAAAACCAACUGCCUCUAGCGUAAGUGAUAAAGGGUUUAAUGGUUAGUACCCGAAGUUUCAAGUUCGAAUUUUAGUUGAUUUAUAUUUUCAACUAAAUUUAUCUCUAAAUGAAAUAAACGAAACGGGUAGAUGCCUGCUUUGAGUAGUAUUAGAUAGCA
This 127584-nucleotide long non-coding RNA is filed under the name Ananas comosus (pineapple). RNAcentral's name for it is "long non-coding RNA (ACOM_LNC004516)". Lineage: Eukaryota; Viridiplantae; Streptophyta; Magnoliopsida; Poales; Bromeliaceae. The record is from RNAcentral.